UUGCAUUGUUGGACGAGAUCUCGGAUUAGAAUGUAUGCAUUUGAGUGCCAACCAGACCACAAGAACUACAUCUCUAGCAACUUGUUGAUCUUGAGGAGAUGGGAGACGUGAAUCUAAUAUAUCAGUGAGCAUUAUGCUUUGAGCUGAUGAGGAAGACAAUAAGGUGAAAAGUUCUCUUGGAUGCUUUCCCAUCAUUGUCUCAAGCGCCACCACUCCAAAGCUAUAAACAUCACAUUUUUCCGUCACAACCAUAGUGUAGGCAAGCUCUGUUAAGAAUCAAAACAAGAAAAAAAAAUAUUGCACAAAUGAGAAAGAAACAUUCAUUUAGUUUUCUCAUAUUAUCUGUACUUACAAAAUGUUGAGAAUGUUUCAUAGCAUUGCAUUGACAUUUGACAACGUUUUAUUUCUAAAUUGUGAUGAAAUUAAGUUAAUUUUUACAACUUAUAUUAAACCUUUGAAAAACUAUUGUAAGGAAUUUUUAAAAAUAUUUGGGACUUAUUGGGACAAUGAAGACAACUAUUUGGAAAAUGCUUGAGAGAACAUUGAUUAGUAUUUUUUAUAUAAAGUUCUCUUACUCUCAAACCAUUUUUUACAACAUUUUAUGAAUAACUAUUAAGAAUUUCCUUUUUUAUUUGGAACUUUAAAAGAAAUAUAUAUGCCCAUAACAAGUAAUAUCCACAUAGUUGAGAGCAGAUCAUUACAAAUGAUAUAAAGUUAAUCUAUAACCAUGAUGUGAAAGUUUGUUUGACUCUACAAUCUCAUGGGACAUAAACAGGAUAUUACCUUUACAUAAGGAAUGAAUGUGAUAUCCCACGAUAGAUAUGAAAACAAAAAGUUUUGACAUUAUAUAUGAAUGAGUUUCCCUCAACCUUAUAGGCAUGUUUUAAAUUCAUGUGGGCCCCUUAGGCCCAAAGCGAAGAAUAUCUACAUAGUUGGGAGCUAUUAUUUACUUUGCAUGAAAAAUAUAAAGAAAAACAAUAUAUUAAAAAUUUAGAAGAAUUUAUUCACUUUCAAGCUCUUCAUAAGUAAUAAUAGUAGAAAAAGUUUGGUUUGGUUGGCAAUAAUAUCUCCUUUCCCUUCAUCCAGUAUAAUUUGUGACUUCUAUGAAGUAUAUAAUAGGAAGUAUAAAAGUACUAAAUACAUCAAAUCUCAAAGAUACCAAACUUAUUAAAACAAAAACAACCAAAAGUUCAAAAGAUAUAUCGAAAGAGUAAAAGCUGAAAGAAAAACUGUUGUGUACUUACCUGGCGCUAUGUAACCAUAAGUGCCUGCAAGAACAGUUUGAUUGGAUGAAUCAUGAUGCAGCAGUCUAGCAGUACCAAAAUCCGAUAGAAAAGCGUCCAAUUUAGAGUCCAAAAGAAUAUUGCUGCUUGAUAUGUCCCUAUGAAUAAUGGGCAGAGUAUAGUCAUGAUGCAUAUAGCAUAAGGCAUGGACUAUGCUUUUGACCACAUUCACCCUUUUAAUCCAAUCCAAUUCCAAAGCUUCGACUUCAUUGCUCAAUACACCGAAUAAGCUUCCUCUUUCCAUGUACUUGUAAAUCAAAAACAUGCAUCUUUUGUGCAAACAAUAGCCAUGAAGUUUUAUGAUAUUCCGAUGUUGUAUUUUUGACAAAACCUGCACCUCAUUUUGAAAACUUUUAAAGUAUGUUGCCUCAUCUCUUUCCCAUCCAUGAAGCUUUUUCAAGGCUACCACAUUGCCUGUAGGCAAUUGAGCCUUGUAAACAGUGCCAUAGCCUCCAGUACCUAUGCAGUAUUUGAUAUCAAAGUCUUCUGUUGCUUCAAUGAUGUCUUCGUAAGCAAUCUUUCCAUCAUAGUUCCAUAUUGAAAAUAUAUCUCCAUUUUUUUCAUUUUUUUUCAAUGGUGUCUUGGUUUGAUUUUGUCUCAUCUUCCGCGAAAGCAAGAGAAACCCAAACACCGCAAAAAGAAGAAACAAGAUGGUAGAUAUAGCAAUAGUAGUGAUGAGCAUAGUUUUAUGUCCUCUUUUGCAAUGUGGCCAACCUUUUAUUUCACCACAUAAACCUUUGUUGUAGCUAAACACCUCCGGUGAAUGUUCAAGUUGUAAUUCAAUGGGUAUAUGACCCUCCAAAUCAUUGUAUGACAAAUCAAUUGAUAACCACCCAUAUUUUGGAAGAGUAGGAAUGUGACCUGAGAGUUUAUUGUGGGAAAGAUUCAAGUUUUCUAAGCUCUCCAAGUUUUGGAGCUGGGAAGGUAUCUUUACAUUGAUCAAAUUAUCGCUAAGGUCUAAGCUAGCCAUAUUCUUCAAGUUCCCUAUCUCGAAAGGGAUGCAACCCCUGAUUUGAUUUCCACAAAUAUUGAACUCAGUUAAAUUAAUGAGGUUGCCCACAGAUGAAGGAAUAGCACCAACAAGGGAGUUCAAAGUGAGGGACAAUGUAACCAGAUUGGUUAAAUUUCCAAGAGAGGAAGGAAUGACACUGGAAAGAUAGUUAGAACUCAAAUUCAAAGCGGCCAGAUUCUUUAAAUUCCCAAUUUCAGAAGGGAUGGAACCGUUGAUUGAAUUGAAACUAAGGUCCAAGUAUUCCAGGUUGGUUAAAUUUCCAAGAAAGGAAGGAAUGACACUGGAAAGAGAGUUAGAACUCAAAUUCAAAGCAACCACAUUCCUUAAAUUCCCAAUUUCAAAAGGGAUGGAACCGUUGAUUGAAUUGAAACUAAGGUCCAAGUAUUCCAGGUUGGUUAAAUUUCCAAGAGAGGAAGGAAUGACACUGGAAAGAGAGUUAUAACUCAAAUUCAAAGCAACCACAUUCCUUAAAUUCCCAAUUUCAAAAGGGAUGGAACCGUUGAUUGAAUUGAAACUAAGGUCCAAGUAUUCCAGGUUGGUUAAAUUUCCAAGAGAGGAAGGAAUGACACUGGAAAGAGAGUUAGAACUCAAAUUCAAAGCAACCACAUUCCUUAAAUUCCCAAUUUCAAAAGGGAUGGAACCGUUGAUUGAAUUGAAACUAAGGUCCAAGUAUUCCAGGUUGGUUAAAUUUCCCAGAAAGGAAGGAAUGACACUGGAAAGAGAGUUAGAACUCAAAUUCAAAGCAACCAGAUUCUUUAAAUUCCCAAUUUCAAAAGGGAUGGAACAGUUGAUUGAAUUGAAACUAAGGUCCAAGUAUUCCAGGUUGGUUAAAUUUCCAAGAGAGGAAGAAAUGACACUGGAAAGAGAGUUAUAACUCAAAUCCAAAUGAAUCAGAUUCUUUAAAUUCCCAAUUUCAGAAGGGAUGGGAUCGUUGAUUCGAUUGAAAUUAAGGGAUAAGUAAGGAAGGACACUGGAAAGAGAGUUAGAACCCAAAUCCAAAUGAAUCAGAUUCUUUAAAUUCCCAAUUUCAGAAGGGAUGGGAGCGUUGAUUCGAUUGAAAUUGAGGGAUAAGUAUUCCAGGUUGGUUAAACUUCCAAGAGAGGAAGGGAUGGCACCAAAGAGGUCAUAGUUAUAACUCAAAUCCAAUUCCUCUAAUAGAGUGAGGUUACCCAGUGAAACAGGUAGCUCACCAUAAACAUCACAUUCAGAUAUACGGAGGUAAGUGAGUUUUGUAAGCAUACCUAUCUCAUCUGGGAUGGGACCAUAGAUGGAAGAAUGGCUAACGUUGAGAUGGAGGAGGCUGGGAAAUGAAGAAAACUUCAACUGGCUAAGCUCAACCAUUGUACCAUCGAUAUAUGAAUAGGUAAUCUGAAUAACAUGUCCCUCCCUGUUGCAGGUGAUGCCGUCCCAUGUGCAAUGAUGAGAAGUAGUGUUUUCCAUGUACCACCACCAAGUGGAGUUGCGGAGAGCCUCGGCCUCAGCCUCCACCUGUGCGUCAGUUGUAGCAGCAGCAGCAGGAGGUGAUGAGAUCAAGAGCAUGUUAUAUGAUAACAAUACCACUGAAACCACCAACACCCUACAAGUAUUAAUGGAACACCACUCCAUUCUUUCUUAUUUUGGAUUAAUAUUGCUAUAUAUGCCCCAGUUGAUGGUUUUAUAGAAGGGGUGUUGGUGUUGAUCCAACAACCGUCUUCUUUCACCCACACAGCAUCUCAAGCAAGUCAAACAAGUCUUCUCCCAACUCUCCAUUGGACAUUAAUUUGUUGGGAAAUGAGGACGUUUAUUUUGGAAAUUAUGUUUUAUGAAAAAGAAAAUUUGUAAGCAAAAAUUAAAACCAUUAGUAACCAUGAUCAAACCAUAUUUAAUUUUUUUUUCAAAAAUAAAUUUUAUGAUGGGAAAUUAGUAAUCAUGAUCAAGCCAAAGCCCAAGGUUGUACACGUCACACAACUGUCUUUUCAUGAAUGGUGAGGUGUGCUUGGAUGGGAGUUCGUGACCUGCAAAAGCCAGAAAUUUUAUAUAAUAGUAAUGAAUAAUAAUAAAAUAAAAUCACAAAACAUGUUUAAUAUUGAUAUAAACUAAAAAAUAUUAUAUAAAAGUAAUAGUCAAAAGGCUGCAUUUUUAUUAUUUGAUUGUUAUUCCACUUCAUGAUUAGCUUGUCUAACAUUUCAUUUGAAGUUUCUUUCAAGCAAAGCAAGUCAACCAAGUCUUCUUAGGUCCACUUCUUAGACUUUUGAUUAUUAGAAGUUUAUGCUGCUAAUUAACUUAGAAAUUUCUUUAUGAUAGUAACAUGUAAGGACCACAAAGAAAGCUUAAAUUUGACUUGGAUCAAGCUUAAAAAAUUAUUAAUUUUACUAAUUUUAAAUAGGAAUCAAUUUUUAUUUUAAAUUUUAAUUUUUUUCUAUUUGUUAUGCAAUCAUCAAAUAUUUAUUUUUUGCUUUUUUUUUACUAAUAAAAAAUAAAAUUAGCUCCUACAAGCUGUGCUCUGUUUUUUUCUAUCCUAAACAAAGCAACCCUCCUCAAAUCAUUUUUAAAACACGAUAUUGAAAAUUUCCUAUAUUAUAUGUGACAUGUGAGACUACACAAAAAAGAACACAAAAUAAUAAUAAUAAAUAAAUAAAUGCAAAAAAGUCUUUCGAGAUUGCAAAGUUUAUUAUAUAAGGAAUUAAUGAUUUGAAAUGUUAAAAGUUAAUUAUAUUUUAUUUUCCAUGCUAUACAUUUUUUAUCAUGCAUCGAGUAAGAAAAAUUUUAAAUUCUUUUUUCUUUUCUUGCUCACUUUCUAGAAUUAAUGAUGCCUUCAUAACUCUUGUUUUAGCCACGCAACAAGUCAAGCAAGUCGUCUUCCACUCUUGAUUGGAAAUUUAGUGGGAACUAAACAUAAUUAUUUUUAAAAUUUUUAAAUAAAAACUCAAAUGAUAAUUAUAUAAAAAAAUGAUUAUUCACAAUUUUUUUUAAAACAUGAAUUGUGGGAAACAAUCAUACCCCACCUGUAUUUGGAAAAUGAUAUGUUAGUUUUUUUUAUGUAUAUAUAUAAUUCCAAAUAAUAAAGAUAUUACAAUUUUUAACAUUAUAUUGUAACUAAAUGUUUUAUUUGUCUUAUUAAUUUCACUAAUUUUAAAAAGGAAAACAAAAUAAUUUUUUAAAAAGGUUUUUCUAUUUGCUACAUAAUUAGUAAAUACAUAUUUUUUAUUUUAAUAAUAAUAAAACAUAAAAUUAAAAUUAUUAAAUAUUUUAAUAUUAAUAUAAACUAAAAAUAUACUUUAACCAAUAAUUUAUUUGGUUCUUUUCCAAGUAAUAGGUAGACAAGAAAGUCUUUUCAGUCUCAUUAUCAAUGAUUUUUAAUUUUAUUCUAUGUAAAAUUCCACAAUCGUGUGUCUGUCACUAUGUUUGGAAAAGUCGUUCAAAAAGUGUACCAUCCAUAAAUUAUGUUAAUAUUUUUUCAUUUUUUAUUUUACUUUAAAUCACACCUACUUUUUCCUUGUGCAAGUCAAAGCAAGUCUUCUUAGACGCUCAGAAGCAUAAGCGUAUACCUAACAAAAUAAAAAGCUCUAAUAGGAAUAUUAUAGAAAUCCUGUAUUCCAACCAUACUCAAUCAACAACAACCCAAAAUAAAAAUAUUUUAAUUAACUUUUAAAAAUUAAAUCAAAUUUUAAUUUUGAAAAACUCUCAAUUUAGGUUUACAACCAAUCAACAACAUUUGGUGUCAUAUCGUAUUAUUCUACCAAAUAGAUAUCACGUAGGUAUAUAUUAAAAAAAUAAUUAAAAAAUAACAAAAAUAUAAAAUCGAUAGAGAGGGAAUAUAAUUGAAAGUGAGAGUUUGCAUGCACAAAAUACAAACUUUUCAAUUCUUUUUUAAUUUUUAUUUAUUAUUUUAGAAAGAGUUUUUAAAAUGUAAUGUGUAACUUGAUAAAUAAGAGAAUAAGAAAUAAAAAUCAGUUGAAUACAUUCCACCAUUUUACUCAUCAUUCUCUAAAAGAGGAAUGUAAUGUUGAAGAUUUUUGUAACUUGACAUGUUGAAGAUGAAUUUCUAUUUUGUGAUGAAAGAAUAUAAAUAAAUUGAAAAAUAAAAUUAAUGACAUUGUUCACCAUAAUACAAUAACCGUUAUUGGCAAAUACCAACAAGAAGGUAGCACAUUAUAUUAUUUAAUCUAAAUUGAUAAUUUUGUUUCAUUAUCCGCAAGUAGGGCAUUUUACAUUACUAUAUUAUACGUUUUAUUGAAGCCUCAAGGUUGCUGCAUAAUUAACCAAGAUGUAAUACAUGUAAAUAUUCUAAUUAACAUUUUUAUAUAAUACAUGUAACACUUCUCAAAAAGAUGAGAAUAGAAGGUUGAAGAUUUUUAUAAUUGCAACAAAAAAAGAAAUAAAUAAGUUCAAAAUUGUUUAUAUAUAAAAUAAAAUUAGAUCCUAUAGGCUCUCUAUAUAUUUCUCUACUAGACAAAGCAAUUUAAGUCAAGUCAAGCAACCCUUCUCAAACACUUCUAAAACACUAGGUUGGAAAUGCUCCAUUUGUUUAUUAGAUAAAGCAAUUUAAGUCAAGUCAAGCAACCCUUCUCAAACACUUCUAAAACGCUAGGUUGGAAACGCUCCAUUUGUUUCUCUCCUAGAAAAAGCAACUUGAGUCAAGUCAAGCAACCCUUCUAAAUCAACUUCUAUAAGGCUAGGCUCGAAAUUUCUUAUAUGAUAUGUGACAUGUAAGACCACAUAGAAAGAGCACAAAAUAAUAAUAAAUAAGUUCCAAGAGGUCUUACCAAAUUUGACCCCAUGUAUACAUAUUAAUAAAUAUUCUAAAAUUUGAUAAAUAAUUUUUAUAAACUUUAUUAUUCCUUAUUUUUCAUAGCACAUGUGAAACAAAGCUAAUUUUGAUUAAAAAAAAACACUCAUGAGGAGAUGAGUGAAAAUAACUAAUGAAAAUGAUAAGAUAUUUAUUUAAUAAAAUUUUAAACUAAUGAGAACUAGAUGUAUUUAAUCAAAACCUUAAAUGAGGAAAACGGACCAAUGGAUGGCUUUCCCGUCACUUUAUGUUGUUGGUGUUCAAGUGCUCUUUGUGAUCUUGGGUUUAUUUCUUUACAAAUGUUCUAAAUUCAAUUUUUUUUUUCUUUUAAUUUACAACAACUUGAAAAUACCCUAAAUUAUGUGUGACCAACUAGUACAUGAAAGAUACAAAAAAAAAAAAAAAUAUAAGUUAAAUCUCAAUAAUUUUUUAUAUUCCAAGAUGUAAUACAUGUAAAUAUUCCAAUUAACAUUUUUAUAUAAUACAUGUAACACUUCUCAAAAAGAUGAGAAUAGAAGGUUGAAGAUUUUUAUAACUCGACGUAUUCAAAAUGAAUUUCCUUUUUGCAACAAAAAAAAGAAAUAAAUAAGUUCAAAAUUGUUUAUAUAUAAAAUAAAAUUAGAUCCUAUAGGCUCUCUAUAUAUUUCUCUACUAGACAAAGCAAUUUAAGUCAAGUCAAGCAACCCUUCUCAAACACUUCUAAAACACUAGGUUGGAAAUGCUCCAUUUGUUUAUUAGAUAAAGCAAUUUAAGUCAAGUCAAGCAACCCUUCUCAAACACUUCUAAAACGCUAGGUUGGAAACGCUCCAUUUGUUUCUCUCCUAGAAAAAGCAACUUGAGUCAAGUCAAGCAACCCUUCUAAAUCAACUUCUAUAAGGCUAGGCUCGAAAUUUCUUAUAUGAUAUGUGACAUGUAAGACCACAUAGAAAGAGCACAAAAUAAUAAUAAAUAAGUUCCAAGAGGUCUUCCCAAAUUUGGCCCCAUGUAUAUAUAUUAAUAAAUAUUCUAAAAUUUGAUAAAUAAUUUUUAUAAACUUUAUUAUUCCUUAUUUUUCAUAGCACAUGUUAAACAAAGCUAAUUUUGAUUAAAAGAAAACACUCAUGAGGAGAUGAGUGAAAAUAACUAAUGAAAAUGAUAAGAUAUUUAUUUAAUAAAAUUUUAAACUAAUGAGAACUAGAUGCAUUUAAUCAAAACCUUAAAUGAGAAAAACGGACCAAUGGGUGGCUUUCCCGUCACUUUAUGUUGUUGGUGUUCAAGUGCUCUUUGUAAUCUUGGGUUUAUUUCUUUACAAAUGUUCUAAAUUCAAUUUUUUUUUCUUUUAAUUUUAAACAACUUGAAAAUACCCUAAAUUAUGUGUGACCUACUAGUACAUGAAAGAUACAAAAAUAUAUAUAUAUAUAUAUAUAUAUAUAUAUAUAUAUAUAUAUAUAUAAGUUAAAUCUCAAUAAUUUUUUCUCUCAUAAUUUUUAAACUUGCAUUAAAAAAAAAGGCCAGUUAAUGAUUUCAUUGGACAACUUGCAUAUUGGUACUCUUUUUUUUUCACCAUUUAAAGAUUCCAUUUCACGGACUGCCCUUUUUUUAAUUAAAAAAAAAAAGACUUUUGUUAAUUAUAACAAGAAGUAGAGAUUGAUGUUAUUCCUUGGUUCUAAAAUGUUAUCUUUAUUAAUUUAUAUUAUUAUUAUUAUUAUUAUUUAUCAAAUAACAUCAAAACUAUGGUAUCAUCUUUCUUAUUUCAAUUCUUUUCUAGAGUAGUUCGGGUGUGCAAUAUGUUUUUGAAUAUUAUAAUUUAAAAAAUAACAUUUAAGAUUUAAGCAAAAAAAAUGUAUUUAUUAGUUGAAUUUUUGUUCUUCAAGAUAAAAUUUAAUAUUUAAGCUAGCGAAAAAAUGUUGAACAUCGAUCCGUUUAACCAUAUCCACUAAAAAGUACAUGCAUCCCCAAAUGUAAUCCUUGUUAUAAAUAACUUAUUAAUUGUUUCUUUAAGCAGCUAUCGAAGUCUUGUUUGAAUAUAAUAUAUAUAUAUAUAUAUAUAUAUAUAUAUAUAUAUAUUUAUUUUUUUUCUUAAAAUAUUUUUUUUAAUAUUUGAGAUAGUUAAUUUUUUUUUAUAUUUAAAUUGUAUUUAAAACCUUUACUUUUAUAUAAGUCUUUAUAGAAUUCUUAUAUUUUAUAUAAAAAUUACUAUUAAUUUAAGUUUUUAAAAACAAAAAAUAAAAAAUGUACCAAUUUAUAAAAAUUAUAAAAUAUAUUUUUGAUAAGUAAAAUAAAACCCGAUAAUCUUUAUAAAAUUUUCUAUUAGAUGGGACAUCUAUAAUUUAAAAAAAAAAAAACGAAAUGUUGAAAGGAAUGUCCCCAACUUUCACGAUAAAUGAUACAAUAACCAAAUUAUUGAGGCAAAUAUUCGGACAAGAUUUCUUGUCAAACAAGCCUUCUCUACUGUUGAUUGGGAAUUGAGUGGGAAAUGAGUGGAGCAUAAAUAUAGACAGACUAAUUGGGGUUCGAGCUUUUUCUAUGCACAAAUUGGAUGGUGAAAGAAAAUAUACUAUUAAAAUAUUUAUAAUGAAUAAACUUAAUUAAUAUAAGCAUAUUCUACCAAUUUAAUCAUAUAUAUAUUUUACUUUUUAAAGAGUACGUCAACCAAGUCUUCUUAGUUACCCUAAAUAAGAGAGUUAGUCAUGGGUUGUGAAUGAAAAUUUUACAAGGUCAUUCUUUGGUAGUUUUAUAAGUCACUGAGAAGACAAAUCAUGUUCUCCCUUCUUCUUUCCCAUCUAGCAUGCUGUGCUUCCCACUAUUUCAAUUAUCAAGAUGGAAAGUCCACUCCAAAAAUGUGGAAAAUUAAAAUGAGAGGCAUAACCGGAUGAUAAUCAUAAGUAAUAUUUUUUUUUUCUUUUUUUCUUAAAAAAAUUUGAUUUGUUAUCCCAAUUGACGGGUAAGCUUAAGUCAAGUAAGUCUUCUUUGGUGACUUCUCCGACUCUUGAUUGGAAAUUAGGUGAUAAAUGAAGAAAAUAUCCAUUUUAAAAGCGGCUAAUUGUGGAAAAACAAUUUAUCUUAUUAAAUUAAUAUUUUCAAUAUAGACAUGUUAAUAUGGAUUUAUAAUAAUUUAUUUAUAAAACACUCCAAAAAUACAUGAUAAUCAUGGAAACUAAUUUGACAAAAAGUUAUAGAAUCUUUAUAAAUUUUUAAAUUAUGCUACAUGGCAUAUGGAAAGAAAAUAUGCAAGUCAAAGAAAGAAUUUAUAAGGAAUCCACCUCAAUUGGUAGAGGGAUAUUCUACCAAUGUAGAUUUGCCUAUAAUUCACUUAUGAUUAUGGAUUUUCAAAUAGUAGAUAGACUUGUUUCAUGAAUUCUUGAAGUGAUAGAAAGUGAAAAAAUACCUAAGCUUCUUUAAAGGCCACUAAAUGCGGAAAACAAUUUAGUUGUUUUGUUUUUGUUGAUUUCCAUGUGAAUAUCCCUAAUUUGUUGGGAUUUUGAUUUUGAAUUCAAAUCGGGAUUUGUUUCCCACUUUCUAUUUUGAGUUUUUUUUCCUUUUCUUUCAUUUUCUUAGGCAUGUAUCUCCUAGAUAGUAGAUAGAUUUUUAUUUGGUAGAUUCGAUUCUUAGCUUGUUGUUGAUGUUGUACAUGCUCUAUAGAAAAAUAUAGAAAUAUAUCAAGUUUUUUGCAUGGUACCAGAGCGGUUUCCCACUAGGACAGACUCCUAUUAUCUAGCAUUUGUUUUUUUUUGGCAACAGGCAACCUGAAGCCCUUGCAGCUAUCUCGUUGUGAAUUGUCUUCUCCAACCUAGUCACAAUUUGUCCUUCGUUCAUCAGUCCAGCCAUGAUUUAGUCAAGAUGUGAUUUGAUCCUGUUACGAAUUGAUCCAGUCCAGACAAAUCUUUUGGAAUGACUAUUGAUAGUAAAAAAUCAGUCUCUAAAGUGAACUCUAGGUUGAAGACUGUCACUUCCAAUGACCAUGGAGGAUCCGAUGGCUCUUUUCUUCCCAUCAUAGGUCACAAGUUGAAUGGGAAUAACUAUCUACAAUAUUCUCAGUUCGUUCUUAUGUUUAUCAGUGGCAAGGAUAAGGACGGCUACCUCACUGGAGAAAUUGUUCAACCCAAAAAUGAUGAUCCUAGAUUCGGAACUUAGAAGAUAGAGAAUAAUAUGGUCAAAUCAUGGCUUAUCAAUUCCAUGACCAAUGUGAUUGGUGAAAACUUUCUUCUCUAUAAGACCGCAAAAGAGAUGUGGGAUGCAAUUAAAGAAACAUAUUCCACCAAAGAAAAAACAACAUAACAGGUUGAUAUCGAGACUGUUCUUCAUGAUCUCCAUCAAGAGGAUUUAAUCACCACCAAUUACUACAAUAUUCUUGGUCACCACUGGCAACAAUUGGAUGUUUGUAAGGAGUAUGAUUGGAAUUGCCCCAAAGAUGCUGCCAAGUAUCAAAAUAUUGUGGAGAAAAGACGACUUUUCAUGUUCUUAUUAAGCCUCAACAAGCACCUUAAUAAGGUUCAUAGGAGGAUCCUUGGUACCAAACCCCUUCUAACAAUCUGUGAAGCCUUUGCCACUAAAUACCUAAGCUUCUUUAAAGGCCACUAAAUGUGGAAAACAAUUUAGUUGUUUUGUUUUUGUUGAUUUUCGUGUGAAUAUCCCUAAUUUGUUGGGAUUUUGAUUUUGUAUUCAAACCGGGAUUUGUUUCCCACUUUAUGUUUUGAGUUUUUUUUCCUUUUCUUUCAUUUUCUUAGGCAUGUAUCUUCUAAAUUGUAGCUAGAUUUUUAUUUGGUAGAUUCGAUUCUUAGCUUAUAUAAUGUCGAUGUUAUACAUGCUCUGCAGAAAAAUAUAGAAAUAUAUCAAGUUUUCUGCAUGGUAUCAGAGUGGUUUCCCACUAGGAUCGACUCCUAUCCUCUAACAUCUAUUUUUUCUGGCAAUAGGCAACCUGAAACCCUUACUGCUAUCUUGUUGUGAAUUGUUUUCUCCAAUUUAGUCACAAUUUGUCCUAGGUUCAUCAGUCCAACCACGAUUCAGUUCAGACGUGAUUCGAUCUUGUUACAAAUUGAUAUAGUCCAGACGAAUCUUCCAGAAUGACUACCAAUAGUAAAAAAUUAGUCUCUAAAGUCAACUCUAAGUUGGAGAUUAUCACUUCCAAUGACCUUGGAGGAUCCGAUGUCUCUUUUUUCCCCAUCAUAGGUCACAAGUUGAAUGGGAAUAACUAUCUCCAAUGGUCUUAGUUCAUUCUUAUGUUUAUCGGUGACAAAGAUAAGGAUGACUACCUCACAGGAGAAAUUGUUCAACCCAAAAGUGAUUAUCCUAAAUUCCGAACAUAGAAAAUAGAGAAUAAUAUGGUCAAAUCAUGGCUUAUCAAUUCCAUGACCAACGAGGUCAGUGAAAACUUUCUUCUUUACAAAACCGCAGAAGAGAUAUGGGAUGUAGUUUGAUUACUACUCAAAAAGUGCUAUUUUGUACCUUGUAAUUAACUCUUUUAAACACUUUUGAGUAGUAGUUAUUACCUUUUAACUCAAUUAGCAUAUUAAGUACCUUUGCAAUCAUUUCUAAUCAAAUUGUGUAAGUUUUGGUGUUUUUGAUAGUAAUUUGAUCACCAAAGCAAUCCAAGAUCGAGGAGAGUUCUAUGGAAUCCAUGGCAAAGCAAUUGGAAGUUCAUCAACAUGAAGAACCAAAUAUUUGAAGCUUUAUAGUCCUUUUCCAUAAGCAAAUCAUGAAUGCAAGGAGGGAAAGCAAAGAGAGAAAUCUAACAUGAAGCAUUCAAGAGGACAACAACUGUUAGACUCUUUUGAAGCACUUCCUGGAGCUUAAUUGAUGCAUAUUAUAUGUUGUUUCCAAGCUCGGGAAGUCAGCAAUCCAAUGCUUCAAACGGUGCACGAUUCGGAGUUGAAAUGAAGAAGUUAGAGCCAUUGGAAGCCGAUCACACCAAGCUGAAGGCCAAUUUCGCAGGCUGCGAAAUUAGCCUUUGGCUGCGAAAUGGUGUCCUUCAGGUUGCGAAAUUUCGCAGGCAUCUUGCACGCCUACGAAAUCAUCCUGAGUGCUUCUAGAUAUUUGUGACCGACAUUUUUAGAUUUUUUGCUUCAGAUAUUUGAUGUCUAAAUCCCCAUUCUCUCCUUGUAAUCCACCAAUUAUAGGAUUCCUUAGUUAUUAAGUAAGAACAAAGGGUAAAUAGCCUCAUAUAUAUUAUUUGUAAUUUCCAUUACAGAUAUAUCUUGGGAGCUUGUUCUCAGAGACAUCAACUUUUUGUAUAGUUUUGGAAGGAAGUAAAAUACAGAGCUUUGCUCUGCCUUACCUACCCAAUUUGAUUGUAUUGUAUUUAUUUUUUCUUACUAGCCAAACAAGCUUUGAGGAUGUUUCCUUAGAGAAUGAGUGGCUAGGCUUUUAGUUUCUUGGAGCUAAGAUAGCCGCGUAAGGCCCUGAAUGCAAGAAUUGGUAGUUUUGUUGUUUCAGCUAUUAAUGAAGAGAAAGUGUGACCCGUUAAUGAUUUCUAUGUUUUUAGUUAACUUAAAACGCCUUCAAUUCACCUGGGCCGACACUUGGUAAGGCAAGUGAUCUCCGUCCAUGGAGAUGCACUAGUUUAUCUCUUGCAAGCCUUUGGGUGGUGACUUGAAGGUAGGAUUUUCUAGAAUUGCCAACACUUGGUAAGCUUUUGGACUCUAAGGAGACAUCCAUUAGUUAUCUCUUGCGAGCUUGAGAAGGGAAGUCCAAGGUUAAUGAUCACCUUGAGUGGCGAAUGCUAGGUGAGAGGCAUGAGCCAUUGCAAGUUGCAUCAGUGAGAGGGAAUUAGUGCUGAAAUCCAUUAAUGGGAAACAUCUGUACAACACCAGUUAGAGAAUUAACUAUAUGUUAAUUCUCUAAUGCGAGGAAAAGAUUCAAGUGACCAGAGCUCUGUUUUUGCAUGAGGAGCUUGACCCCAAUGAACCUAAAACUCCAAGGAACGCUUUUCUUCAUAUGUAAUUCCCAUUACUUUCUUUUUAGUUAGCUUAAAACAAAUCCUUUUUCAACCAAAUUUUAUGUUUUCUUCUUAAGCUAACCUUGAAAUGAAAAAACACCAAUUCAACUUUGAAUUGGUAUCAGUUGUAAGUUGAAAACCCUUCCCAGUGAACGAUCCUAGAGCCACUAUGCUAUAUUAGCUAAGGCUAUCCUAGUGCAUGGUGAUAUAGGUUAUAAAUUUUGUUGAUUACUCCUGUCUGAGGACCAAACUCAAGGUACACCAACUAGGCACGCGAUCAUAGUUAAAGAAACAUAUUCCACCAAAUAAAAUACAACAGAACAGGUUGAUAUCAAGACUAUUCUUCAUGAUCCCCAUCAAGGGGAUUUAACCAUCACCAAUUACUACAAUAUUCUUGGUUGCCAUUGGUAACAAUUGGAUGUUUAUGAGAAGUAUGAUUGGAAGUGCCCCAAAAACGUUGCCAAGUAUCAAAAGAUUGUGGAGAAAAGACGACUUUUCAAGUUCUUAUUGGGCCUCAACAAGCACCUUGAUGAGGUCCGUGGGAGGAUCAUUGGUACCAAACCCCUUCCAACAAUCUGUGAAGCCUUCACAGAGGUAAAGAGAGAGGAGACCUGGAAGAAACUCAUGUUAGGCAAGCAAACUGCUAUAGCUACUACUGAAAGUUCUACUCUUGCAACUCGAGGUCAGUUUAGCAACAAUUGAGGAAAUCAACAGCAACAAAAGUGAAGACUUUGGUGUGACUAUUGCAAGAAACAUGGUCAUACAAAGGAUACAUGUUGGGAUAUCUAUGGUAAACUUGCAGAUUGGAAAUCAAGGUCAAAUAGACGUGAUAGUCAAACAAACAAUGCCACCACCGAUUCCACCUCCUAACCCAAAUCAAACCCGCUUAGCAAAGAACAAUUAGAUCUUUUAUAGAAACUACUCUAAUAGUCACAACAACCUAAACCAGCUCAACCCACUUCCAUAAUUGGUACUGGUUUUAUUGCAUAAAAAUGUAAUUUCUUGAGUGCUCUAAAUGCUAAACAGAAAAGGACAAGACCAUGGAUUGUUGACUCUGGUGCAUCUGACCACAUGACGGGAGAUGCAAAUGUUUUUGACACAUAUGAUCCUUGCUCUUCGAAUUAUUUUGUCCGCAUUGCUGAUAGAUCAUUGUCUAAGGUUGGUGGUUCCGGUUCAGUGACUAUUUCACAGGACUUAACUCUUCACUCUAUCUUACUUGUUCCAAAUCUAGAUUGCAAUUUGUUGUCCAUUAGUAAACUGACAAAAGACCUUAAGUGUGUUACUAAAUUUUUUCCUAAUCACUGUGAAUUUCAGGUUAUGGAUUUGGGGAUGAUGAUUUAUUUCAAGUUAUGGAUUCAGGGAUGAUGAUUGGCAAUGCUAAGGUGCAUGAGGGACUCUACCUACUUCAAGCUAAUGAGUAUCCUAAUCCCAGUCAUUCUCAAGCUCAUUCUAUUCAGUCUUCCAAUUCUAUUCUUUCCAUUCGUAGUGAUAAUAAAAAUGAUGCCAUAUUGUUGUGGAAUUAUAGAUUAGGCCAUCCAAAUUUUUUUUAUCUUGAGAAAAUGUUUCCAUCAUUAUUUAAUAAAAAAUCCUAGUCUUUUUAGUGUGAAAUUUGUCAAAUGUCUAAACAUGUGCAUAAUUCUUAUCCUAACCACGUUUACAAGACUUUUCAUCAUUUUUCAAUGAUACACAGUGACCAUUUGAGAUCAAGAACAUUUCUGGAUCAAGAUGGUUUGUCACCUUUAUCGAUGAUCAGACUAGAUUCACUUGGAUAUUUCUCAUGAUAGAUAAAUCUAAGGCUGGCCAAAUCUUUAUAAACUUUCAUAAAAUGAUCCAAAAUCAAUUCUAAGCCCAAAUUCAAAUUCUCAAGACCGUUAUUGGAAGAUAAUACUUCCAUUAUGCUCUGGGUACUUAUUUGAUGAAUAAUGGAAUUAUAUACCAAAGUUCAUGUGUUGAUACUCCUCAACAAAAUGGACUGUCAAAGUCCUUGUCAAGUCCUUCUCCAAUCUUAUCCUAAUUCUCGGCUAAUCUCCUCCAUUCCCAUCAAAGUGUUUGGUUGCAUUGUCUUCGUCCAUAUUCAUUCCCAACAUUACUCCAAACUUGAUCCAAAAGUUGUCAAAUGUCUCUUCCUUGGGUAUUCUCUUAGCCAAAAAGGGUAUAAAUGUUAUUCUCCUACUCAAUGGAAAAUUUACAUAUCCAUGGAUGUAACAUUCUUUAUUAUUCAACUCGUUUACCCUAAAACUGGUAUUUAGGGGGAGAAUGGACUUAGUGAAUAUUAGUUUUUGAACAUAAAUACUGAUUUUCUUGAUACAAGUUUUGAUUUUUCCUGCCUUUCUUCAUCUUUUCUUCCACUUGAGGUUGAGACAUCUUCUAAUCUUCAAUCAAAAUCCAUUUUUAAGACCAUAUAGCCUGCACAAUCUUCAAGUCCUGACCUUCCUCCUGACCAAACUCAACAUCCAACCUCAUCUAUUGUCUAUACCAGAAAAAAAAGGCUUAGAAGGUGGGAAAAAUCCAAGUGCAUCCAAUGCAAAACUAAGAGUUUGAAUCAGAUUCAAAAGAUUCUGAAAAUUGACUAGGUAACACCACUGUUGAACCUCUUUUGGAUGAAAUUUCUAAUGAUUUAGAUUUGCCUAUUACUCUAAGAAAAAUGGUGAGGUCUUGCACUAAACAUCCUAUUCAGAACUUUGUGUCCUAUAAUGAGCUAUCUCCAUCAUAUAGGGCAUUUUCAAUGAAGAUAACUGAAGUGCAAGUUCCUAGAACUAUUCAGCCAAUCGGAUUGGAGAAAAGCUAUUUUUGAUGAGAUGGGUGCUUUGGAAAAGACGGGUACAUGGGAGAUUGUUGAUCUACUGAAAGAUAAGAAUAUGAUAGGAUGUAAGUGAAUCUUUACAGUCAAACAUAGAGCUGAUGGAAAUGUUGAUAGGUUGAAGACACGACUCUUUCCAAAACGAUUUACUCAAGCUUAUGGAGUUGAUUACUAAGAGACAUUUGGCCUAGUUACGAAACUCAAUACUGUUAGAGUCUUACUAUCUCUUGUUGCUAAUCUGGACUGGUCACUAAACUAGUUAGUUGUGAAGAAUGCCUUCCUCAAUGGUGACUUGGAGGAGGAAGUGUAUAUGGAGAUUCCCCUUGGCUUUGAAAGAAACAAUGACUUUAAGAAGGUAUGUAAACUCCGAAAAGCAUUAUAUGGCCUUAAAGAAUCUACUCGUGCUCGGUUUGACAAAUUCACAAAGGUCAUAAAGAAAAAUGGUUAUAUUCAGUGUCAAUUUGAUCACACCUUGUUUGUUAAGUUCUCUAAAGGAGGAAAAAUAACUAUUCUUAUUGUGUAUGUCGAUGACAUAAUUCUUAUUGGAGAUUAUGAUGAAGAGAAAGUUAGUUUGGAAAAUCUCCUCACUAAGGAAUUUGAGAUAAAAGAUUUGGAUGAUCUCAAGUAUUUCCUAUGAAUGGAAGUGGCUUGAUCUAAGAAAGGAAUUUGUAUUUCCCAAAGAAAAUACAUCCUUGAUCUUCUAGAGGAGACUAGUAUGCUUGGGUGUAAACCCUUAGACAUCCCUAUGGACUCUAAUGUCAAGCUUGGCUUAGAUCAAGAGGGUCCUUCAGUUGACAAAGGGCGAUAUCAACAACUUGUAGGGAAGUUGAUAUAUCUUACCCACACAAGACCAGAUAUUAGAUUCUCUAUUAGUUUGGUUAGCAAAUUUAUGAAUAAUCCUACCAAAGAACACUUAGAUGUUGUCUAUAAAAUCCUUCAAUAUCUUAAAUGGGCUCCUAGAGAAGGGUUAUUUUUAAAAAAGAACUCUAACAGAGAAAUUAUGAUCUACACUAACAUAGAUUGGGUUGGCUCUUCUAUAGACCAUAGAUCUACAUCUUAUUAUUGUUCAUAUGUUUGGGGCAAUCUCGUUACAUGGUGAAGCAAAAAACAAACUGUUGUUGCUAGGAGUAGUACUGAAGUUGAAUUCAGAGCUUUAGAAAAUGAAAUUUGUGAGGGCAUGUGGAUUAAAAGACUAUUGGAAGAACUCAAGUUUCCUAUUGAUAGUCCUAUGAGAAUUUUUUAUAAUAAUCAAGCAACAAUUAGCAUUGCUAAAAAUCUUGUUCAUCACGACAGGAUUAAGCAUGUGGAGAUUGACUGUCAUUUCACUAAAUAGAAGAUUGAUGAGGGGAUUAUCACUCUUGCAUACAUGCUAACAACUCUUCAAACAAUCUACAUCCUUGCCAAAGCACUUCCUAGGGUCAACUUUGAAGAAAUGAAGUCCAAGUCGGGCAUGCUAAACAUUUAUAGCCUAGCUUGAGGGGGAGUGUUGAUUUUCGUGUGAUUAUCCUUAAUUUGUUGGGAUUUUGAUUUUGUAUUCCAACCGGGAUUUGUUUCCCACUUUCUGUUUUGAGUUUUUUUUUUCCUUUUUUUUCAUUUUCUUAGGCACGUAUCUCCUAUAUUAUAGCUAGAUUUUUAUUUUGCAAAUUCGAUUCUUAGCUUAUAUAAUGUCAAUGUUGUACAUGCUCUAUAGAAAAAUAUAGAAAUAUACCAAAAUUUCUCCAGUUUUAAAUCAUAUCAAAUUUUUUACUUCAAAAUGAUUACAUUGAAAAACUCCUAAAUUUUGACUUUGAAAUGAUUAACCUUCCAAAGAUUAUUAAAAUUGUUAUCCAUUAUUUCCAUUUACAUAGAAUUUGAGAAGGACUAUAUAAUGCUUGAAAAUUUAAACAGUAUAGAAUAAAAAUAUGAUCUAUAUUGAAUUAGAAUUUUUUUUUAAAAUAAAAUUGGGACAAGCUACCUACUUAAGGAAUCCUCACACACACACACACACACACACACACACACACACACACACACACACACAUAUAUAUAUGAUCUAAGUUGAAUUAGAAUUUUUUAAAAUAAAAUUGGGACAAGCUACCUACUUAAGGAAUCCUCAUAUAUAUAUAUAUAUGACUAAGAAAAAUGAUAAAAAAGGGUGUACAAAUAUCACAUGUUAGAAAUUUUCAAAUAAAAUUGUAAUUUUAUUAAAUUGUAGAAAAAUCUACUUCAAAUCUCCAGUUUAAUUUCAAAUUAUUCUUUCAAUAAUUGUUGACUAAGUGCUUGCAAAAUUUUGAUCUCAAGUUCUAUUGAAGAUUUGAUGUUGCUUGCUUGAACUUCAUUUAGACUUUAACUUGCUUAUGGUUUGAGUUUGGAUUGGCUUAUUUUUUACUUACAUUUUAGAAAUGAACAACAUCUUAGUCUUUGAGAUUUGAAGCUUGAUUUUAUUCUUGGCUAGGCUUGUUAGGCUUUGACUUCAUUUGAGCUUUGGCUUAAACAAUCCUAACCAAGUGCUUGAGUAAUAAUCUUAGACAACAAAAUUUAGAAGAUUUGGCUAUUAAAGUUUGAUUCUUGAUUUUUUGAAAGAUAUUCAUGAUUUGAAAAUAUUUUGAAGAAAUUAAAAACUCAUCAAAGAAAUUUUGAAGAUUUGAGAAAACUUUGAAAUCUCUUUUGAAGAUUGAAAAAGCAAUGAAUACUUUCAAAGAAGCCUUCAAUUUCCCAUAAAAAUGUUUGGGAAGCUUUAAAGGAGACCAAAUUUUUUUGAAGAAGUUUGAAGGCCAUCAUAGAAGCUUUUUGAACUUAUAAUAAAGCUUUCGUUUUACCUUCUUAAUUAUGUAUUUUUUACUUAUUGUGUGAAAUAUACCUUCAAGGUGGUUUCCUUUAUUAAUAAAGAUAGGAAUAACAAUACUUAAACAAUUUUCUAGCUCUUGAAAUAUGUUUUUAAUUAUUUAACUAAACUUAAUUUUUAAGGAGAUAUAAAAGAACAUAUUUAGAUGGUCUUUAACCCCUUGAAAACUAUUCUUUAAGGAGAAUCGGUGAUUAACCGUUUUUUUUAAAAUCAAGUCCAUUAUUGUCUUAAUUUAUUGUAAUAAUUUUCUUUUUGUUGUCAAUAUUUAUCUUUUCUCUUAUUUAAUCUAUAGAUAAUUUUUUGAGGACCCAUUAAUUUGUACUUAAAUAUUGGUAUAGAAAGUUAAAAUUAUGUUUUUAAGAUAAAAAGGAGUAAAAAUCAUUGUUUUUACCUUCAAUAUGUUAACACCCUAUUUUGGUAACUAAUGUGCUAUAUUGUGGGAACUGUAGCAAAGAGAAGAUAAAAACAUGUUUUUGUUAGGAUAGAACCCUUAAAAACAUGAUAUGAAGUAACAAAUUUGGAAUUCAUUAUUUAAUGAUAUUCCAAUUUCAUUUUUAUCUAUUCUUGUUCCAUGCAUUACACUUUAUAAACAUUCUUGCCUAGCAUCUUUUGCAUUGUACGUGAUUUGGGUGCAUUAGGAAUUUCCCAAAAGAUCCAAAUAUCGAGUUCCUUGCAAAUAGAUAACUUUUUCAUAAUCGAUUCAGGUCUAGGCAUCAUGAUAUCUCAUGGUGAAAGACCACCGAAAGUCUAAUAGGGAACAUCCAAAAAGGGAAAGAGGAGUGAAUGGGUGAUAUGAAAAUUAAAAUAAAGAGUUAUAUAUAUUAUAUUAAAUUUUUCUUACCCUAAAAUUUUUUAGGGAAGUCCUAAUUAGCACUUUGGGCAAAUGUCAAACAUAUACUCUAGUAUCUUUGGAGAAUAAGGGAUUAUAUGUUUGUGAGUCUUUGUGAUGAGUUGCUACUCUUUUCAUACCGAGAAAUUGGACUUCAAUAUGAUAAGAACUCUUGUAGGUCUACCUUUGGGUGUGUGUGCACUAUAAGUGGUUUUUAUUUUAUUUCUUUAUUUAUUUAUUUUAUAGAAACAAAGGAAGCCUUUUGGCUUAUGGGUAGUUCCCUUGACCAUAAUGUCUAAGAUCCUAUUAUGUAAUAAUAGUGGGUUGGUGGCAUGGUCUAAAAAACUAAAGUACCACUAGGAAAGGAAACACAUAUGGAGGAAGUGUAACCUUAUUCUGAGAUAAUAUGGAGAGUUGAUGAUACAAUGGAGUAGAAUUCUUUCUACGGUUCCCAAUCUAUUUUUUGGGCUAGUGGGAUUUUGUUGGGAUUAUACCCCUAAAAACAAGGCAUGAUGUAACAAAGUUAGACUUAACCAUCCCCUUGCUAUCCUUUUUGGUGUAUUGACAUUGCCUUGAGCAUUUAGCCCAUGUCUUAUACAUUGUACAUGACUUUUGUGUAUUAGGAGUUAUACAAAAGAUACAAGUCAUGGGUUCCUUGUAAGUAGAUAAGUUGUCCACAAUCGGUUCAUGGAUUUAAGCAAUCCAAUAGAGACUAUAGUGCAUCACCUUCUAAUUAGAGGGAUGACUUAUCUUGGUGAUUCGACUCAUGGUAGCUUAGCUUUAAAGGCGUAUCAACAAAAUUUAUACCUUAAAUACUAUUACUAAAGUAGCCAAGCUACUAUAGCAUAGUGGUUCUAGGAUCGUUCACUGGGAAGGGUUUUCGCAAACACUAGUGAUAUUCAAAUUAGGAAAAUAGGUGAUUUUCUUAUGGAUGUUAGCUUUAAAAGAAGAUGUAAAUGUUUUAGAAAGAUUUAAACUAAUCUAAGCUAACAUUAAAGACUAAAAUGAAAGGGUGUAAAAACAAGUUUCUCAAAGAUAGGAUAGCUAUGCUCUGGCUCUUAUGCAAAUUGGAAAUCUCAGGAUAGGCUCCUCGCGUUGGGGUUGCAACUAUGGUGAUGCUUGCUUCCCGAACCGGUAUGGAUUUAGCAAAUCAAGUUUUAAUCCUUUAAAAUGGCAAAACAGAUGAUAGUGAAUUUCAUCAAUGGUUUUUCACCUUAGACUUCCUUUGAAUGGCUCGUAAGAGAUAACUAAUGGUCUAAAGCCAAAAGCUUACCAAAUAUUGGCAACUCAAAGUCAUUCCAGGUGAUAAACUCACCUUUCAAUGGCCAUUGAAAUUGGUUCUAACGGAUUAAUGCAAAACUUGGAAUUGAAAACCUCACCUUCCAAUAGCUCGUAGGAGAUAACUAAUGGAUAGAAAUCCAAAAGCUUAUCAAGUAUUGGCCGUUGGAAGUUGUCCAAAGGAAAUAAAAACCAAACUUUGCAUUAAUGAACCUUUAAUGAAAAACGACUACCUUACCUUCCAGGUGCGAGAAAUCUCCAUGGGAUUGCAUCCAAGCCAUCACAUAACAUCCAUACUUUGAGAAACUAAAAGUUUUAGCCAAUCAUCCUCUGAGGAAAAGCCCUCAGAGGCUGUUUGGCUAUUAAGAAAAUAGAAAUGGGGAAGAACAAGAGAAGAGAGAAAAAAACAGAGCUUUAUAUAUUUCUAAGUUAAUGUACAGAGGAUCGAUCACCCAAAUCUCCCUUCUUUUGGAGGUGUUGUGCACCUCUAUAUAUAGCAAAAUUACAAGAUAAAGCCUUAUGUUGGCUGAAUACAAGGUUACAAAAGGAAUUUACACGAGAAAAUAUCAAGCUAAAAAUAUCUGGGAAGUCGGUGGUGCGUGCAUGGAGAAACAGAGGAAAAUUCACACCACGCAUGGGCUGUGCGAAUUUGGAAGGUGUUGUGCGAGUGUUGUGCGAGUUUCACACAAGCUUCGCACAACCUGAAGGUGUUGUGCGAAUUUCAAGGUGUUGUGCGAAUUUCGCACAAGCCUGGAGCAGUUGUCUUCCGAAGGCCAUAUAUUCCUCAUUUCACCUCCAAAUCGUACACGAUUUGAACCGUUGGAUUCUUCACUUCCUGAGCUUUGAAAUGGUAUAUAGAAUGUAGAAAAUGAACUUUGGGAAGUGCUCCAAAAGUGUAAAAGAAGACUACAGCUGCUGUCCUCUGUUUUCUUCACUUUGCUUGCUUUUCCUCUUUGCUUCUCUUUGCUUCUCUCCUUUGCUUGGCUUGUCUUAAUGAUCCAAAAAGCUGUCAAAACACUAAAAAUAGCCACAAAUAUGAUUAGAAGUCAUUGCUAGGUCCUUAACAUGCCAAUUGGGAUAAAGAUGGAGAACUACUACACAAAAGUGCUUAAAACAUAAUGAAUUAAAGGUGUAAAAUAACACUUUUUGGGUAGUAAUCACUUGGCCAUCAAGAUGGGUUUCCCAUGGUGAGUGCACUAGUGUAUGUGAUGCAAAUUGGACAGGACCUAGGGUGAAUCAUGACACAAAACUAUCAAUUAUCAUGAUUCACCAAGCUACUACACUACAUAGACUUUCAAACUUGAGAAGAUAUUGAGCUUGUGCAAAAAUCAAUAGGAGGCUUUGACUUAUGGGUAAGACUUUAAAGUGGUCAUAUAUCCCUAUGGAUUUGGUCACUAUUGAUGGAGGCUGGUGGCAAUGGGUAUUCUCAAUAGAGACACCAUGAUAUCUCAUAAGAUUGAGACAAUGUGUCCCCUUGGGUGAUCUAAAAACAUGUGAUCGUGAAAUCUGUGGCCAUAGUAAUUACUUAAGUGGAAUUUGACAUAUUCUCUUCAAAGCUAGAGUAUGUUAUUUGAUCACAUAAUAAGUGGGAUCUAUAACUCAAGGAUUUGAGAGGUAAUCUUGAUAGGUGAAAACACUAUCUUGUUAGAUUAUGAACACUAGUUCAUGGGGAGUCUACAUGCAGUGGAUAGUAGGUCACAAACUCAAAUACUUGGUGUCUCGUUUUAAUAUAUAUAAGGUACUGGAGUGUAGUUGACUCUCUAUAGUGGGAUGCUAAGUUAAUUUCAUAAUUGUUUAUAAGAGAGCCAAUACUCCUAUGGGUCCCAAUGGUCCUCGAUCUGGGGUCAUAUUCCUUGAUGGCAUGGUUUAUGAUGGUUAGGUGGAUUUUGAAGGGAAAAACUCAGAUCACUCCGCUUCCCAAGCCCAGAUUUGGUUAGCAACAUGCAUAACUAUCCUAGGCCUUUUCUAAAUCCUAUGCUCAAUGAAAAAAAAAAUAACAUUUUUAAACCUUAAAAGGAUUCAUAAAGAGCUAACGAAAACCAUAUCUCAGAUUCCGAUGUUCCUAAAUCAAAUCCAAGUGGUGAAAAUGAAGAAUGAAAUCACAAAAGUCUCAUAAACCCGAAGUCUUCCGUGCAAUGAAUUGAAUUGAUCUUGACACACCUCCAGUGGGGAUGGAAAGGAAUGUGGAGGCUAUAACUCUUUCUUUUUCUCUUUGGAGAUGGAAGAUGGCUCUCUAGAAAAACUAUAUGAACUUUAAGCCCUAAGAUGAGAUUUAUAGGGUUUUCUACUAGGCUUAAGUAACUUGAGCUCACUAAGUGCUUGGGUCACUUAAUCUAGCCCAAAACGGGUCCUAAUUGAUUAAUUAACUCAAUAGGGCAUGCUAAUUAAUCAAUUAGCCCAAUCUAGAGACCUUGCUCACUUACCCUUGUGCAAUCUUUGUGUAAUUACCAAAAUGGCCUUAUGCACAAAAGUGAACUUAGAGCUAAUUCGACUCUCAUUACCCAUGCCAACAAGGUAUAUGAGCUCAGAGCAAGGACUAUUAGAACCCAUAUGAAUAUUAGGUCCCUCAUAAUCCAAUUCUAAAGUUGAUUCAACAUCCCACUAGAAAGAAUCAACUGAACUCCAGUAUCCUAUGUAAAUAGCAAUGAGACAUUAUGUGCUCAGGUUCUUGACCUGCUAUCCAUUACAUUUAGUCUCCCGAUGAACUAGUGUUCGUAGUCUAACAAGAUGAAAGCUAUCAACCUUUCAAGACUAUCUCUACUAUCUUUAAGUUAUAGAUCCUCCUAUUGUAUAUUCAACUGACACGUCUUAGCUCUCAAAGAGCCUAUGUCAAGUUUCACUUAAGGAAUUACUAUGACCAUAGUUUCUAUUAACACACCUCCUUAGGAUCACCUAAGGGGAUACACUGUCUCAAUCCCAUGAGAUAUCAUGGUGCCUACAUUGAGAAUACUUUUUGCUACCAACUUCUAUCAACAAUGACCUGAUCCAUAAGGAAUAUAUGAUCAACUUACGAUCUCACCCGUAGGUCAAAACCAUUGCUAACUUUAGCAUAGGCUUAAUAUUCUCUCAAGGUUGAGAGAUAACACAAUGAAGCAACUUGGUGAGGUCAUGACUACUUGAUAGCCUUAAGUCAUGACUCACCAUAGGUCUUGUGCAAUGUGUAACCAUACACACUAAUGCACUCACCAUGGGAAACCCCUCCCCAUAGCCAAGACAAGUCAUCACUCCAAUUAGGAAGUAGUGCACUACAACCUCUAAUGGGUUGCCUAGACCCAUGAACUAGUUGUGAACAAGUAAUCUAUUUGCAAGAAACCCAUGACUUGGAUCUUCUGUGCAACUACUAAUGCACCUAAGUCACAUACAAUGCAAAAUAUGCAAGUAAGAAUGCUCAUAAAAUAUAAUACAUGGAAUAAGGAUAGACAAAAGUGAAAUUGGAACAUCAUUUAAUAAAUAAUGAAUUCCAAAUUUAUUACAUCAUGUCAUGCUUUUUAGGGCUCUAUCCUAGCAUUCUCCUACUAGCCCUAAAAGCAUCAUGCCUAUAAAGCAUGCCAAAUACUCAUUUGAAACCUAUGCUAUCCUUGUGACUAAUAAAGACUCUCCUUGUCAAUGUCUUGGUGAAGGGAUCCACCAGGUUCUCCAUAUAAGGUAUCUUGUCCCAUAUCAUGUCACCUUCUAAACUAUUUCAACACUUUGGAGCACAAGCACAUAAGCACUCGUUCUCCUAAGAUACUUCAGUAUAUGCUUGAUAGCAGUUUAGUGUUUUGGACCUGGAUUAAACUAAUAUCUACUUACCAUACCCAUUACAACAAAAUAUUUAGCCUAGUACAUAGCAUCGCAUGCAUAAGGCUACCCACUAUAGAGGCAUAGGGUAUUGAUUGGAUGCGUUUUUUCUCCUCAGGUGUUUUAGGACACUGAUCCCAAGAAAGAAGAAUUCCAUACCUAAAAUGUAACAAACCUUUCUUGGAAUCUUGCAUCACAUACUUGACCAAAAGCUUAUCUAUGUAGGUAGCUUGAGAUAGCACUAGUUUCUUAUUCUUACGGUCCCUAGGGACCUUAAUCGCAAGAAUAUACUACACUUCUCCCAGAUCCUUAAUCUGGAAUUGAGUAGAUAACCAGAACUUUACUGAUGACAAUAACCCUACAUCAUUACCAAUGAGUAAAAUGUCGUCAACAUACAAGAUCAUAAAGACCAUCAUGCUUCCUUACUCCUUCUUUUUACACACAAGGUUCAUCCUCAUUUUGAUCAAAGUCAAAGGUCUUGACUGCUUGAUUGAAACAUUUAUUCUAUGAGCGAGAUGCUUGUUUUAGUCCAUAAAUGGAUUUAUGCAAUUUGUAUACCAUAUGCUCUUAACCCUUUGCUACAAUACCUUUUGGUUGCACCAUAUAGAUGCUCUCAUCAAGAUUUCCAUUUAAGAAUACAAUCUUGACAUCCAUUUUCCAUAUCUCGUAGUCAAGAUGUGCUGCAAUGGAUAGGAGUAUUCUAAUGGACUUGAGCAUGGCUAUCGACGAGAAGGUCUCAUCAUAGUCAAAACCAAGUUUCUGACUAUAACCCUUCACUACAAGCCUAGCCUUAAAAGUCUCAACCUUUCCACCCACUCCUCUCUUUCUCUUGUAGACCCACUUACACCUUAUGGGUUUUAUACCUUCAAGUGCUUCUACAAGCUCCUAGACUUGGUUAGAAUGCAUAGAUUCUAACUAUACUUCCAUAGUCUUUUGCCAAAAAUGUGCAUCCACAUCGCUCAUUACUUCAUCGUAACAUGUGGGAUCGAUCUCAUGUUCCUUUAGAAUGACCUUAAAAGACUCUCCCAAAACAUGAAUUGGUCUAGUUGUUUAACAACCCUCCCACUACAACGAAGCAUCAGUGUACUAGAAAUGAGAAUGGUUGGUACUAGAUCCAUAGUAUUUGUAGAUUGUUUGCCUUAUUACAUGUUAUAUAGUCUUCAUAAAAAAUCUAGUAUUUGUAGUAAGCAGCACCUUUUGAUAAUCCUAACUAUAAAGUAGUAAUCCUGAAAUCCUCUUAGAUAUCCUAUAAACUAAUACACCUCUUUAGAAAAAGAAGAGGUAUUACACAGUCUUUUGAUAUAUCCCCAAAGAAUAUGGGAAGUAAUGAGAAACCAAUCACCGAUCUCACUUUGUCUACCAAAGUUUAAUAUAUUCUUUCCAUUACUCCAUUUUGCAAUGGAGUCCUUGGGGCACACAAUUGUGAUAUGAUCUCAUGCUUCAUUUGGAAAGAAUCAAACCUACUAGACUAACCACCUCAAUCUAAUCAAAGUGCCUUGAUAUGUUUACCCAUUAGGUUAUCUAAUUCUGCCUUAAAUUCAAUGAGUUUAUUCAAGGCAUCAUAUUUCCUAUCUAUAUAUCCAAAGCUAGAGUAUUUAUCAAUAAAAUGAUCAAAGACUCACACUUUCAAUAUAUAAACACAAAAAGGUUCACAUACGUGAGUAUGCACUAACUCCAAACAUUCCUUGGUUCCAAGUCCUUUAAAAAUAAAAGGGUCUCUUAGUCAUUUUACCAUCUAUAUAAGAUUCAUAAACUAAAAGAUCUUCUAGAUUAAGAAGGUCCAAACUUAAUUAGUAUUUGGAUCAAUAUGACUUAGGCAUUAGAAGCCAAAUGUUUGAUUAGUUCUAGGUUCUUUCUUUUGGUGAGAUUUAACUAUUCUCAUUACUUGGCAAAGUGAUAAUGGAGUCUCACACAGAAAGGGUAAUACCUCCCACUAACAUGCACAACUAAUCUUACAAUUGAAGCUGAGAUAAGUACAAUCCCAUCAUGUGACCUUCUCACUUGUUGAAAACCUUGUAAAGAACUACAGAUAGUGGGCCUGGAAUCUAUCCACCACUAUGUAUUCAACAACAAGAACAUGAUGUGUACUUGUCUAUUCUUAAACACUCCAAGCAUUCCAUUUUUAAGUGUCCUAAAAGGCCACAAAGGAAUCAUUGCCCAUGAGUUUGUUCUCUCAUUAUUUUUCUUGAACUUUCCUUAUUUGGUGUUGUUCUUUUCCUUCUUAGUAGAAGAACCUAAAGAACCUUGACUUCCAUAUGAACACCUUUCGACUCUUUGAGAAUCUUCUUAACCAUACUAAAGGAAUCCGGUAAGAUCUCUAGGAUAACAUGAAUCUUGGUGUUCAUAAUAGUCCUAAGGGCAACUUGUUUAGUUGACUUACUCUUAUUACCAAAUAACCCUUUCAACUUUAAAGAGAAUAUCAUAGACUAUGGAAAUAGACAUAUGUUGUUUUUGCAACACUUUAUCUAAAGACCCAAGUAUGAGAGACUUGGCCUUUUGAUCUGUCUUAUGCCAUAUUUGAUAUGUUUCUCUUACUUCAUGAUAGGUUUGUUCAAUGGAAAUAACAAACUCUACCAAAAUCAGCUUCUAUGCAAUUAAUACUAUACCCAGAUUAUUUAUAGUCUAUCAUUAGGUCCAAUUUAAACAAAAGAUAAUAGGCAACAAGUUAAAAACAUGAUAUCUAUAACAAAUAUAAUAAUUCCAUGCAUUAAUAAAAAGAAAUUGAGCAUUCAAGGAAAAUUGGUAAUUAAUUUAGCAAAAAAGUAGUGUUCUCAAACUACAUAUCCUUUUGAAAGGUAUCCUAGUAUCAUAAGAAUCAAGCCAACUUUAUGUAGGUCACGACUCUUAUUACUAAGGUAGAGUCCCUCUCUAAUUGAUCAACUCUAAUUAAACUUUAAAAGUUAUCCUAAGGCAUUGAUCAACAUACCUUUAUGUUUAGCCCUUAGUCCAUGCAAGUGGGACCACUUUAGGUGAUUUUACCACUUUAGGUGAUUUUACCACUUCAUGUCUAAGUUAAGUAUGUAACCAAGAUCCUUGACAUCAAUGUUACCAAGUGAAGAGUUCCAUCUUUAGGAUUGACUACUCUCACUAUAAACAUAUAUAGUCUUGUCCAUAAAGGAUAGUCUUUAUCCCUUGAUUCCUUGGGUCACCCUAUCUUUAGGAUGGUGAUGCACCCAAAAUCAAGAUGGGCUUGAUCUUGGAGGUUAUGGGCUUGCCUAUGGCCUACUCUUACUUAAUAUUUUGGAAAAGAGGCUUUAAGAUAAUUUUGGUAACUAUCUUAAAAUAAAUUAUCUAUCAUGAGAAUUUCCAAAACUUUUAUUUAUCACUUGAAUUGGGACUCUUGUACCAAAUAGGGAUAUAUUUCAUAUUCCUUAUCCUUGAACUUUCCUUUUCAAACUAAACAAAUUCCUCAUUCUCUCAGAUGAGAAGAGGUUGGAAGACCAAUUUAAUUGUCAUUCUACUUCUCUCUAGGGAGGAAGGCUUGGAAAACCACUUAAGCCAAAUAAAGAAAAGUCCCAAAAGGAAUUUGAAAUUCCAAAUGACAACAACCAAUUCCUUAAAUAAAUAAUAAUGGAAAUAAAACUCAUGAAAAUGUAUUCUUUUAAGAAAAUCCAAAAUUACCAUUUUAAUUUAUUUUAUUUGAAACAACAUCUUGGUAAGCUAUAUUAAUAAUGAAUCAUCUAUCAUAUAUUUUUCUAAAAAUAAUUUAUUUCUUUAAAUUAAAAUCUUGUGCUAAAUAGGAAAGAUUUUAUUUCAUAAAGGCUUGGAAAACUAAAACUUCUUCCUUAUAAUAAAAAAAUUCUUAGAGAUCUAAAAUUUAAAAAAAAUUAUUUUGGAAAAGAAAAUCUCUAAAAGUUUAAUUUUGAAAUGGAAGUAGGUUCCUUAUUACUUUCCAACUUAUCUUUUCCUAAAAUAAAAUUUUCCUAAUCCCUAUCACAUUCCAAUUUAAUAAAUUAUCUAAAACAAGAAAAAAAAUGAAAAUUCAUUUACUUAAGAAUGCCAAAAUAUAUUCUAUGUCAAAAAUAAAAAGGCAUAAAAGAUAUAAAAGGAAAUUAAAUAAAUAAUUUUCAUGGUCUUAUGGAUCUUGCUGCAAAUUUGGAUAAAAUCCAAAUUAUCAAAAUAGUCCUGCAACCAAAGAUAGGGUUAAUGAAAAAAGAAAAACCCAACAAGCCCAAUUGCCACAAAAAAAAAGCCCAAAAAGAGGCCCAAAAAAUUGAGUUCAAACAACCAAAAACAAUUUGGCCCAAACUCAAUCCCGUAAUUGCAUGCCCUUUGAGCAGCCUUGCUUCAAUCAGCCAUAUCUCCCUCGUUUCAACUCUGAAUUGUGAUAUGUUUGAAGCAUUGGAUUCCUGUAUUCCUAAGCUUGAAAACCAUAUAUGGUUUUCCCCAAAGAUCUCAUGGGAGGUAGCCCCGAUUUUGAGUUAAAUUCAGCAUCACUGUGCUGCCAUGGUCUUUGCGCAACCUUACUUCAAUCGAUUAUAACUCCCUUGUUUCAACUCCGAAUUGUGAUCUAUUUGAAACCUUGGAUUCCUGACUUCCUAAGAUUGAAAACCACAUGUGGUUUGACCUAAAAAAACUCAUGGGAAGGUAUCCUGAUUUUAAUCGUAAGAUGACAAAAUUGUGCUGCCAAGGAUCUCAAAUCAAGAAUUUCCAAGAAUCUUUCUUUUCCCUUAAAUCACCAUAGGAACUUAUGAAAGAAACUUCAAGAAGCCUUAUUUUCUCUUUUCCAAAAAAGGGAAUGUGCGCGGAAAUUUUGUGAUGCUUCAGACUGCUUCCAUAAUCUCCAUAUGUUACAAAAAAUGAUAAAAAAAAAAGGAUUUGGAGUUUACAUAUCAUUCUAAGAUAAAAAUGGGAUUUUUACAAAAGAACAAAAAUCCUAUGCCUCUUUUGAGGCUUACAACCCAUCUAGAAAAAGUAAACAACAAUCCCAGUAAUUAUUACAUCCCUAAUAAAAAACAAUCACAAUAAUAAAGAAUCCACAUUAAUUAUCCCUAGUGUCAUGGGAUAAACACAUACCUUACAAAAUAAAGUUAGCACACCCUAUAAUGGUUCUAGCACGAUUACUAACCUAUGGCUCUAAUACUAGUUGAUGGGAAAAACCUGGAUAUUUCCGUUUUCUAAGCUCGAAUCAGGUUAGGAACAUGUAUAACUAUCUUAGGCUUUUUCUAAAUCCUAUGCAUAGUGGAAAAAUAACAUUUUUAAACUUUAAAGAGAUUCAAAAGGCGCUAAAAAAAACCAUACCUCAAAUUUGGAUGUUCCUGAAUCAAAUCCAUAUGGUAAAGAUGAAGAACGAAAUCGCAGAAGUCUUGUAAACCCGAAGUCUUCUGUCCGAUGACUCAAAUCUUGAUCUUGACACACUUCCGGUGGGGAUGGAAGGGAGGGUGAAGGCUACUUUUAGGAUAGAGCCCUUAAAAGCAUGAUAUGAUGUAAUAAAUUUGAAAUUAAUUAUUUAUUUCAUGAUGUUCCAGUUUCACUUUUAUCUAUCCUUAUUCCAUGUAUUAUACUUUAUGAACAUUCUUAUCUGCAUCUUUUGCAUUUUAUGUGACUUAGGUGCAUUAGGAGUUGCAUAGAAGAACUAAGUCAUGGGUUCUUUGCAAAUAAAUGACUUGUUCACAACCGGUUCAUGGGUCUAGACAACCCAUUAGAGGUUGCAGUGCACCACCUCCAAAUUGGAGGGAUGAUUAGUCUUGAAUACUGGGAUAGGUUUUCCAUGGUGAGUGCACUAGUGUGUAUGGUUACACAUUGGAUAGGACCAAUGGUGAGUCAUGACUUAAGGCUAUCAAGUAGUCAUGAUCUCGCCAAGUUGCUUCACUGUGUUGUCUCUCAACCUUGAGAGAAUAUUGAGCUUGUACUAAAGUUAGUAGUGGUUUUGACCUAUGGGUGAGAUCGUAAGCUGAUCAUAUAUUCCCUAUUGAUUGGGUCAUUAUUGAUGGAAGUUGGUAGCAAUAGGUAUUUCCAAUAGAGGCACUAUGAUAUCUCUUGGAAACUAUGGGCAUAGUAGUUCCUUAAUUGGAGCUUAACGUAAGCUCUUUGAGAGCUAAAACAUGUCAGUUGAAUACACAAUAGGAGAAUUUGUAACUUAAGGAUGGUAGAGGUAGUCUUGAAAUGAUGAUAGCUUUCACCUUGUUAGACUAUGGACACCAAUUCAUGAGGAAACUAAACAUUAUGGAUAGCAGGUCACAGACUUGAGCACGUAAUGUUUCAUUGUUAACUUAGGAUACUAGAGUUUAGUUGAUUCUUUAUAGUGGGAUGUUAAAUCAACUUCAGAAUUGGAUUAUGAGGAAGCUAGUAUUCCUAUGAGUCUUAAUGGUUCCCGCUUUGAGCUCCUAUACCUUGUUGGCAUGGAUUAUGAGGGUCGGACUAGCUCUAAGUUCACUUUUGUGCAUAAGGGCAUUUUGGUAAUUAUAUAGGUUGCACAAGGGUAAGUGAACAAGGUCUCUAGAUUGGGCUAAUUGAUUAUUUAGUAGGUCUUGUUGGGUUAAUUAAUCAAUUAGGACCUAUUUGGGCUAGAUUAAGUAACCUAAGCCCAUGUGGGCUUAAGUCACUUAAGCCCACUUAGGAACCAUAUAUAUACCCUUUAGGGGUUAGGGUUUGCAUAGUUUUUGUCUUCCACCAUCCAGAAAGAUAGAGAGUCAUAGCCUUCACCAUUUUUUCCUUCCCAUCGGAAGUGUGUCAAGAUCAAGGUUCGAGUCAUCGGGUGGAAAACUUCAGGUUUAUGAGACUUCUGCUAUUUCUUUCUUCAUCUUCACUACGUGGAUUUGAUUUGGGAACAUCCGAAUCUGAGGUAUGGUUUUCUUAGCAUUUUUUUUAAUCCCUUAGAAUUUUAAAAAUAAAAAUUUUAUGUUGUAUAUAUCCUUUAGAAAAGGCUUAGGAUAGUUAUGCAUGUUCCUAACUUGAUCCGGGCUUGGAAAACAGAGAGAUUUAGGCUUUUCCCAUCAACUAUGGCUUUCUAUCUUUCUGGAUGGUGGAAGACAAAAGCUAAUGAAACCCUAACCCUUGGGAUAUUUAUAAGGUUCCUAAGUUAGCUUAAGUGACUUGAACCUACAUAGGCUUGAGUCACUUAAUCUAGCCUAAAAUGGGUCCUAAUCGAUUAAUUAACCCAAGGAGGUCUACCAAUUAAUCAAUUAGCCAAAUUCAGAGACCUUGUUCAGUUAUCCCUAUGUAAUCUUGCGUAAUUACAAAAAUGCCCUUAUCACAAAAGUGAACUUAAAGUCGAUCCGAUCCUCAUAAUCCAUGCCAACAAGGUAUAUGAGCUCAAAGAGAGGACCACUAGGACCCAUAGGAAUACCGGCUCACUCAGAAUACAAUUAUAAAGUUAAUUCAACAUCCCAUUGUAGAAAAUUAAUUGAGCUCCAAUAUCCUAUGUAAAUAACAAUGAGACAACAAGUACUCGGGUCCGUGACUUGCUAUCCAUUAUGUUCAGUCUCCUUAUGAACUAGUGUUCAUAGUCUGUCAUGGUGAAAGCUAUCAACCUUUCAAGACUACCACUAUCAUCCUUGAGUUAAAAACCUCCUAUUGUGUGUUCAAUUGACAUAUCUUAGCUCUCAAAGAGCCUAUGUCAAGUUCCACUUAAGGAACUACUAUGCUAUAGUUUCCAUGAAUACACCUCCUUAGGAUCACCCAAGGGGACACACUAUCUCAAUCCCAAGAGAUAUCAUGGUCCUUCUAUUGAGAAUACCUAUUGCUACCGACUUCCAUCAAUAGUGAUCCAAUCCAUAAGGAAUAUAUAAUCAGCUUAUGAUCUCACACGUAGGUCAAAGCCACUGCUAACUUCAAUACAAGCUCAAUAUUCUCUCAAGGCUGAGAAACAACAUAAUGAGGUAGCUUGGUGAAGUCAUGACUACUUGAUAGCCUUAAGUCAUAACUCACCAUAGGUUUUAUCUAAUGUACAACCAUACACACUAGUGCACUCACCAUGAGAAACCCAUCCCAAUAGCGAAGACCAACCAUCCCUCUUAUUAGGAAGUGGUGCACUAUAACCUUUAAUGGGUUGCAUAGACUGAUGAAUUGGUUGUGAACAAGUCAUCUAUUUGUAAGGAACACAUGACUUAGAUAUUUUGUGAAACUCCUAAUACAUCUAACUCAAGUACAAUGCAAAAGAAGCAAACAAGAAUGCUCAUAAAGUAUAAUACAUGAAAUAAGGAUAGAUAAAAGUGAAAUUAAAACAUCUUUAAAUAAAUAAUGAAUUCCAAAUUUAUUACAUCAUGUCAUACUUGUAAGGGCUCUAUCCUAACAGUUGUCUCUCAACCUUGAGAGAAUAUUGAGCUUGUGUUGAAGUUAGCAAUGACUUUGACCUACAAGUGAGAUCGUAAGUUGAUCAUAUAUUCCCUAUGGAUUGGGUCAUUGUUGAUGGAAGCUAAUAGUAAUAGGUAUUUUCAAUAGAGACACCAUGAUACCUCUUGGGAUUGAGAUAGUGUCUCCCCCUUUGGGUGAUCAUAAGAAGGUGUGUUCAUGGAAACUAUGGUCAUUGAAGUUUCUUAAGUGGAACUUGAAAGACUGAUAGCUUUCACCUUGUUAGACUAUGAACACUAGUUCAUAGGGAGACUGAACAUAAUGGAUAGUAGGUCAUGGACCCAAGCACUUGGUGUCUUGUUGUUAUUUACAUAGGAUACUGAAGUUUAAUUGAUUCUCUGUAGUGGGAUGUUGAAUCAAAUUUAGAAUUGGAUUAUGAAGGAGCCCGUAUUCCUAUGGGUACCAAUGAUCCUCGCUUUGAGCUCACAUACCUUAUUGGCAUGGGUUAUAAGGAUGGGAUUGACUCUAGGUUCACUUUUGUGAGUAAGGGUGUUUUGGUAAUUACGUAAGGUUGUACAAGGAUAAUUGAAGAAGGUCUUUAGAUUGGGUUAGUUGAUUAAUUAGUAAGCCUUGUUGGGUUAAUUAAUCAAUUAAGACCCCAUUUUGGGCUAGAUUGAGUGAUCCAAGCCCUCAGUGGGCUCAAGUCACUUAAUCCUAGUAGGAAACACUAUAAAUACUCCCUUAAGGGUUAGGGUUCCCUUAGUUUUUUCUAGAGAGUCGUUUUCCAUUUCUAAAGAGAGAGAGAGAGAGAGAGAGUCAUAGCUUCCACCCUUCCUUUCAUCUCCAUUGGAAGUGUGUCAAGAUCAAGGUUCGAGUCAUUGGGUGGAAGACUUUGGGUUUACAAGACUUAUGCGAUUUUGUUCUUCAUCUUCACCAUGUGGAUUUGAUUCGGGAACAUUUGAAUCUAAGAUAUGGUUUUUGUUAUUACUUUAUGAAUCCCUUUAAAGUUUAAAAAUGCUAUUUUUCCAUUGAGCAUAGGAUUUAGAAAAAGCCUAAGAUAGUCAUGCAUGUUCCUAAUCUAAUCUAGGCUUGGGAAAUGGAGAGAUUCAUAUUUUUCCAAUCACACAUAGCAUCGCAUACUUAAGACUAUCCAUUUUAGAGUCAUAGGAUACCGCUUUAAUGUGAUCUUUUUCCUAUGAUGUCCAAGGACAUUGAUCUUGAGAAAGAUAGCCCUAAACCCAAAGGGUAACAAACCCUUCUUGGAGUUUUACAUCAUGUACUUGACCAAAUACUCAUCAAUGUAGGUGACAUGACAUAAUUUUCCUAUUCUUGUAGUCCUAAAGGACCUUAACCCAAGAAUAUAUUAUGUCUUUCUCUAGAUUUUCAUCUAGAAUUGAGUAGGCUAGUAGGUCUUUACUAAUGAAAAUAUCCUUACAUCAUAUCCAUUGAGUAGAGUGUCAUAUACUUGUGCUCUAACCAUGCUUCCCUACACUUUCUUGUACACAUAAGGCCCUUUGCUAUGAAAAUAUUUGGUUGUUAUAUCUUAUAAACGAGACACACUACAAUAGAUAGGAGUAACGUAAUGGAUUUAAAUAUGACAAAUGUUGAAAAGGUUUUCCAUAGUUGAAACAAAGUUUCAAACUAUAACCUUUAGCGACAGUCUUAGCCACAUAAAACUUAAGUUUUCCAUUUACUCCUAUGUUCCUCUUGUAGACCAACUUACACCUAUAGGUUUUAUCCCUUUAGAUGCUUUUAUAGGAACUCAAACUAUGUUAGAAUAUAAAGAUUCUAACUACCUCUUCAUAGCUCCUUGCCUUAAUGUGAGCAAAACACUGUUCAUUGCUUCAUCAUAAUCUAUGAGAUAUAAAACUCCCACUACGAUGAGGCACUAGUAUACUAGAAAUCAUAGAAAAUGUAUGCCUUUAAUCCUUUGGCUCUGUGGUAUCCUAUAUAAUGUGGGACUAUCUUCUAAUAUAUCCUCCAAUCUGUCUCACUUUUUACCUUAUUCCUUAUCAUAUAAUCUUCAUAAAAAAUCUUAUAUUUGUGUUAACAAAUAUCUUCUAAUGAUCUUAACUAUAAAUGUAAUGACCAAAAAAUCUUCUUAUAUAUCCUAUAAAUUGAUAUACCCCUUUAUAAAAAAUAAUAAUUAUACAAUCUAUAAGAAAUAUCUUGAAAAAAAUCUGGGAAAAUAUGAGAAACCUAAUCCAUGAUCUCACUAUUUCCAUUAAAGUUUGAUAUCUUCCUUUCACCUCUCUAUUUUAUAAUAGACACUAGUGCAUGUUUUUGGGAACACUGGAUUACUUUGUUCCCAUGCCUAGGAUCAUGUAGGGUGCAUUCAAAUCUAUCAUAAGCUCUCUAAAUCUAUCGCGAUGAAUAAACAAGUAUUAAAAAAAAUAAGGAUACCAUAGAAAAGAUAGAAAUAUAUAAUAAAACAACAUACCUUUGAUCCGGAUGUUCCCGAAUCAAUUCUAAUCGAUGUAGAUAACUCCAAAGUCAUAAUGAAUCUCAUAAACACCAUGAUUUUCUGCUCAAUGACUCUUCCUUGUGUCUAGGCACUGAGAUGGUAGAUAUCUCAAGUGUGGAGGUUAGGGUUCUCUCUCUAGAUUGAAGAGGAGAAUAGCAAGAAUUAGAAACCCUAACCCUAAAAGGGGUAUUUAUAGGCUUCAUAUUAGGCUGAAGUGACUAAAGCCCACCAUGGGCUUGGGUCACUUAAUCUAGCACAAAAAGGUUGCUAAUUGAUUAAUUAACCAUACAAGACCAUAUUAAUCAAUUAGCCCAGUUAAAGGAUAGCACUCACUUAUCCCUGUGCAACCUUAUAUAAUUACCAAAACACCUUUAUGCAAAAAAGUGAAUGAAAAACCCAUCCAACCCUUAUAAGUCAUGCCAAUAAGGAAUAUGAGCUUAGAGUGGGGACCAUUGAGACCCAUAAGAGCACUAGCUUUCUCAGAAUCAAAUUCUGAAAUUGACUUAACAUCCCACUACAAAGAGUCAACUGCACUCCAAUACACUAUGUAUAUUACAAUGAGACACCAAGUGCUCAGGUCCGUGACUUACUAUCCACUGCAUGCAGACUCCAUAUGAAUUAGUAUCCAUAAUCUAACAAGGUAGUGCUAUUACCUAUCAAGAUUACCUCUCAAAUCCUUGAGUUACACAUCCCACUUGUUAUUGGAUCAAAUAAUAUAUCCUAACUCCAAGAAGCAUAUGUUAAAUUCCACUAAAGAAAUUACUAUGGCCAUAGAUUUCAUGAUCACAUGUCCUUUAGAUCACCCAAGAGGACACACUGUCUCAAUCCCAUGAGAUAUCAUGGUGCCUCUAUUGAGAAUACCUAUUGCCAACAAUCUUCGUCAACAGUGACCCAAUCCAUAAGGAUAUAUGACCACUUUAAGGUCUCACCCAGAGGUUAAAUCCUCCAAUUGAUUUUGGCACAGACUCAAUAUCCUCUAAAGGUUGAGAGUCCAUGCAAUAUAGUAGCUUGGUGAAUCAUGAAAAUUGAUAGUCUUGUGUUAUGAUUCAUCGUAGGUCCUGCCUAGUGUGCAUCACAUACACUAGUACACUCAUCAUGGGAAACUCAUCCUGACAACCAAGACAAUUUAUCUUUCUAAUUAAGAGGUGGUAAACUAUAGUCUCUACUGGAUUGCUCAAAUCUAUGAACCAAUUGUGGACAAUUUAUCUACUUAAAAGAAACCCAUGACUUGUAUCAUUUGUGCAACUCUUAAUACACCUAAGUCAUGUACAAUGUAAGAGACAUGGGUUGAAUGCUCAAAUCAAUGUCAAUACACCAAAGAGAUAACAUGGGGAUAGUUAAGUCUAACUUUGUUACAUCAUGUCUUGAUUUUAGGGGCUCAAUCCCAACUAACUUCCACUAGCCCCGAAAGCAGAUUGGGUACUAUAGAAAGAUUCUGCUUCACAAUCAUAUCACUUCUCUGUACUAUCUCAUAAUAAGGCUACACUUCUUCUUUAUGGGGUUCUUUUUCUAGUGGUAUUUCAGUUCUUUAGACCAUGCAAUUGUCUCACUGUUAUCACUUAAUAAGAUCUUAGACGAUAUAGCCAAGGAAACUACCUAUAAGCCAAAAGGUUUCCUUUGUUGCUAUGGAAACAACAAAAAGCCAUUUAGAGUGUACACAUACCCAGAAGUAGACUUGUGAGAGUCUUUAUCAAAUUGAAGUCCAAUUUUCCGAUACAAAAGGAGUACUAACUCAUUGCAAAGACUUACAAACAUAUAAUCCCUCAUUCUCAAAGACAUUAGAGUAUAUGUUUGACAUCGAACCAAAGUUCUUAGCAGGAAAUGGACUAAUAUCCACUUAUUAUUCCUAUAACAAAGCUGAUAUUUGGUUUAACACAUAAUAUUGCAUACUUAAGGCCAUCUAUAGCAGAGGCCUUAGAUACCGCCUUAAUGCGAUCUCUUUUCAUAAAUGUCUAAGGACAUUGAUCCUAAGAAAAACAACUCCAAAUCCAAAGAGUAACAAACCCUUCUUGGAGUUUUACAUCAUGUAGUUGACCAAAUGCUCAUCUAUGUAGAUGACAUUACAUAAUUUUCCUAUUCUUAUAGUCCUAAAGGACCUUAACCCCAAGAAUAUAGUGUCUUCCUAUAAAUUUCAUCUAGAACUAAGUAGACUACCAGAUAUUGAUUGAUGACAAUAUCCCUACAUCCUAUCCAAUGAGUAGAUUGUCAUCUACCUGCAAGAUCUUAAAGCAUCACCACGCUUCCCUUUGGUUUCUGGUACACACAAGGCCCUUUGCUAUGAAAAUGUUUGGUUGUUAUAUCUCAUAAAUGAGACACACUACAAUAGAUAGGAGUAAUAUGAUGGAUUUGAGUAUGACCACUAUUGAAAAGGUUUUCUUUGGUUGAAACAAAGUUUCAAACUAUAAUCUUUAGCUACAGUCUUAGCAACAUAAACCUUAAGCUUUCCAUCUACUCCUAUGUUCAUAGGUCUUAUCAUUUUAGGUGCUUCUAUAGGAACCCAAACUAUGUUAGAAUACAAAGAUUCUAACUACCUCUUCAUAGCUCCUUGCCUUGAGUGAGCAUAAACAUUGCUUAUUACUUUAUCACAAUCUAUGGGAUAUGAACCUCCCACUAUGAUGAGGCACUAGUGUACUAGAAAUCAUAGGAAUGGUAUGUCUUUAACCCUCUGGAUCCAUAGUAUCCUAUUCAAUAUGAGACAAUCUUCUAAUAUAUCCUUCAAUUUGUAUCACUCUUUGCCAUAUUCCUCAUCAUAUAGUCUCAUAAAAAAUCUAACAUUUAUGUCAACGAAUAUCUUUUGAUGAUCCUAACUAUAAAGGUAAUAACCCAAAAAUCCUCUUAGAUAUCCUAUAAACAGAUAUAUCUUUUAGGAAAAAGAGGUAUUACAUGGUCUAUAAGACAUAUCCCCAAAAGAAUCCGGGAAAAAAAAUGAGAAAUCUAUCCAUGAUCUCACUAUGUCCAACCAAAUUUGAUAUUUCCACCUCUUUGUUUUGCAAUGGAGACCCUGGUGCGCAUGACUAGGAAAUAAUCUCAUGCUUUAAAGGAAAGAAUCAAACUUACUAGACAUAUCACCUUGAUCUAAUCGAAGUGACUUGGUAUGUAUGUCCAAUAGGUUAUCCGAUCCCGCCUUAAAUUUAAUGAAUGUAUCUAAGGCAUCAAAUCUUCUAUGGACAUAUCCAAACCUAGAGUAAUCAUCACUAAAAGUGGUGAAAUACCCAUACCCUCCCCAUGCAUAGACACUAAAAGUUUCAUACAUGUUAGUAUGCACUAACUCCAAACAUUCCUUAGCUUUAAUCCUCUUGGUCAUUUUACCGUCUAUACAGGAUUCGUAAACUAAAAGAUCAUUUCAAAUUAAAGAGUUUAGACAUUACCAAUCUUUGGAUCCUAUUUAGAUUAAUAUGACCUAGGUCUAGAAACCAAAUGUUUAAUUAGUGCUAGGUUUAAUCCUGAGAUUUGACUAUUCUCAUCACUUGGCAAAGUAAUAAUGGAAUACAUAUAAAGGAAGAAGAUAUUACCUCCCACUAACAUGCAUAAAUAACCUUGCAUUUGAAGUUAAGGUAACUAUAAUCCCAUCAUUUAACCUUCUCAUUUGUUGAAUAUCUUAUAAGGACUUACAGAUAGUGGACCUGGAAUCUAUCCACCACAAAUGGUGAAAUCCACCACUAAAUAUUCAACAGUGAGAAAAUGAUGUAUACUUUCCUUUUUCCUUUAGGUAAACUGGCCAUUUCUUUUCUAGUGCCUAAAAGGUCACAAAGGAAUCACUUGCCCUUGACCUUGCUCUCUUAUUCCUUAUCUUGAACUUUCCUUAUUUGGCAUUGUUCUUCUUCUUCUUAAGAAGAACCUGAAGAACCUUUGACUACCAUAUGAACACCCUAUAAUCUUUGAGAAUCCCUUUAGCCAUCUCAAAGGAAAAUGGUGAGGUCUCUAAGAUCAUAUGUAUACUUGGUGUUCAUAAUUGUCCUAAGAGUAGCUUUUCAAGGCUGAUCUAUCCUUAUUACCAAAUAACCAUUGCAAACUAGAAAGAUAAUAUCAAAGUCUCUAAUAGUAGAAAUGUGUUACUAUUGCAACACAUUAUCCAAAGUUCCAAGUAUUAGACGCUUGGUCUUUUGAUCCAUCUAAUACCGCUUUGAUAUUCCACUCUUUUCUCUUGCUAGGCUAGUUCAUAAGGAAUAGCUAGCUCUACCUAAACUAGCUUCUAUGCAAUUACUUACUAUAUCUAGAAUACAAUUAGUCCAAUUGAUUAGUUAGGUUUGGCCUAUUAUGAGAAAAAGAGUGAUAAUAAAACCAACAUGAUAUCCAUAACAAAGAAUAUGACCAAGCAUAUGACAUAAUUGAGCAUUCAAGGCAUUUGGUAAUUAAUUUAGCAAAAAUGUAGUGCUCCCAAACUAUAUAUCCUUUUGCAAGGUAUCCUAGUAUUAUAAGAAUCAAGCCUAGGUGGGAUAGGUCAUGACCUUAUUACUAGUAAGAGACCCUCUCAAAUUGAUCUCCCCACCUUAUCCAUAAAAGUAUCUUAAGGCAAGAUUAACAUAGCUUUUAUUUAGCCUAUAGACUAUGCAAGUGGGACCACAUGGGGCAAUUCUACCACUUCAUAUCCAAUGUCAAGUGUAUAACCAUUGUCCUUGAAUUAUCAAUGUCACCAAGUAAAGAACUCCACCUAGGGGUGGUCGCUCCCACUACAAACAUAUCUAGUCUCGUCCAUGUAGAGAGUCCAUAUCUCUUGAUUCUUAAGGCUAACCCACCGUAAGGGUGGUGAUGAACCCAAAUCAAGAUGGGCUCAACAAUGGAUGUCUUGGGCAUGCCUAAGGCCUUCUCCCACUUAAUGUUUUGAGAUAAAUAAGAGCAUUUUAAAACCAUUAGUAAUUUCCCUGAUGAAUAAAUUAUCUACUUUGAAAAUUUUCAAAAAUAUUUAUUUACUAAUUGGAAGCCUAGUAUAAUAGGAGAAGACCAACAUGAAAAAUUUUAAAUUUCCAUGACAGUAAUUUUCAAAAAGAUUUUUUAUAAAAUAUCCACUUUCAAAAUUUUAAAAUCUAUUUUCAUUACAUUAUCCUUCUAUAUAUAAUUCCAAUUAAUAAAUAUUUUAUCUAGGAAAUGUUUCAAAUAAAUUUAUUUCCAUCAAAUUACUAAGCCUUUUGCUAAUAAUCUUUUAAUGAUAAAUUAUCUCUAAUGAAAAAUUUCAAAAUAUUUAUUUUCCAAAUUGGAAACUCUUGUGUAAUAAGAAAAUUACUAAUUCAUGAUAUUUUGAAUAAUCUUGAGAGCAACUUAUCCAAGAAAGGAACUUUUGCUUCUCAUAUUCAAAAAUCCUCAUAAGAUUUACUUUCCUUAUUCCUUACACUUUUCCAAAUUAAUAAAUAUUUCCAUGAAAAUUUCAUAAUAAUUUAUGUCAUUAAUUACUACCAAAAGUAGGACCUUUUAAUAAUUUCUUAAUAGAUAAAAUAUUCUCCAUGAAAAACUCCUAAAAAUGCUUAUCUCUAAAAAGGAAUUAAACAGUCCAUUGUGGAAAGUAUUUUUAAAAUAUUUUAUAUCUUCAUUAAAUUACUAAAACUUUCCAAAGUUAUUUUGGUAACCCUUCUUAUCAUGAAAUCUUUAUCAUGGGAUUUUCAAAACCUUAAUUACUUCUAAACCAAGAUUCCUGUGCUAAAAGAAUUGCUUUCUUAUUCCUUAUCAUUGAAUUAUCCAAACAGAAUGGUUUCCUCCCUCUCUUUGAGGAAGAGAGCCUAGAGGACAAACUGUAGGUAUAGUUUAAAAAAUAGAUAGUUCUAAAGAAAUAACAAUCUUCAUAGCAACAACAAAUUUAAAAAGAUAAUCUUAGAAAAUAUCUUCUCAUGAAAAUUUACUAAGAAUACCAAAAAACUUUUCUUUAGGUUCUAAAACUUAUUUUGGUAACCACUCUUAAUUAUAAGUUAUCUAUCAUGAAUUUUCAAAAUUAACUUUUUUUCUUUCAAUUAGAAAUCCUAUGCAAAAUAGGAAAAAUACUAUUUUACAAAGAUUUGGAAAAAUAAGAGCUUUUCCUUAAGAGAAAGAUUUUAUUCUUAGAGAUCUCAAAGAUUUGAGAAGAUUUUAAGUAAAGUUCAAAUCUCAAAGAAUUAAAUUUAAAAGGGAAGAAAGCUCUUAAUCCUUUGCCAACUUAUCUUUUUCUUUAAAAUAUAAUUUCCUAACUAUACACAUUCCAAUUUAAAUAAGUUUUCCAAUUUGAAAAAAACACGAAAAUUUAUUUUCAAUUAAGAAUACCAAAAUAUCUUGAGGCCACAUAUACAAUCUAUCAAUAUAUAUAUAUACAUAUAUAUAUAAGGGAAUAACUAAAUAGAAAAAUUCUCAUGGCCUUUAAGGAUCCAAUUGCAUAUUUGGUAAUUAAAAUUUGGAUAAAAUCCAAAUUACCAAAAAUAGUCCUACAACCAAAAAUAGGGUUAGUAAAAAUAGAAAACUCAAAUGGCCUUAUUGCCACAAAAAUUGAGCCCAAGAAGAGGCCCAAAAUUCAGCCCAAACAACGAAAAGAAUCGGGCCUGUAUGCAAUCUCGUAACAGCAUGCUCUUUGAGCAGUAUUGCUUCAAUUGGUCAUAUCUUCCUCAUUUAAACUCCAAAUUAUGAUUCGGUUAAAGUAUUGGAUUCCUAACCUCCUAAGCUUCAAAACCAUAUGUGAUAUGCCUCAACAAACUUACUGGAAAUGGCUGUGAUUUUGACUCAAAUUUGACAUCACUAUGCUGCCAUUCACUUUGCACAACCUUGCUUCUUUUAACCAUUUCUCCCUCAUUUCAACUCCGAAUUGCAAUCUACUUGAUCCAUUGGAUUCAUGACUUCCCAAGCUUCAAAUCCAUAUAUGGAUUGCCUCAAGAAACUUUUAUAAUGUAGUCCCAAUUUUGAGUUCAAUUCAACAUCAUUGUGUUGCCAUGGAUCUCAAACCAAGAACUUCCAAGAUUGCUUCUUUCUUCUUUAACCACCAUAGAAUCACAAAAAGAACUUUCAAGAUUCCUUCUACAAUAGAAGGAUGCAAAAAAUUGAAAUUUUUACACCAAUAAAAAUUCCUAUGCUCCUUUAAUGGAGCUUAUAGCCCAUCAAUUGAAAAGAAAAUAUUUUUACAUUCAAAUAAAAAUCCUAUACCCCUUUUGUGGUGUACAACCCAAUCUAGAAAACAAAAGGUAAAGAAGAUAUCCAUUCAUAUUCAUUGAUUCAAAUGAAUCAAUAACAAUAAACCAAUCCAAAUAUAUUAAUACAUUAAAAUGAUUCUCCAUUCAUUCAUCCAUUAGGGUCAUGGGAUGAAUAAAACAACCCUGCAAAAUAGAGUUAGCACAUCCUAAACAGAUCUAACAAGAUAGAACCUACCCUAGGGCUCUGAUACCAAUUGUUGGAAACCCUAGAUUACUUUGUUCCCAUGCCUUGGAUCGUGUAGGGUGCAUACAAAUCUAUCCUAAACUCUUUAAAUCUAUCACAACAGAUAAAUAGGUAUUAAAAAAAAUAAGGAUACCAUAGAAAACAUAGAAAUAGAAAAUAAAGCCACGUAGCUUUGAUCUAGAUGUUCCCAAAUCAAUUCUAAUCAAUGUAGUUAACUCCAAAGUCAUAAUGGAUCUCGUAAACACCAUGAUCUUCCACCCGAUGACUUUUCCUUAUGUCCAGGCACUAAGAUAGUGGAGAUCUCAAGGAUGGAGGCUAAGGUUCUCUUUCCAUACUAAAGGAGAGGAUAGUAAGACUUAGAAACCCUAACCCCAAAAGGGGUAUUUAUAGGUUACCUGUUAGGCUUAAGUGACUUAAGCCCAUCAUGGGCUUGGGUCACUUAAUCUAGCACAAAAAGGUUGCUAAUUGAUUAAUUAACCAUAUAAGGCCUAAUUAAUUAAUUAGCCCAGUCAAGAGAUAUUACUCAUCCAUGUACAACCUUACAUAAUUACCAAAAUGCCCUUAUACACAAAAGUGAACGAAAAACCCAUCCAACCCUCAUAAGCCAUGCCAACAAGGAAUAUAAGCUUAGAACGAGGACACUAGGACCCAUAAGAGUACUGGCCACUCAGAAUUAAAUUAUGAAAUUGACUUAACAUCCCACUACAAAGAGUUAACUACACUCCAGUACCCUAUGUAUAUUACAAUGAGACACUAAGUGCUCAAGUCUGUGACCUACUAUCCACUGCAUGUAGACUUCCCAUGAAUUGGUGUUUGUAAUCUAACAAGGUAGUGUUAUCACCUAUCAAGAUUAUCUCCCAAAUCCUUGAGUUACAGAUCCCACUUACUAUAUGAUCAAAUGACAUAUCCUAGCUCUAAUAAACAUAUGUCAAAUUUCACUAAAAGAAUUACUAUGGCCACAGAUUUCAUGAUCACAUGUUCUUUGGAUUACCCAAAGGGAUACACUAUCUCAAUCCCAUAAGGUAUCAUGGUGUCUCUAUUAAGAAUGCCUGUUGCCACCAACCUCCAUCAACAGUGACCUAAUCCAUAGGGAUAUAUGACCAUUUUAGGGUCUCACCCAUAGGUUAAAGCCUCUAGUUGAUUUUGGCACAUGCUUAAUAUCCUCUCAAGGUUGAGAGUCCAUGUAGUAUAGUAGCUUGGUGAAUCAUGACAAUGGAUAACCUUGCAUCAUGAUUCGUCAUAGGUCCUAUCCAGUGUGCAUCACAUACACUAUUACACUCACCAUAGGUAACCCAUCCCGAUGACGAAGACAAGUCAUCCCUCCAAUUAAGAGGUGGUGCACUACUGUCUUUACUGGAUUGCCCAAAUCCAUGAACCAAAUAUAGACAACUUAUCUACUUACAAGGAACCCAUGACUUAUAUCUUCCAUGCAACUCCUAAUGCACCCAAGCCAUGUACCAUGCAAGAGAUAUAGAUUGAAUGCUCAAAUCAAUGUUAAUACACCAAAGAGAUAGCAAGGGGAUAGUUAAGUCUAACUUUGUUACAUCAUGUCUUGCUUUUAGGGGCUCAAUCCCAACAUACAUAAUUGGGAAAUAAUUCCAUGCUCUAAUAGAAAGAAUCAAACUUAAUAGACAUAUCACCUUAAUCUAAUCGAAGUGACUUGGCAUGUAUACUCAAUAGGUUAUCCGAUCAUGCCUUAAAUUCAAUGAAUGUAUCCAAAACAUCAAAUUUCCUAUGUACAUAUCCAAACCUAGAGUAAUCAUCACUAAAAGUGAUGAAAUACCCAUACUCUUCCCAUGCAUGGACAUUAAAAGUCUCAUACAUGUUAGUAUACACUAACUCCAAACAUCCCUUGACUUUAUUCCUUUUAGUCAUUUUACCAUCUAUACAGAAUUUGUAGGCUGGAUGGUUUUUUGGAAUCAAAUAGUUCAAACUUUAUCAGUCUUUAGAUCUUAUUUAGAUUAAUAUGACCUAAGUCUAGAUACCAAAUGUUUAAUUAGUGCUAGGUUCAAUCCUGAGAUCUGACUAUCUUCCUCACUUGACAAAGUGAUAAUGGAAUACAUAUAAAAGAAGAGGAUAUUACCUCCCACUCACCUGCAUAACUAACCUUACAUUUGAAGCUAAGAUAAGUAUAAUCCCAUCACUUAACCUUCUCACUUAUUGAAUAUCCUAUAAGGACUUACAAACAGUGGGCCUAGAAUUUAUUCACCAUAAAUGGUGAAAUCUACCACAAAUGGUGAAAUUCACCACUAAAUAUUCAACAACGAGAAAAUGAUGUAUACUUUCCUUUAGGUAACUGAGCAUUCAUUUUCUAAUGUCCUAAAAGGUCAUAAUGGAAUCACUUUCUUAUGAGCUUGUUAUCUUAUUCCUUCUCUUAAACUUUCCUUAUUUGGUGUUGUUGUUCUUCUUCUUGAUAGAAGAACCUGAAGAACUUUUGACUUCCAUAUGAACACCUUAUAAUCUUUGAGAAUCCCCUUAGCCAUCUCGAAGAAAAAUGGCAAAGUCUCUAAGAUAAUAUGAAUACUGGUGUUUAUAACAGUCCUAAGAGUAGUUUUUCAAAGCUAACUUACCCUUAUCACCAAAUAACCAUUGCAAACUAGAAAGAGAAUAUCAAAGUCUCUAGUAAUAGACAUGUGUUGCUAUUGCAACACAUUAUCCAAAGAUCCAAGUAUUAAACACUUGGUCAUCUGAUCCAUCUAAUACCACCUCGACAUACCACUCUUUCUUUUUCCCAAGUUAGUUCAUAAGGAAUAACCUGUUUUUCCUAAACUAUCUUCUAUGCAAUUAAUUACUAUAUCCAGAAUAAAAUCAAGUCCAAAUGAUUAGUUAGGCUUGGUCCAAAGUGAGAAAGAGAGUGAUUAUAAAUAACAUGAUAUUUGUAACAAAGAAUAUAACCAAACAUAUGACAUAAUUGAGCAUUCAAGACAAUUGGUACUUAAUUUAACAAAAAUGUAGCGCUCUGAAACUACAUGCCAUUUUGCAAGAUAUCCUAGUAUCAUAAGAAUCAAGCUUAUGUGGGUAGGUCAUAUAACUAGUUAGAGACCCUCUCAGAUUGAUCUCCUUGCCUUAACCAUAAAGGUAUCUAAAAGCAAGAUCAACAUACCUUUUAUUUGGCCCAAGACUAUGCAAAUGGGACCGCGUGGGGGAAAUUCUACCACUUCAUAUCCAAUGUCAAUUGUUUAACCAUUGUCCUUGAACUAUCAAUGUCAUCAAGUAAAGAAACUCACUAUAGAGUGGUCACUUUUAGUACAAACAUAUUUAGUCUUAUUCAUGUGGAGAAUCCAUAUCUCCUGAUUCUUAAGCCUAACCUACUGUGGGGUGUUAAUGAACCCAAAUCAAGAUGGGCUUGACAAUGGAGGUCGUGGGCAUGUCUAAGGCCCUCUCCCACUAAGUCUUUUUAGAUAAAUAAAUGCAUUUUAAAACAUUAGUAAUUACCUUAGUGAAUAAAUUAUCUUCUUUGAGAAUUUCCAAAAAUAUUUAUUUCCUAAUUGGAAACCUAGUGUUAUAGAAGAAUGUCCAUACGCAAAAUCUAAAAUUUCUAUGAGAGUAUUUUAUCCAAAAAGGAAUUUUGAUAAAAUGUUUACUCUCAAAUUUUAAAAUCUAUUUGCAUAAAAAAUUCUCUUUCUUCACAUAAUUUCAAUUAAUAAAUAUUUUGUUUAAGAAAUAUUUUCAAAGAAAUUUAUUUCCAUCAAAUUACUAAAUAUCUUCUUUGUUAUAACCUUUAAUGAUAAAUUAUUUCUAAUGAAAAUUUCCAUAAGAUAUUUAUUAUCGAAAUUGAAAACUUAGCGUAAUAAGUAAACCUCUAAUUUAUAAAAUUUUGAAAACUUGAAAGCACCUUAUCCAAUUAGGAAAGAUGUAAUUCUUCAAGGAUUCUCAUAAUUUUUUUUAAAAAUAUUUUAAAUCCUUAAGAAUAAAUUUAGAAAUGAACUUUAGCUCUCAUACUCAAGAUUCCUUAUAAAUUUAAUUUCCUUAUUCCUACAUCUUUCCAAUUUAAUAAAUAUUCUUAAAUAUGAAAUCUAAUUUUCAUAAUAAUCUAUUCCAUUAAAAUUACUAAAAAUAAAACUUUUAAUAAUUCCCUUAAUGAUGAAUUAUCCAUCUUGAAAAUUUCCAAAAACAAAUAUUUACUCUCCAAAUUAAGGAUUAGUGUAAUAAGAAAGUUUCCAAAAACUUGAAAAAUAAAAACUAGAGAGCUCUUUAUCCAAAAGGGAAACUUUUAUUCUACAAGAAUUCUUACAAAAAAAUUUAAAGAAAAUAAUUUAGAAUCCUUUGAAAUAAUCUAGAAAAAGAAACUUUGCUCUCUAAUUUAUUUCCACAAUUUUUUUUUCUUAAUCUACACUAUUCCAAAAUUAAGUAAACAACAUGCUUUGGAAUCUAAUUUUCAAGAAAAUUUAUAUCCAUUAAGAUUACUAAGAGUUUCAUAGAACUUUCAUAAGAAGCUUUCAAUAAUUUUGGUGACCUUCUUAAAAUAAAUUAUCUAUCAUGAGAAUUUUCAAAAGCUUUGUUUAUUCACUAAAUUGGAAUACUUGCGCUUAUAAGGAAUAUCCAAUUUUAUAAAAAUUUUAAAAUAAAAGAGUAUUCCCUUAAUAUAGAAACUCAAGUCCUUGAAGAUCUCAAAAUUAGAAACUUUGAAAAAGAGAUCUUCUAAGUACUUUUUGAAAAGGAAACUAGAUUCUCUCACAAAUUUUAAAAUAUCUUUCCAUAUAAAAAUUCCUUAAUAGUGACAUCAUUCUAAUUUUGAAUAAAACUUUAAUUUGUAAAUAGCUUUCUCAUAAAAACUUAUUUUCCAUAAGAAAAUCCAAAAUUAGUAACUUUCAAAGCACUUCUCAUCACAUGAAAUAUAACAAUAUGCAUAAAAAAAAAGAAAAAAAAAAGAAAUAUUCAAAAAGAGAUCCCAUGGCCAAGGGAUAUUUUUUACAACUUUCCAAUUGUGAACCAAAGCCAUUUGUCUUCAACUUGACACCAAUAUUUGGCAUCAAAACUUGCCAAAAGAAGCUCUUGCAUAGCUGCCACAAUUCAGUAACUUUCAAGCCCAACAAGUGGCCUAAGAAAUGAGUCCAAACAAGCAAAAAGAAUCAGACUCGUAUGCAAUCCCGUAAUAGAAUAACCUCUUUGCAACUUUGCGUCAAAUGACUAUAUCUCCCUCUUUUCAACAAUGAAUCACAAGUCGUUUACACCAUUGGAUUCCUGACUUCAUAACCUUCAAAACCAUAUGCAACUUGCCUAAAGAAAAUCAUAAGAGGCAGCCCCGAUUUGGAGUCAAAUUGAAUGUUGCUAUGCAAUCAUGGAUCUCACAAAAACAAAACUUUUUUAUUAUUAUUAUUCAAUCAAAAGAAGGAUUCAACCUUUCUUCCACAUCCAUUAAAAUCCUUGAAUCUUCAUAAAUGAUGCUUUAAUAAAGAUCCAAUCUUUAUUGACAUCAUUAAGGAAUUCUUCUCUUGUAGCUCUCCAUAGAUAAAAAAAAACAUGACUUUAUAUCAUAAAAGAAAUCAUAUGCUCAUAUAAUGGAGCUAAUAACCCAAUUUAUAGAAAAGAUUAAAACUUUACAAGAGAAGAAGAAAACUUAUGCUCCUUUAAUGGAACUUACAACCAAAUCUAUGAAGAAACGAAGAAAACAAAUUAUCCCAUUCAAUCAUCACAAGCAAUAAUAAAAAGAAACAUACAUGCUUCUCUUGUCCAUGGGAUAACAUCAAGGUUGCAAAAAAGAUAUUAGCACGCCCUAAAUAGAGAUCUAAGCAUGUUUAUAACAUUAUGCUCUAAUACCAAUUGUUAGUAUCUUAGAUCUAAGCAAUACUAAUUUUUAUAAAAUUGAUCUUUUAGGGUUAAAGUAGUAACCUUUAGGUUUGGAUGUUCCCAAACCUUAAAUUCCACUUAUUGAAGACAACCUUGAAGUUGUUGAAAGUCUUAUAAACUCACAACUCAUUCUAUACUUGAUCAAAGAGGUAGACUUCUUAAGUUGAACUCAUAAAGUUGACUUUGAUUACUUUCAAAGGAUUUGUUGUCAUGCUCAAACCUUAUUAUCCACAUACCUUGUUUGACUAUGAUUAUUAUUUGUUUCCCGGGGUGAGUCAGUACAAAAUAUUGAAUCUUUGGUUAAGCAAAACUCUUUUACUUUUAUCCAAGAUUUAUGCUCUUAAAUGUAUACUGCUCACUUGUAACAUUUGAAAACACCACCAAAGUGGACACAAAGGCAACCAUGAAUGAAAAAAAAUAAAAAAUCAAUUGACCAUGGUGUACAAUGCCUUUACUUUCAAAAAGAAAAAGAAAAAGAAAAGAAUAGGAGGAUGAUAUCAUACUAAGGGGGAGUCAAGUUAUGUUGUAUGUAGAUCAACGAGGCCGUGUUAAAUAUAAAUCUGGUGAUCUUAGUUCAAAUUGACUGGAUGUGUUCUUUAAUUUGACUAAAGGCAUGAGUAGAUCUCUUCUAAGUAAUUAAUUUUGAAAUAUUGAACUAGACUAUAAGUCAUAUUUCCUUGAAAAUCAAUAUCAAUGUUGACUCUCUUAUACAUUUAUAGUUAUGCAUUAGGUUUUCAAAUAUGAAAUUAUGAUUAACUCUGAUCAUUGAUCUUGAAAUUUCAUUCUUGAUGGAUCAACAUAUACUAUAUGAAGUAACAUACUUCAUCUAUUCCUAAUUCAGCUAAUGUUGAAGGUUUAUGACCUUAACUAUCUACUCUUUAUCGUUAAAAUUUGUUUCAAUUGGUAUCAAUCCUUGUUUAUAUGUUAGUUAGUUGAGUAUUCUAUCCAUUGUUAGAACUUUUUUUGGCUUUGGUUGCUCAAGCACUAUAUUUAGCGUCCUUCAUGCUCAAGCACUCAAGCCUCAUCAAACGUCUCUACUACUCAAGCGCUCUAAGUUGCAUCUAGUGGCGCAUCCAUCGAGCGUCUUGUUCGAGUGUUAAUCUGUAUCGGUAUGUCUGAGUAUAAAAAUCCAUUCAACAUGUCUUUUUUCUUUUCAAACAUUUUCCUAUUCUCUCAAGAGCUCUGGGACUUUUUUUAUUUUUAUUUUUUUUAUUUUUAUCAUUUGAGGUCAAGUUUCCUUGUUUUUCACAUUUUUGACUUCAUGGUAUUGCUCUACACAUUGUUUAGGGCAUUUCUAGCUGUUUAGAUUUUUUCUGAAAUCUUCUUGGUUUUCGAAUCCUUUGGUAUUCUCUUGGAUAUGGCUAAGAUGACCCCAUCUGGGACACCUAAACCCCUUAAAGGAUUUUCACUUCAAUUUUCUUUCGACUUUAUGGCUCUACCAAUGAAUUUUUACUUUAUCAAAAGCCCCUAGUUCAAUAUUAUUUUUUUAUCCAUUGCUGUCACAUUGUGUUUGUGGGUUCAUUUCCUCAUUUGACCCUAGAACCUCAUAGAAUCAUAUUAUAUAGAGAUGGUGUCAAUGAAGUUCAACUCAUUCCAGUUUUGAUGCAUAAGAUGAAUUCAAUAAGAAAGGCUUGUGCAUCACUAGAGGAUGAGUGUUACUAACUCUUCCCAUACAUAUACUUUAGUAUCGCCUUAUCCUUAGUAUUUCCCAUCUUCACAUGCAAUUUUUUUUUUUUGUUGAUCUUAUAAUGGCUAUAUGCGUCAAGUUUUGCUCUGCCGCCACUGAACCUUUAGUGAAUUUGUUUUUUUUUUUUAUCUAGAUGUUUAUUCAUUACUUAUCUUAUGUAUCAAGAAUCAUAUUUUUAAUAUACAUAUUUUGUUCAUCUUUCUUCUUAUCUCUUAUGUGCUUUGGUAGUUAUAUUUCUAAUACUUUGUCAUUUUGUGACAAAAAAAAAAAAGAUAAUUGCAUAUUUAAUAUUUAACUCUGUUAAAUUAAGAUAAAAGGGAGAUAACAUUGAAUAUUUAGUUCACCUAAAAUGAGGAGUUAAAAAAUGGUGAAAAUAAAAAACUCCUUGAUUUAAGGGAAGUUAGUUUUUGAAUUCUUUGAUUCAUUAAUUUAGGUAAUUUAAUUGAAAUAUUGGAGGAAACUAAACAUAAGACACUGAAGUAAAUCAAAUCAGCCAUAGGAAAUAUGACUUUACGAUUCAAGAGAGAUACCUAACACGGAUGUUUCCUGCAAAUUACUUUUGUUAGAAUUGUCGAUCUCUCUCUAGAACUAAUCCUAGUUGUAGAAGCUUUUUCCCAAGGCUUUCACUACUUACCUUAUUGCUGGAGAAUGCCCCCUGCUCUUUACUAAUAAAUUAUUGGGUCUCAUCUAUCUUCGAAUAUGUUUGGUUGAUUUGCAUACAUUCAAAUUCCUCUCGACCUUUUCUUUGUACCUUGGUGUCAUUAAAGGACUCUGUUUUUUUUCAUGCUUUCAUAAGACAUCAAUCAAAGUCUCCAACUAUCCUGUUUUGUUUUCAUAAUAUUAUUUUAUCCCUCACACUACUUUGCCUUUGGUAUAAUUUCUUGUAUGUGUUCAGGUUACAAGGUUGGAAGAUAAGUACUUCAAAGCAUUACAAAGUUUUCCCUUAAUUCAAUUUUAGUUGAGUGUUAAUGUGUGUUAUGUAAACUCCAUUAUGAGGAUUGGUAUUGAAAGGCUUAUGGCAUUGCAAAGUACUUCAUAGGUACAUCUAAAAAAGUUUGGCUUAUGGCAUUAAAAGACUUAUUUGAGGUAUAAAAGGAUCGGUAUCAUUUUUUAACUUAAAAUGUUUUUCAAAAAGCAGGGACCACUCAAGCAAUUAAUCUCGCUCAAGCAGUAAGAGAGCUCAAAUGGUUAAUCUGCUCAGGCAGUCAGCCCAUUCAAGCAGAGAGCUCUCAAGCAGUCUAAGUUUGCUCAGGCGGUCAUGACAAUCCUAUCGAGUUUAAAAAUGUAUUUUCAAUGAAUUUCAACCCAACUAUAAUUUGGAAACUUAAGAUAUUGAUAUCCUUAUGGCUUUUGCCUAUAAUUUUUUAAAUCACCCAUUCACUCCUCUCAUCUCCCCCCUUCUAGGUGUUCCCUAUUGGACUUUCAGUUAUUCCAUUUUUUUUUAUAAUUGUAAGAUUUACUUAUGUGAUAAAAAUUGAGAAAAUAAAAAAUCGAUAAAAUCUAAGGAAAACCAAGGAAAGUGCAUGUCAAAGGAAAAUGACAACAACAAGUAUUUAAAAAACAGAAUUUUAUCAACCUAGGAUGUCUAAGUGGGAAUGUGCAAAAGUAGAAAAUUAAUUCAUGUGANNNNNNNNNNNNNNNNNNNNNNNNNNNNNNNNNNNNNNNNNNNNNNNNNNNNNNNNNNNNNNNNNNNNNNNNNNNNNNNNNNNNNNNNNNNNNNNNNNNNGAAAAACAUUGAAAAUCAUUUUAAAAUCAUGGAAAUCACAAAGAGAACAUAAGUUAUGCAACCAGAGAGGAAGACAACAUCUAUGUUGAAGAAAGAGUGUGCAUUAAGGAGAAAACUGUGCAUUAAGGAUGAAGACACAUGCAAAAGUAAACUAUGCGCUAAAAGAGUACACAGGAGGAAUUGUGCAUCGAGGGAAGCGCCAAGUGUGCAUUAGAAAAUAAAAGAGGAGCACCCGCAAAAAGAUAGUGCACUAAAGUAGCUUGCAUGCUUGGGAAUCACAUGCCUAAGAAGCACUACUAUGCGGAUGAAAGUGCGUGUGAAAAUUAUGCACUGAAGAGCUACACUAAUGUGCGCAAUAAUGCACUAAAGAAAGUUAGACUAUGCAUUGAAAAGUGCACACUAUAGGACACCAGUGUGUGCACUAGAUUAUGCAUUAGAUGAAAAAGUGUACAUAAUUGCUUGUGUACUGAAGAACAAGUUGUGCACUAAAGGACUUGCACAUAUGAAAUGUGCACCUAAAUGAAGGCUAAAGAGCACAUAAAGAUUGUGCAUUAAAGAGGAGCUAUUGUGUCAUGGGAAAAUCCUAAACCUCUAUGGUCCCCAAGCCUGAAUCAAGUUAGGAACAUGUGAAAAUAUCUUAGGCUUUUCUAAAUACUAUGCACAACAAAAAAAAAAAUUACAUUUUAAAACUUUAAAAGGAUUCAAAAAGUGCUAACAAAAGACAUACUUUAGAUUCAAAUGUUCCCAAAUCAAAUCCAUGUGAUGAAAAAUGAAGUUGUAGAAGUCCCAUAAACCUAGAGUCUUCCACUCGAAGACUCGAACUUUGAUUUUGACACACUUAUGAUAGUAAUCAAUUAGGGUGGAGGCUAUAGCUCUCUCUCUAAAGGAGAAAGAUGACUCUUUAGAAAAAGCUAUGAAAACUCUAACCCCUAAAGGGGUAUUUAUGGGGUUCCCCAUUGGGUUAAUUAACUUAAGCCCACUAAGGGCUUGGGUCACUUAAAUUAGCACAAAAUAGGUCCUAAUUGAUUAAUUAACCUAACAUAACCUACUAAGUAAUCAAUUAGAUAUGUAAUCUUGCACAAUUACCAAAGUGCCCUUUUGCAAAAAAGUGAACCUAGAGCUAAUCUAACCCUCUUAACUCAUGCCAACAAGGUAUAUUAGCUCAGAGUGGGGACCAUUAUGACCCAUAGGACUACUGGCUCCAUUAAAAUCCAAUGCUGAAGUUGAUUCAAUAUCCUACUAUAGCGAAUCAACUAAACUCUAGUAUCUCAUGUAAAUAACAAUGAGUUGGGUCUGUGAUUUGUCAUUAAUUAUGUUCAAUUUCCUAAUGAACUAGUGUUCGUAGUCUAACAAGGUGAAAACUAUCAGCCUUUUAAGACUGCCCUACUAUCCUUAAGUUGCAAUCCUUCUAUUAUGUGUACAACUGACAUGUCUUAGCUUUCUAAGAACUUAUGUCAAGUUCUACUUAAGGAACUACUAUGGUCAUAGUUUCCAUGAACACGUGUUCUUAGAAUGAUCCAAGGGGACACACUAUCUCAAUACCAAGAGAUAUCAUGGUACCUUUAUUAAGAAUACCUAUUACUACCAACUUUCAUUAAUAGUGACCCAAACCAUAGGGAACAUAUGAUCAGCUUAUGAUCUCACCCAUUAAUCAAAAGUCAUUGCUAACUUCAACAUAAGUUCAAUAUUCUCUCAAGGUUAAGAGAUAACAUAAUGAAGCAGUCUAGUGGGGUGAUGACUACUUGAUAGAAUUAAGUCAUAACUUACCAUAGAUCCUAUCCAGUGUGUAACCGUACAUACUAGUGCUCUCACCAUGGGAAACCCAUUCGAUAACUAAGACUAGUCAUCCCUCCAAUUAGGAGGUGGUGCACUACAACCUCCAAUAGGUUGCCUAAACCCACAAACCAACACGAACUAAUCAUUUAUUUACAAGGAACCCAUGACUUAAAUCUUUUAUACAACUCCUAAUAUACCUAAGUCACAUAUAAUGCAAAAGAUGAAACCAAAGUGCUUACAAAGUAUAAUGCAUGGAAGUAAGAUAGAUAAAAGUGUAAUGUAACUUUAUUAAAUAAAUAAUAAAAUCCAAAAGUCUAUUACAUCAUGUCAUGCUUUUAAGGGUUCUAUCAUAACAGCAUGCACAUAAGAACUAUGCAUUGAGAAGAGAAGGUCUAGGUACUAGGUAGCAUGUGGAGGGAAAUGUGCACUAAGAAUAAGAAUGGCAUACCAAGAAGCAUGCACACGUAAGAUAAAAUCACACUAAGAGGACAUAGAAUGUGUGCAAAUAUAUGAAAUAUGCACUUAAAGAACUGCCAAUGCUUAUAUGCAAAGACAUUGUGGACCGAAAAUCGCAUACUAAAGAAAAGUGUGCUCACAUAAGAGAAAAAGAGAGACAUGCAUGCAAGUGUACAAAUUGGAAAACAAUUCAAGAUGUACAUACUGAGAUAAGGAUGCUCAAAAUACAACCUAAAUAAAGAGAUGCACACGUGUAAUGCACACCAAGAAGUUAUGUGCAUGAGAAAGACACACAAAUAUUUCAUCUAAAGAGGAAAAUUGUGCACUAUUCAAUGCACCAAAACAAGACAUGAAGUGGGCAUAAAACAAUACGCAAAACAAAGCAAGACACCAAGUGCAAGCCUACUACUCAAGACAAAGAACAAAGUAUGCAAACCAAAAAUGCAAAAUAAGAGGAUGCACUAAUAGGGCAAAUGACUUGUGCAAUUUGACAUGCAAUACAAAAUGAACGCUAGAAAAAGAAAUAGACGUGCUCAACCCAAUUCACAAACAUAGUCAAACAUCGGUUGAAUGUACAACUUAGUGCAUAAAAACAAAAUAGAACAUGCAAUCCUUAGCACAACAUGAAUAGAAUAUAGGGAGCAUGCAAUCUAGGUUCACAGUCAUGAACAUCAAAUAGACUAACAAAAAUGCGCAAAUCCUAAGAUGUGAACACAAUGAAACAAAGCCUAAGAUAUGCAGUCUUGAUGCACAAUCUUGAGCACUACAGAAGACCAAAGCAAAUAGGUAGCCACAGAGAACCAACUACAAAUGAGUGGCUUCAAAAUUCACAAAACAAACAAUAAACAGAAGAAAAUCAAAUGAGAAAAAAAAACUCAAAAUAAAAUAGGUAAAAAAUAAGAAAAGCCUCAUAUCUUGCAUUAUUAGUGGGCUUAAAAAAAACAAGUGAGAUAUCCAAACUAGAUUUAAAAAAAGAACAAAAACAAGAUUUCAAGAUGUUAUAUGGAAAGAACGAACUAAAUUCAGGUUAAUCUCAAAUAAACUAAAGAAAAAUAGGGUGAAUAGAACAAUGACAAGCCUAUAAACAUCCCAAAAUUGACAAAUUAAUGUGUGGCCUCUAAUAUCCAUAUCCAAUCAACAAGCAACUUUUAACGAUAGCUAAUGAAAGAAAAACAUAACCAAAUAUGGGUCUCAUAAUGAAAAGAGCUUAACUGAGAAGAGAUGUAUUAGUUAACCUUUUCUUCUCUUUGUUUAGUUCUUUACUUUCCUUCUCUUUCCUUUUCUUCUUUCUCUAGUCCUUUUCUUUUUUUCCCUAAGCUCUUUCUCUCUAUCUCUCUUUUUACCCAACAAAUCCCUAAUGACUAGAAUAUUUUUGUGCAUCUCUCUCUCUCACACACACAACAAUGUAGAAUGUGCUCUCACACCUCUUAAAAAUGAGAGAAAAAGUCCUCUACAAAAUGCCAAAAGGACCUUCCGAGCAAGGAUCUUAAGUUAAGGUUCAUAACCAAAUUAAUGAAUGUAGGUUAAACCUAAGGUGCCAUAGAAAGUCAUGAUAGAAUCAACAAAAAUUUCCCUAAUGGUCUCUAAAAAAUUGCUCAAAUAACAACGAACUACCAAGGGACAUGAUAAAUGGAAGGGAUCCUAAGUGCAUGUUAUGAAAGAGUAUAGGGCAAGGGGAAAAUAAACAUGAAAUAAUAUGUGAGGGUCCGUAGGUUCCACAAUCCAACUGUUUGGAUAUUACCCUUAAAAGCAUGACAUGAUGUAAUAAAUUUGGAAUUCAUUAUUUAUUUAAUGAUGUUCCAAUUUUACUUUUAACCAUUCUUAUUCCAUGUAUUACACUUUAUGAACAUUUUUACCUACAUUUUUUGUAUUAUACGUGACUUAGGUGCAUUAGGAGUUGCACAAAAGAUCUAAAUCAUGGGUUCCUUGCAAAUAGAUGACUUGUUCACAACUAGUUCAUGGGUCUAGGCAACCAAUUAAAGGUAGUAGUGCAUCACAUCCUAAUUUGAGGGAUGACUUGUCUUGGCUAUCAGGAUAGGUUUCCCAAGGUGAGUGCACUGUGUGUAUGGUUACACAUUGGACAAGGCCUGUGAUGAGUCAUAACUUAAGGCUAUCAAGUAGUCAUGACCUCGCCAAACUACUCCAUUGUGUUGUCUCUUAACCUUGAGAGAAUAUUAAGUUUGUGCUAAAGUUAGCAGUGGCUUUGACCUAUGGGUGAGAUCAAAAGUUGAUCAUAUAUUCCCUAUGGAUUAGGUCCCUACUAAUAAAAUUCGGUAACAAUAAUUAUUUUCAAUAAAGGUACCAUGAUAUCUCAUGGGAUUGAAAUAGUGUGUCCCCUUGGGUGAUUCUAAGGAGGUGUGUCAAUGGAAACUAUGGCCAUAGUAGUUCCUUAAGUGGAACUUGACAUAGGUUCUUUGAGAACCAAGAUAUGCCAAUUGAAUACACAAUAGAAAGAUUUGUAACUUAAGGAUAGUAGAGUUAAUCUUGAAAGAUUGAUAGCUUUCACCUUGUUAGACUACGAACACACCAGUUCAUCGGGAGAUUAAAGAUAAUGGAUAACAAGUCACAAACCCGAGCAUGUAAUGUCUUAUUGUUAUUUACAUAAAAUACUAAAAUUCAGUUAAUUCUCUAUAGUGGGAUAUUGAAUCAACUUUUGAAUUGGAUUCUGAGAUAGCCAACUUAUGGGUCCUAGUGGUCCCUACUCUGAGCUCAUAUAUCUUGCUGGCAUAGAUUGUGAAGGUCAGAUUAGCUAUAGGUUCACUUUUUUUCAUAAGAGUGUUUUGGUAAUUAUGCAAGGUUGCACAGAGGUAAGUAAACAAGGUUUUUAGAUUGGGCUAGUUGAUUAAUUAGUAGGCCUUAUUGUAUUAAUUAGUCAAUUAGAACUCAUUUUGGGCUUAAUUAAGUGACCUAAGCUCAUGAGGGCUCAAGUCACUUAAGAUUAAUUAGGAACCUUAUAAAUACCACCUAAGAGUUAGAGUUUCCAUCACUUUUGUCUUCCACCAUCCAGAGAGAAAGAGAGCCAUAACCUCCAACAUUUUUCUUGCUUAUCAAAAGUGUGCUAAGAAUAAGAUUGAGUCAUCGGGUGAAAGAUCAUGGGUUUACGAGACUUCUAACAACCUUAAGGUCAUCUUCAACACUUGGAAUUUAAGAUUUGGGAACAUCCAAACCUAAAAGGUUAGUACUUUAACCCUAAAAGAUCAAUUUUUUAAAAACUGAUAUUGCUUCCAUUGCUUAGAUCUAAGAUGUCAACAUGGAGUGCAAGAUCACGGUUUGAGUCAUCAAGCGAAAAAUAUUAGGUGUACGAGACUUACAAAUUCAUUGUUCAACUCAUUGUUCAACACCUUCACUAUGUGGAAUUGAUUUGGGAACAUCAAAAUCAAAGGAAAAUUUCUCUAAUGACUUUUCUCUUGAUCCUAGAAUGGUAAAAAAUUGAUUUUUGCUUCUGUUGCAUAGGAUCUAGAGGCUUAGGGUAUUUUUGCAUGCACCUAUACGAUAUAGGGUAAGGGAAUGAAGAAAUCCAAGGUUCCUAGCAACGUCUCCUUUCCAUAAUUUUCUUUCUCAUUUCUCAUGUGAUUCGACUCAUGGUAGCUUAGCUUUAAAGGCGUAUCAACAAAAUUUAUACCUUGAAUACUAUUACUAAAGUAGCCAAGCUACUAUAGCAUAGUGGUUCUAGGAUCGUUCACUGAGAAGGGUUUUCGCAAACACAAGUGAUAUUCAAAUUAGGAAAAUAGGUGAUUUUCUUAUAGAUGUUAGCUUUAAAAGAAGAUGCAAAUGUUUUAGAAAGAUUUAAACUAAUCUAAGCUAACAUUAAAAACUAAAAUGAAAGGGUGUAAAAACAAGUUCCUCAAAGAUAGGAUAGCUAUGCUCUGGCUCUUAUGCAAAUUGGAAAUCUCAGGAUAGGCUCCUCGCGUUGGGGUUGCAACUAUGGUGAUGCUUGCUUCCCGAACUGGUAUGGAUUUAGCAAAUCAAGUUUUAAUCCUUUAAAAUGGAAAAACAAAUGGUAGUGAAUUUCAUCAAUGGUUAUUCACCUUAGACUUCCUUUGAAUGGCUCGUAAGAGAUAACUAGUAGUCUAAAGCUAAAAGCUUACCAAAUAUUGGCAACUCAAAGUCAUUCCAGGUGAUAAACUCACCUUUCAAUGGCCAUUGAAAUUGGUUCUAAUGGAUUAAUGCAAAACUUGGAAUUGAAAACCUCACCUUCCAAUAGCUCGUAGGAGAUAACUAAUGGAUAGAAAUCCAAAAGCUUAUCAAGUAUUGGCCGUUGGAAGUUGUCAAAAGGAAAUAAAAACCAAACUUUGCAUUAAUGAACCAUUAAUGAAAAACGACUACCUUACUUUCCGGGUGCGAGAAAUUUCCAUGGGAUUGCAUCCAAGCCAUCACAUAACAUCCAUACUUUGAGAAACUAAAAGUUUUAGCCAAUCAUCCUUUGAGGAAAAACCCUCAGAGGCUGUUUGGCUACUAAGAAAAUAGAAACGGGAGAGCUCUGUAAAAUUUUCUAUCUAUAUAUCAAUAUAUCGAUAUAUCAAUAAUAAUUGUUACAACGGAUGCAAGGGGAUAUAAAUAGAGAAGUUUUUCCAACCUUCCUAGCUAAGAAAUCUUAUGAUUGGUGGAUUACAAGGAGAAGAAUGGAAAUUUAUACAAAAAUAUCUAAAAGAAAAGAUCUCGUGUGGAGUCGGCAGAAACAGGGGAAAAUUCGCACGUUGGAGUUCCAAUUUCGCACUUUGGUUUGAGGUGUGCGAAAUUCCCACACUUUGGACUGAGGAAUUCGCACCUUGAUUUCCAUCGUGCGAAAUUAUCCCUCAGCUUGAUGCAGUUGUCUUCCGAAGGCCAUAUCUUCCUCAUUUCAGCUCCAAAUCGUACACAGUUUGAAGCGUUGGAUUCUUGACUUCCUGAGCUUUGAAAUGGUAUAUAGCAUGUAGAAAAUGGACUUCGGGAAGUGCUCCAAAAGUGCCAAAGAAGACUGCAGCUGCUGUCCUCUAUUUUCCUCUUUGCUUCUCUUAGCUUCUCUUUGCUUCUCUUUGCUUUUCUCCUUUUGUUGGCUUGCUUUGGUGUAGCUAAAAGCUUGCUUUAACUUGUCCAAGUAGCUCCUCCAUCAUUUGGCAUGCUUGAAUUGAUUCAUAAGCUGAUAUAAACAUGUAAACUUGCCACAAAAUGGUUAAAACCAAUUACUAAGGACCUUAAUGAAUUAAUUGGGUUAAAUGAAUAUGAUUACUACACAAAGGUGCUUAAAACCAUUAUAAUUAGGUCUACAAAAUAGCACUUUUUGGUAGUAAUCAUCAUGCUAUGCAUUCCUUUAUUUGUCUUUGUUGCAUUUUUUCCUACUCUCAAACUUGAGACUUAUCUCAAAAUAUAUGGAUAGGGUCUUUUAAAUAAUUCAAGUUAAUUCAGGUAUUAAGAUAGAGCCCUUAAAAGCAUGACAUGAUUUAAAAAAUUUUGAAUUCAUUAUUUAUUUAGUGAUAUUCCAGUUUCACUUUUCUAUAUCCUUAUUCCAUCCAUUAUGCUUUAUAAGUAUUCUUACCUAGAAUGUUUUGCAUUGUACAUGACUUGGAUGCAUUAGGAGUUGUACAAAAGAUCCAAGUUAUGGGUUUUUUGCAAGUAGAUGACUUGUUCACAACUGAUUCAUGGACUUAAGCAAUUCAUUUGAGGCAAUAGUCUACUACCUCAAAAUUAGAGGGAUGGCUAACCUUUGCCAUCGGGAUGGGUUUCCCAUGGUAAGUGCACUAAUGUGUAUGGUUACACAUUGAAUAAGACCUACAAUGAGUCAUGACAUAAGGCUAUCAAGUUGUCAUGAUUUCACCAAGCUCCUUUAUUAUAUUGUCUCUCAACCUUGAGAGAAUACUAAGCUUCUGGCCAACUUAGUGAUGGCUUUGACCUAUGGGUGAGAUCUUAAAGUGAUCAUAUAUUCCUCUAUGGAUUAGGUCACUUUUGAUGAAAGCUGAUAGCAAUAAGUAUUCUCAAUAAAGGAAUCAUGAUAUCUCAUGGGAUUGAGAUAAAUUGUUCUUUUGGGUUGUUAGGACAUUGAGUCUUGUUUAUAUGUUGUUAAUUUUGUUCUUUUUUAUGUUUGGUCAUAGAAGUCUUUUUAGAUAGUAACUUGCUCUCCAUUGAAGAUCAAGCGUUGCAAUCUAUCUAAUCGGGAAGUCAUAAGUAUGUCUAAAAAGGUUUAACUUGUGGCAAUUGAGGAUCCAUUGAAGUAUAAAGAGGAUUGGUAAGUUUUUUGAACUUAAAAUUAAUUUUUGUCAAGUUUUUGAAAAAUAGAGGACACUUAAUGAUUCGUGCCCAGCUGGUGUAUGCCUUGUUGAUUGGUGUUCAAUCAACUGGUGUACUCUGAUUUCGGUCCUCAGAUGGGAGUAAUCAACAAAACCUAUUUCACCAUAUACUAGGGUAGCAUUAGCUAGCAUAGCAUAGUGGCUCUAGGAUCGUCCACAGGGAUGGGUUUUCAAAUUACAAUUGAUAUUAGUUCAAAAACUGAAUUGGUGUUUUUUCUUUUCAAGGUUAGCUUUAAAAGAAAACAUAAAUAUGUUUGAAAAGGUUGGUUUUAAGUGAAACCAAAAAUAAAGUAACUAAAAUUACUUACAAAAAAAAGUGCUUCUUAGAGUUUUAGAUCACUAGGCUCAGGUUCGUCAUACAAAAAAGGAGAUUCCAGUCACUUGGAUCUUUUCCUCGCAUUGGGGAUUUAACAUAUAGUUAUUUCCCAAACCGGUGUGGUACAUAUGCUUCCCCUUAAUGGUUUCAAACAUUAAAUCCCUAUCACUGAAUCAUCUUGCAAUGGUUCAUACCUCUCACUUAGUAUUGGCCAUUCAAGGUGAUCCUUAACCUUGGAUUACCCGUCAAAAGCUCGCAAGAGAUAACUAAUGGAUGUCUCCUGGGAGUUCAAAAGCUUACCAAGUGUUGGUUAUUCUAGAUAAUCCUACAUUUAAACCACCUCCCAAAGGCUCGCAAGAGAUAAACUAGUGUAUCUCAAUGGACGGAGACCACUUGCCUUACCAAGUGUUGGCCUAGGUGAUUUUAAGGGAUUUUAAGUUAACUAAAAAGAUAAAAACCAUUAACGGGUCACACUUUCUCUUCAUUAAAAACUAAAACAACAAAACUUCCACUUUUGCAUUGGGAACCUUACCUAGCUUUCAUCACUCCAAGAAAUAAAAAGCCUAGCCACUCAUCCUCUGGGAAAACAUCCUCAGAGUUCGAUUUGCUAGAAAUAAAAAUAACGAGAAAACAAAAUGAGAAGGUAAGGCAGAGCAAAGCAUUGUGUAUUACUUUCUAAAAAACUAUACAAAGUGUCAUCUCCGAGAAAAACUCCCGAGAGAUCCUUUUAAAAGAAAAAUUACAAUAGAUAUUAUAUAGAGAGGCUAUUCACCCCUCCUGCUAACUUCCCAACCAAGAAAACUUGUCAUUGGUGGGUUACAAGGAGAAAAUAGGGAUUUACACACAAAUAUCUGAAGAUAAAUAUCAAACGGAGUCAGUGCACAAAUAUCUCAAAUUAUAGGUGGAUUUCGCAAGUUCAAAUGCAACUUGCGAAAAUUUCGCAAGUUGAAAUUAUCCAUUUCACAAGUUACGUAAUUGUCUUGCAACUUAUUAGCUCUCUGUCCUGCAGUGAUUCCUUUCCUCUUCCUAUUUCGCAAGUUACGAAAAUUUCGCAAGUUGGAUUCCACAACUUACGAAAUUGUUGGAUGGUUGAUUUCUUCUGUGCUUUUCCUCAUUGCAUCCUUGUUUGGUUUUGGCGAAGGGUUAUGAAGCUCCAAAGCUUAGUUUCUUCAGGAAUUUGAGCUUCAACUUGCUUUGCCAUGAACUAUACAAAGAUCUUCCUCACUCUUGGAUUGCUUUGAUGAUCAAAAGCUAUCAAAAACACCAAAACUUAACACAAUUUGAUUAGAAACGAUUGCAAGGGUCCUUAACAUGCUAAUUGAGUUAAAAGGUAAUAACUACUACUCAAAAGUGUUUAAAAGAGUUAAUUACAAGCUAUAAAAUACACUUUUUGAGUAGUAAUCACUCCCCCCAACCGACACAUUGCUAGUCUCUUAGCAAUGAAGGAGAGAAAAAUAAAAAUAAAUAGUACUAUAAUUUACAACAUCAUGCUGAUCACUUCAAAAAAUUUCAAGUGGCAUGAUGAUCAAACUUUCACAUGGGACAUUAAAGAUAUAAAACUCAAACUUCAACAAGAGUUAUCAAAUAACUUGCCUAAUCACAAUUCAUAAAGAGAAGACAUUAUGCAAAUUUUAGUUUUAAAAGAAUUUCCACUCCCAAAGGGUCAAUCCUUACUUUUCCACAAAAAUCUAAGUGUUACUUAUUAGUUUCUGAAUAUAGUAUGCUGAACUAAUCUCUCCCCCCAACCUAGUUCUUUUUCAAAACUUAGCAAACUAACAACCUCCAAUAGGCUAAGAACGCACCUCAUUUAUUUCACACUAUUUUUUUCUUGUAGGAGUAUAAAGCUUAAAAGUAUUCUUUUUUAAAUUGUCCAUGUAACAGGGGUCCAUCGAUGACUCCCAACCAAUUAAGGUUUAGAGCAUCAAGCUUCAAGGAUCUUUCGACCACUAACUCCUCGGAUUUUACCCCGGACGUUUGAGAUUGGAAUUCAAUACCUAAGCACCUACACUAUGUUAAACUCAACCUAUUCACCUUUGUAACGAGCAUUGAGGUUGGUGACUCCCAACUAAUGAUGGCUUAAGGCACCAGGUUUUAAAGAUUUUCACCAUAUACCCCUCAGACCUUGCUCGGGUUUCAAGGUAAGUAAACAUUAAAGGCUCAUUGGCCUUUUCUAAGGUGUCCCAACACUAUUAAAAUGAGGUCAAAGGUACCAAGUCUAAAAUUUCCUAAGUCAAGGGGCGAAAUAGUUUUUCAUCUUAUAAUCGGAACCUAGUGUGCACAGUGUGUGGUAAGCUUAAAGUGGAAGAAAUAAGGUUGAAUUCAACAGAAGUUUCAACAAUUCAACAACUUUAAUAAGCAUAAUACAAACUCUAAGUCAAGUAAAAAGACAAAAAUUCAAUUUUUCCCAUUUCAUUUUGAGAAUUUUUCCUUGAUAACCAUGAAGAGUAUUCAAUUUUUUUUUAAAAAUUUAGACAAAAAGUAACUAAAUUACCAUUUAUAACCUAGCAUUAUAAACAAUACUUCCUUCGUCAACUCCCCCCAACCAUGCUGAACAUUGCCCUCAAUGUUUGAAGAGUAAUUGAAAAUAAAGGAAGGAAGUGGUACAUUCUGAGUGGAAUAGAGUCUGAAUUGUAUAGGAGAAACCACAUGAUUCAAGAAAACAAAAAAAAAAUGAGUAGAGGAAAUAAAAUAAAAAUAUGCCAAGUAUAGUAAAAAAUGAUGGAUAUGUAUUACUUUAAGAAAGUACAAUAUGAAAUAUGCACAAGUAAUACAUCCAAUCCCAGUAUAUAAAACAUAAAGAACAUGAGAUUAAGAGUUCUACUAUUAUAAGUAAAUACAAAAAUUAGAUAGAUGAUCAAGUAGUGGUGGGAGGAUCAUGUGGAGACAAUGGCUCUACUGUGGUCUCCUGAGUGCUCUAGAUAGGAGUCUCGACCUCUGCUGUAGUAGUCUCCUCAUGGGGCAUAGUCUGCUCUGCUGGAGUAGCCUCCUGAGAUGGAAUAGCUUGCUCAGCUAGAGUAGCCUCCUCAGAUGGAGUUGUAGGCUCUGAUGGACCAGGCAUAUCAUGCUCAGGUGGUGGUGGAAUACCUAAAUGCUACCGUAUCUGACUAAGGAUGGCAGUAUGUUGGGUUUGCAUGGCAAUAAGUUGAUCCUGACGUGCACGUAUGACUGUUAUCUGUUGGGCAAGAACACUUUGAGUAGUACUCAAUGUCUGCAAUGUAUGACAUAGGCCUCUAAACUCUAAACUGCAUAUAGUGAUAGAAGACUUAAAUGGAGGAGGUGCUGAUGUAGCUGGUACAACUGGUAGAGCUUCAAGAGUGGUAGGAGGAGCAAAAAAUGUAGCCUCGAGCGUGGGCACUGUAGAAGGUGCUGCAGGGGCAGGUAGUAUGAUCUCUGUAGGUAUCUCAGCCCGUUGUGCCUGUGGUGGCUGCUCAUCCUAUGGUAACUCUGGAGGUGCUGGCAUAUUUGGGGCUCCUGGGGGUGCAACAUAGGUCGUCAAACGAUUCCAUUUGUCGAGAGUGAAUAGCUCUCGAAAAAUGAGGCGGUGCUCAAGCUGAGGCUCAGAAGGAUAGCCCAAAUGCUCUAAUAUCUAAUAGAGCAGGUUGGGAAAAAGUAAUGGAAUGGCAUUUGCUCUCUGGAGCUUCUUCCUAUGGACCUUCUCUUUAAAGUAGAGAAGAGAGGUCAUAAUCAAAAUAUGAGGGCCAAAAUAGAAACCCUCUGAUAUCCGGAAUAAAGCCUCCAGUAUAGCUCAUAUCCUCUGCACCAUAUGCUGAAGUGGAAAUAUGUUGGGACGCAACACCACAUCUAGAAGAAGCAUCCCAGGUGGAAACUCCUUCCUAAGAAGAAAUGAGCGUGUAGAGGUCCCCUUAGACAAUAUACGGACCAUGUUUCUCUGAGAGAAAUGGGACCACUCUCUGUAAUCUGCUGGACUCAUAGGCUCAUAUGGCAUGUGCAGGGCCUCUGCAAUGUGUCUAGCUCUUAGGAUACCAUGGCGUCCAUCAAUAGUGAAGUGGAUGACAGUAGGAUCCCAGACGCGAUGAGUAGUCAUAGACUGAUAAAACUCUAGUGCUACUUUGGGAUAGAAAAAGUCCCUAGGAGUCAUCAGGUGCUCCAAAUGGUUUCUCUGCAGUAGGCAAAAUGAAUCUCUAAGUUCUGGUUGCUGUCUGAAAGUCUCCAUAUCAAAACAUAGCUUGGAGUGGAAUGGCCUAGCUCGACAAUCCAAAUUUCCCUCUAUAGGUGGCUGUGUAACCAUAGGUCGCCUGAUAAUCACUUCUAGAGUCAUCCUAGAAGGAAUUUGAGACUCUGUAGCAGGGGGCUGAGGCUGUGGAGGUGCAGAUGACUCUCAUGGGCCUGAAACUCUGGCUUUCUUUGCAGAAGGGCGAUGAACUGAUUUCUUGGGGUGCGAAGUGCUUGCCCCAGGUGUAGUGGGUGAUCUCCUCGUCUCGUACCUAUGCUGAGGAGGGCUAGAUGGCACUCCAACCUCAGAAGGUGGAAUGGUAAAGGCCUGUGGAGCCUCAGAUGUGGAAUCCCGCGUAGGUGAAGCUCUUGGCAUUGGAUUGCGGGUUGAUGGAGAUGCGAUGUGGGCUCUUCUUGUCUUGGCCAUGGCUGAAAUGGAGAGGCUUGUGUUCCACAGGGUGAGCGGAGGUGCGCGAAGUGGUUCUUCUUCAAACGCACAACCUCUGGGCUUCCUACUAUAGAAUUUGGGGGGUUUCGCAACUUAUAGGGUUAUUUCGCAACAUGAAAGGGUUGUGCGAAAUGAAAAUGGAAAAAAUCAGAGGUUUAAAUAUGAAUUUAAACGUCGGUUGGCAUUUUCGAAAGUUAGCCUAAAUUCGCAAGUUGGUUCGCAAGUUGCCCCUUUUCGCAACUUGAUUCACAGGCUGUGAAACUUGAAAUUGAACUUGCGAAAUGGCACACGUGUGCUUGGAGGUGCUUUCGCAGGCUCCAAAAAUUUUCGCAAGUUGAAUAGUGGACUUACGAAUUUGAGCUUUGAGGAUUUCACAAGUUGGACCCUAUUUUCACAAGUUGGAAUUUUAGCUUGCAAAAUUUUCGCAAAUUGAAAUAUUGCUCUAUUUUUCAGGCUUUUUCUCCUUCUUUGGUUCUUUAAGGCUUUCCUCCAAUUCCUUUGAAGUUCCUCCUAAUUUUGAUCAUCCAAAAAGUCUACGUUAGAUCAAAAUAAAAUAAAUUCAAGCUAGAAUUAAAAUUAAAACAAAUAAUAAAGCUUUUAAAUCAACAAAAUUGAAACAAAAAACAUGGACUUUGGUUAGUCUUCAAAAAGACUAAGUCCAUCUACUCCUUUUUGGUUAAGAUUGUUGUGGCUCAAGAAGACUGACUUCCUCCUUGUCUUGAUUGAAAGGCUUCAUGAAUGGCUUGAAACGGUGGUCAUUGACUUUGAAAGUGUCUGUGCUGUUGGAAUUGAGUAGUUCAACUACUCCAUUGGAAUGCACUUGGUGAAUAAUGAAAGGGCUUAUCCACCUUGAUUUUAGCUUUCCUGGAAAGAUGUGGAGCCUAGAGUUAUAGAGUAAGACUCUUUAUCCCUUUUGAAAUUCUUUGUUGGAGAUUAACUGAUCAUGCCACCUCUUCAUCAUAUGUUUUGAAAUUUUGGAAUUGAUGUAGGCAUCAUUUCUCAAUUCCUCCAUCUCAUUAAGGUCUAAGCACCUCUUCAUCCCGACUCUGUUCAAGUCCAUGUUUACCUUCUUAAUUGCCCACCAAGCCUUGUAUUGAACUUCCACAGGGAGAUGGCAUGCUUUACCAUAGACUAGGCGAUAAGGAGACAUGCCAAGAAUAGUCUUGUAAGUUGUUCUGUAUGCCCAUAGUGAAUCAUGGAGCUUAACAAACCAAUUUCUUCUACUUGUGUUCACCACCUUCAUCAAUAUAUUCUUGAUUUCCCUGUUUGCUAACUCAACUUGCCCAAAAGUCUGAGGGUGGUAAGGUGUAGCUACCUUGUGCUUCACCCCAUACUUGGCUAAGAGAGUUUCAAAAGGCUUGUUGCAAAAAUGAGUACCUUCAUCACUGAUUAUGGCCUUGGGCACCCCAAAUCUUGAGAAGAUGUUCUCUUUGAGAAACUUGAGAACAACUCUGUGGUCAUUUUGUUUACACAGGAUUGCCUCAACCCAUUUAGAAACAUAGUCUACCCCCACCAAAAUGUAAGAGUUACCAAAAGACAUAGGGAAAGGUCCCAUGAAGUCAAUGCCCCAAACAUCGAAAAAAUCAACUAUAAAAUGGGGUUCAUAGGCAUUUGGUUCCUACAUGUUAACUUCCCAAGCCUUUGGUAUCUAUCACAGCUCUUGCACAUGGCGUGAGCAUCUUUGAAAAGUGAUGGCCAACUGAAACCUGAUUGCAACACCUUCAUGGCUAUUUUCUGAUAGGCAAAGUGGCCUCCACAUGCACUUUCGAGGCAAUGACUGAGGAUCCCCUGUUGCUCUUGUUCAGGGACACACUUCCUUAUUAUUUGAUCUGCACAAUACUUGAAAAGGAAAGAUUCUUCCCAAUAGUAGGCAUGAAUUUUUGUAAAGAAGUGCUUCCUAUCUUGUGCUUUCCACUCACUUGGAACUUCACUAGUAACUAUAUAGUUAGCAAUAUGAGCAUACCAAGGAGCAUCUUCUAACAACAUGAGUGACUCCUUCGGAAAAUCAUCAUUAAUAGGAAAACCAUGGGAAUUAUGCGAUAUAGCCAGCCUAGAAAGGUGGUUAGCUACCACAUUCUCCACUCAUUUCUUGUCUUUGAUUUGGAGAUUGAACUUUUGUAGUAAGAGAAUCCAUCUAAUCAGCCUUGCUUUUGCAUCUUGCUUUGUCAAUAAGUACUUCAAAGCUGAGUGGUCAGUGAAAACCACAAUGAAAGACCCUACCAGAUAAGCACGAAAUUUGUCCAAGGCAAAAACUACAGCGAAAUAAUUCUUUCUCUAUGGUUGUGUAGUUUCUUUGUGCUUCAUUUAAUGUUUUACUUGCAUAGUAGAUCACAUAGGGCUUUCCAUCAUCUCUUUGACCAAGAACAACUCCUAUAGCAAAGUCAUUGUGAUUACUACUCAAAAAGUGUUAUUUCAUAGCUUGUAAUUAACUCUUUUAAACACUUUUGAGUAGUAGUUAUUACCUUUUAACCCAAUUAACAUGUUAAGGACCCUUGCAAUCAAUUCUAAUCAAAUUGUGUUAAGUUUUGGUGUUUUGAUAGCUUUUUGAUCACCAAAGCAAUCCGAGAUUGAGGAGAGUUCUUUGGAAUCCAUGGCAAAGCAAUGGAAAGCUUAGAAACAUGAAGAACCGAAGCUUUGAAGUCCUUUGCCAUAAGCAAAUCUGGAAUGCAAGGAGUUUGGGAUCCUCCCUAAAAAAUGCCACGUGGCUCUCUCUCCCUUAUGUUGAUGCCUUGCGUCCUAGUGAUCCACGUAGCUACCAAGUGGACGCACGCUUUCAACCCUGAUUGAGUUCUGGUUCAGUCUUCCCUACAAAAGAUGUCCGGACAGGGCGUCCGGGCACACCAUCGGAGGGCGGCGGAACGUGGGCUGUGGCAGGCUGUUGAUUACUACUCAAAAAGAGCUAUUUGAUAGCUUGUAAUUAACUCUUUUAAAUACUUUUGAGUAGUAGUUAUUACCUUUUAACCCAAUUAACAUAUUAAGGACCUUUGCAAUCACUUCUAAUCACUUUGUGUAAGUUUUGGUGUUUUUGUUAGUAAUUUGAUCACCAAAGCAAUCCAAGAUUGAGGAGAGUUAUUUGGAAUCCAUGGCAAAGCAAUGGAAAGCUCAGAAACAUGAAGAACCAAAGCUUUGAAGCUUUAAAGUCCUUUUCCAUAAGCAAUCCGGAAUGCAAGGAGGGGAAGUAAAGAGAAAAUCUGCCAUGAAGCAUUCUUGAUGACAGUCAUUUUAGCCACUUUUGGAGCACUUCCUAAAGUCCAAUUUAUGCAUUCUAUGUGUCGUUUCAAAUAUUAGGAAGUCAAAAAUCCAAUGCUUCAAACGGUUCACAAAUCGGAGUUGAAAUGAAGAAGUUAGAGCCAAUGGAAGCAGAUCACUCCAAGGUGAGGGCCAAUUUCGCAGGGCUGCGAAAUCAGCCUUUGGCUGCGAAAUGAUUUCGCAGCCAUCUUGUUCGUCUGCGAAAUUUCGCAGCCAUUUUGUGCGCCUGCGAAAUUCUCCUGAGUGCUUCCAGAUAUUUUCGACCGACGUUUUUUGAUAUUUUGCUUCAAAUAUUUGUUGUCUAAAUCCCAAUUCUCUCCUUGUAAUCCACCAAUUAUAGGGUUCCUUAGUUGUUAAGUAAGAACACAAGGGUAAACAACCUCUUAUAUAUUGUUUUUUAAUUUUCAUUUUCUAUGGAUCUCGGGAGCUUGUUCUCAGAGAAUCAACUUUUUGUAUAGUUUGAAAGGAAGUAAAACACAGAGUUUUGCUCUGCCUUACCUUCUCACUUUGAUUGUAUUUUUCAUUCACUAGCCAAACAAGCUCUGAGGAUGUUUCUUCAGAGGAUGGGUGGCUAGGCUUUUUGUUUCUUGGAGCUAAGGUAAUCGGGGAAGGGCCGAAUGCAAGAAUUGGUAGUUUUGUUGUUUCAGCUGUUAAUGAAGAGAAAGUGUAACCCGUUUAUGAUUUCUAUGUUUUUAGUUAACUUAAAACGCUUUCAAUUCACCUGAGCCAACACUUGGUAAGGCAAGUGAUCUCCGUCCAUGGAGAUGCGCUAGUUUACCUCUUGUGAGCUUUUGGGAGGUGACUUGAAGGUGGGAUUUUCUAGAAUUGCCAACACUUGGUAAGCUUUUGGACUCUAAGGAGACAUCCAUUAGUUAUCUCUUGCGAGCUUGAGAAGGGAAGUCCAAAGUUAAUGAUCACCUUGAAUGGCAAAUGCUAGGUGAGAGGCACGAGUCAUUGCAAGUUGCAUCAGUGAGAGGGAAUUAAAGCUGAAAUCCAUUUAAGGGAUGCAUCUGUACAACACUGGUUGGAGAGUGAACUAUAUGUUAACUCUCCAAUACGAGGAAAUGAACCAAGUGACCGAAACUCUGUUUUUGCAUGAGGAACCUCCCCUGUGAACCUGAAUGAUUACUACUCAAAACAUGCUAUUUUGUAGCUUGUAAUUAGCUCUUUUAAACACCAUUGAGUAGUAAUUAUUACCUUUUAACCCAAUUAGCAUGUUAGGAGCCCUUGCAAUCGUUUCUAACAAUUGUGUUAAGUUUUGGUGCUUUUUGAUAGCUUUAUGCUCACCAAAGCAAUUUAAGAAUGAGGGAGAGCUAUUUAUAGUUCAGGGCAAAGCUUUUGAAAGCUUAAAUUUAUGAAGAAAUCAAGCUAUGGAGCCUCAUAAUCCUUUGCCUUAAUCGUUCAAAGUUUACAAGGGAGAAACAAUGGAGAAGAAGAAAACAGGGGAUGAAAACAGGGGACACAGCUGCAGUCUUUUAGUGCACUUUUGGAGCACUUUCCAAAGUCCAUUCUUUACAUUCUAUAUACCAUUUCGAAGCUCAGAAAGUCAAGAAUCCAAUGGUUCAAACCACGUAUGAUUUGGAGCUGAAAUGAGGAAGAUAUGGACUUCGGAAGACAACUGCAUCAAGCUGAGGGACAAUUUCGCACACCACUGUUUAAGGUGCGAAAUCCUCAGUCCACUGUGCGAAAAUUUCGCACACCUCAAACCAACAUGCGAAAUUGGAACUCAGCGUGCAAAAAUUGGAUAUUUUUGCCGACUCUUUUUCUUCUGAUAUUUUUGUGUUUAAAUUUCCAUUUUCUCCUUGUAUUCAACCAACCAUGUAAUUCCUUAGCUAGGAAGUAUCCAAGGAAGGGUAAAACUACCUUCCUAUAUAAAUUCUCUUGUAAUCACUGAAAACAGAUCUUCGUCGGGGAGCUUUCUCCAGGAGACCAACUAUUGUAAAUUUGUUACUUAGUGAAAUACAGAGAUCUCUUUUACUUUCCUUUUCUCUCUUCUAUUUUCUAUUUUCUUGCAAGCCAAACACCCUCUGAGGAUGUUUUCCCAGAGGAUGAGAGGCUAAGCAUUUAGUUUCUUGGAGUAAAGGAAGUUAGGUGAAAAGUCCAGAUUAAAAGGUGGAAAGUUUCCGUGCAUUAAAUUCAGGUAGUUGGAGUCCAUAAAUGGUUUCUAAAGCCAAGGUUUUGCCUUAAAUCCCUUAGGAUCACUUUGACUGGCCAAUACAUGGUAAGCUUAAGGUCUCUGUGGAUGCUUAUUGCUAGAUCCAUAUCAGUCCAUUAGUUAUCAUGUACGAGCCAUUGGAAAGUGAUUCAAGGUGAUAGCCCAUAGUGUCUUAAGCCAUUAAUGGACCUUGAUUACCAUCUCUAGUGAUUUUUAUGGAUUAAAACUUCAUUGUCAAACCUAUACCGGUUCGGGAAAUAACUAUAGGUUAAAUCCCCAAUGCGAGGAGAAAAAUCCGGAAUUUUCCACUUUGCAUCUGGAACUUGAACCUAGCAACCUUUAGCUCCGGGAGACUUUCUUUCUUCCACUUUUUACUUAGUUCUAUGUGAGUUUAGUUUAAAUCACCACUUUCAAAACAAUUUUAUUUUCUUUUAAAUUUCAAGUUUGUGCUAAAGGAAAUCAUCAGAAUCAAUUUCUAAUUUAGAGUCUAUCAUUGGUAGAGUGAAAACCCAUCCCUGAGUUCGACCCUAGAACUGCUAUACUAUAGUAGCUUUGCUACGCCAGUAUAAGGUCAUAGGUUUUAUAAAUGUUUUUGAUUAAAAGAUCCGGCUGGGAAGUCAAGCGAAGAAUCACUGAACCUCCAAGGAAUGUUUUCUUUAUAAAGUAAUUCCCAUUACUUUCUUUUUAGUUAGCUUGUAACCAAAUCUUUUUCAACCAAAGUUUAUGUUUUCUUUUGAAUCUAACCUUGAAAUGAAAAGGCACCAAUUCAACUUUGAAUUGGUAUCGGUUGUAAGUCGAAAACCUUUCCCAGUGAACGAUCCUAGAGCUACUAUGCUAUACUAGCUUAUGCUAUCCUAGUGCAUGGUGAUAUAGGUUAUAAAUUUUGUUGAUUAAUCCCAUCAGAGGACCAAAAUCAAGGGCAUCAGCUGGGAAUACACGAAUCAGCUGUCGGAAUGACGUAGCAAGGCUUGCUCACUUUAGUCAAUGAUCCGGACAACAUAUCCGGAUAGGAUAUGCUAUCGUCCGGGGUGUGAUGAUCGCGAGUACCGUGUGCUUCUCCCUGAGGGAGUCCGGAUAGGGGAGCGCGCCACGUGUCCUCUUGGGGAAUUCGGAUGGAGUGCUCCGGAUAGCAAUGCGCGCUCCGUGUCAUCAGGGGGAGGGGUCCCUACACCUUGCACACGCAGACGGUCCCCCUUGCGACGUUCCACCUUCUCCGGAUAUCUCACAUCCGGAAUUCUGUCCGGCCGACGUUCCACCUUCUCCGGAUAUUUCACAUCCAGCGCCUGACGCCGGAUGGGAGAGGAGGGCGUUUCAACUUCCCCGGUCAGACAUAUCCGGAUCCUCUGAUAGCGCUUACCCGGAGAGUUUCGCAGCCAUUUUGCAUAGUGCCGCGGUGUUCUCUUGAAGCUUCCCGAUAUGUGCGACCGACAUUUUGAGAUAUUUUUCUUUAGAUAUUUGAUGUCUAAAUCCCCAAACUCUCCUUGUAACCCACCUAUCAUAGGAUUCCUUAGUCUUUAAGUAAGAACAAAGGGUGAAUAACCCCUUAUAUAUAGCUUUGUAAUUUUCUUUACAAGAAAGAUAUAUAAUGUAAUCUCUCGAGAGCUUGUUCUUAGAGACAACCUUUUGUAUAAGUAAGAAAUAUAUCUACAGAGCACUUGCUCUGCUUUUCAUAUAUAUUUUUGUUUUCUCGUUAUUUUUCUUUCUAGCCAAUCAAACUCUGAGGAUUUUUCCUCAAAGGAUGAGAGGCUAGGCUCUUCGUCUCUUGGAGUGAAGAAAGCUGGAUAAGUUUCCAAAUGCAAGAAUUGGAAGUUUUGUUGUUUUAAGUUUUAAUGAAGAGAAAGUGUGACCCGUUAAUGGUUUUUAUCUUUUUAGUUAACUUAAAACGCCUUCAAUUCACUUGGGCCAACACUUGAUAAGGCAAAUGGUCUCCGUCCAUUGAGAUACACUAGUUUAUCUCUUGCUAGCCUUUGGGAGGUGGUUUGAAGGUAGGAUUUUCUAGAAUAGCCAACACUUGGUAAGCUUUUGGACUCUUAGGAGACAUCAAUUAGUUAUCUCUUGCGAGCUUUUGAUAGGUAAUCAAAGAUUAAGGAUCAGCUUGGAUGACAAAUGCUAGGUGAGAGGCACGAGCCAUUGCAAGAUGCAUCAGUGAGAGGGAUUUAGUGUUUGAACCCAUUAAGGGGAAGCAUCUGUACCACACCGGUUAGAGAAUUAACUAUAUGUUAAUUCUUUAAUGCGAGGAAAAGAAACAAGUGACCGGAACUCUCCUUUUUGUAUGAGGAACCUGAGCUUAGUGAUCUAAACUCCAAGAAACACUUUUCUUAGUAAGUAAUUUCCAUUACUUUAUUUUUGGUUUCUGAUUCGUGCCCACUUGGUGUAUCAACUGAUUCAUGUCCAACUGGUGCUCCUUGAUUGAGGUAGUAAUCAACAAAAUUUAUAACCUAUUACACCAUGAACUAGGGUAGCAAAGACAAAGCUACUAUAGCAUAGCGGCUCUAAGAUCGUUCACUGGGAUGGGUUUUCACUCCACAAUUGAUAUCAAUUCAAAGCUGAAUUGGUGCCUUUUCAUUUCAAGGUUAGCUUUAAAAGAAAACAUAAAGAUGUUUAAAUGAAAAAGGUUUGGUUUUAAACUAACCAAAAAUAGUAACUAAUUUUACUUACAAAGAAAAGUGUUUCUUGGAGUUUAGAUCACUAGGCUGAGGUUCCUUGUACAAAAAGGGAGUUCCGGUCACUUGUUUCUUUUCCUCGCAUUAGAGAAUUAACAUAUAGUUAAUUCUCUAACCGGUGUGGUACAAAUGCUUCCCAUUAAUGGGUUCAAACACUAAAUCCCUCUCACUGAUGCAUCUUGCAAUGACUCAUACCUCUCACCUAGCACUUGCCAUUCAAGGUGAUCUUUAACCUUGGAUUACCCGUUAAAAGCUCGCAAGAGAUAACUAAUGGAUGUUUCCUUAAAGUCCAAAAGCUUACCAAGUGUUGGCUAUUCUAGAAAAUCCUACCUUCAAACCACCUCCCAAAGGCUCGCAAGAGAUAAACUAGUGAAUCUCAAUGGAUGGAGACCACUUGCCUUAUCAAGUGUUGGCCCAGGUGAUUUAAAGGCGUUUUAAGUUAACUAAAAAGAUAAAAACCAUUAACGGGUCACACUUUCUCUUCAUUAAAAACUAAAACAACAAAACUUCCAAUUCUUGCAAUUGGAAACUUACCCGGCUUUCUUCAUUCGAAGAGACAAAGAGCCUAGCCUCUCAUCCUCUGAGGAAAAAUCCUCAGAGUUUGAUUGGCUAGAAAUAAAAAGAAUGAGAAAACAAAAAUAUAUAUGAAAAGCAGAGCAAGUGCUCUGUAUUUUACUUCCUUCCAAAACUGUACAAAAGAUCCGUCUCUGAGAACAAGCUCCCGAGAGAUUGAUCAUAUAUAAAGAAAAUUACAAACUAUAUAUAAGAGGUUAUUCACCCUUUUUCCAAACUUAAUAACUAAGGAAUCCUAUGAUUGGUGGGAUACAAGGAGAGUUUGGGGAUUUAGACAUAAAAUAUCUAAAGCAAAAUAUCUCAAAAUAUCUCAAUUGUCGGUCACACAUAUCUGGAAGCUUCAGGAGAAUACUGAAGAAAAAUAUCUCAAAAUGUCGGUCACACAUGUCAGGAAGCUUCAGGAGAACACCGUGGCACUGUGCAAAAUGGCUACGAAACUCUCCGGGUAAGCGCUAUCAGCGGAUCUGGAUAUGGCUGACCGGAGAAGUUGAAACGCCCUCCUCUCCCAUCCGGCGUCAGGCGCCGGAUGCGAAUAUCCGAAUGGAAUGGCGGCGGAGCAAAAUUCCGGAUGUGAGACAUCUGGGUGGAAUGGCGGCGAAGCAAAAUUCCGGAUGUGAGACAUCCGGGUGGAAUGGCGGCAAAGCAAAAUUCCGGAUGUGAGACAUCCGGGUGGAAUGUCGGCGGAGCAACUCCAUCCGAAUUCCCCGAGAGAACAUGUGGCACGUUCCCCUAUCCGGACUCCCUUAGGGAGAAGCACACGGCACUCACGAUCAUCACACACCCGGACGAUAGCAUAUCCUAUCCGGAUAUUCUGUCCGGAUGAAAAGAAGAGAAAAGAGCCCACAUUCCGCCGCCCACCGAUGGUGUGUCCGGACGCCCUGUCAGGAUGAUAGCAUAUCCUAUCCGGACAGCUCUUCAUUGCUUUGCCAUGGAUUCCAAAGAACUCUCCUUAAUCUUGGAUUGCUUUGGUGAUCAAAUUACUAACAAAAAACACCAAAACUUACACAAUUUGAUUAGAAUUGAUUGUAAGGGUCCUUAAUAUGUUAAUUGGGUUAAAAGGCGAUAACUACUACUCAAAAGUGUUUGAAAGAGUUAAUUACAAGCUAUGAAAUAACACUUUUUGAGUAGUAAUCAGUUUCACUUAAAAACCAACCUUUUUCAACCAAAGAUUAUGUUUUCUUUUAAAGCUAACCUUGAAAUGAAAAGGCACCAAUUCAUCUUUGAAUUAAUAUCAAUUGUGAAGUGAAAACCCAUCCCAGUGAACGACCCUAGAGCCACUAUGCUAUGCUAGCUAAGGCUAUCCUAGUACAAGGUGUAAUAGGUUAUAAAUUUUGUUGAUUACUCCCUUCUGAGGACCACAAUCAAGGGACACCAGCUAAACACGAAUCAGCUAAGACACCAAUUGGAAACGAAUCACAUUGGCAUCACACAUCACUUCAAAAGGUAGUUGCCAGUUAGGAGCCCUCACCAUUGGAGCGGUUGUCAAGAACUGCUUCAGUUGCUCAAAACUCUUUUGACAUUUUUCAUCACAUACAAAUUUAGCAUCCUUCAGCAAUAGUUCACAAAGAGGCUUUGAAAGUUUAAAGAAAUCUUUAAUAAACCUCCCGUAGAACCCAACAUGGCCAAGGAAUUGCCUCACUCCUUUUACAGCUGUUGGGGAUGGCAAUUUCACAAUAAGUUCCACCAUUGCUUUAUAAACUUCAAUGCCUUUCUUGGAGAUGAUGUGGCCAAGGACAAUUUCUUGUUGUACCAUAAAAUGACAUUUCUCCUAGUUAAGCACUAAGUCUUUUUCAAUGCAUCGGUUCAGAACAAUUCCAAGUUGACUAAACAUUCCUCAAAUGUGCUUCCAUAUAUGGUGAUAUCAUCUAUAAAAACUUCCAUAAUACGCUCCACCAUAUCACUGAAAAUGCUUAACAUACAUUGUUGGAAUGUUGCAGGUGCAUUGCAUAAACCAAAAGGCAUUCUUCUGUAGGCAUAUGUGAUUACUAAUCAAAAAGUGCUAUUUCAUAGCAUGUAAUUAACUCUUUUAAACACUUUUGAGUAGUAGUUAUUGCCUUUUAACCCAAUUAACAUGUUAAGGACCCUUGCAAUCACUUCUAAUCAAUUUGUGUAAAGUUUUGGUGUUUUGAUAGCCUUUUUGAUCACCAAAGCAAUAUGAGAUUGAGGAGAGUUCUUUGGAAUCCUUGGCAAAGCAAUGGAAAGCUCAAAAACAUGAAGAACCAAAGCUUUGAAGUCCUUUGCCAUAAGCAAAUCCGGAAUGCAAGGAAGGGAAGCAAAGAGAAAUCUGCCAUGAAGCAUUCUUGAUGACAGUCAUGUCAGCCACUUUUGGAGCACUUUCUAGAGUCCAAUUUAUGCAUGCUAUAUGUCGUUUCGAAGCUCAGGAAGUCAACAAUCCAAUGCUUCAAACAGUACAUGAUUCGGAGUUGAAAUGAAGGAGUUACAUCUAUUGGAAGCCAAUCACUCCAAGUUGAAGAAAGAAUUUUACACGGCUGCGAAAUCACCCUUUUGUUGCGAAAUGAUUUCGCAGCCAUCUUGCACAGUGCUCUGGAAUUUCUCCUGAAGUUUCCCGAUAUUUGCGACCGACUCUUUUAGAUCUUUUCUUCAGAUAUUUUUGUAUAAAUUUCCAUUCUUCUCCUUAUAAUCCACCAACCAUAAGAUUUCUUAGUUAGGAAGGUUGGAAAAACGUCUCUAUAUAUAUUCCCUUGCAUCCACUGUAAAAGAUAUAGAUAUAUCAUAUAUAGAAUCAACGAACAGAGCACUUGCUCUGUUUUUCAUAUAUAUUCUUGUUUUCUCGUUAGUUUUCUUUCUAGCCAAUCAAACUCUGAGGAUUUUUCCUCAGAGGAUGAGAGGCUAGGCUCUUCGUCUUUUGGAGUGAAGAAAGCCGGGUAAGUUUCCAAAUGCAUAAAUUGGAAGUUUUGUUGUUUUAGUUUUUAAUGAAGAGAAAGUGUGACCCGUUAAUGGUUUUUAUCUUUUUAGUUAACUUAAAACGCCUUUAAAUCACCUGGGCCAACACUUGGUAAGGCAAGUGAUCUUCGUCCAUGGAGAUGCACUAGUUUAUCUCUUGCGAGCUUUUGGUAGGUGGUUUGAAGGUAGGAUUUUCUAGAAUAGCCAACACUUGGUAAGCUUUUGGACUCCAAGGAGACAUCCAUUAGUUAUCUCUUGCGAGCUUUUGACGGGUAAUCCAAGGUUAAAGAUCACCUUGAAUGGCAAAUGCUAGGUGAGAGGCACGAGCCAUUGCAAGAUGCAUCAGUGAGAGGGAUUUAGUGUUUGAACCCAUUAAUGGGAAACAUCUGUACAACACCGGUUAGAGAAUUAACUAUAUGUUAAUUCUCUAAUGCGAGGAAAAGAAACAAGUGACCGAAACUCUCCUUUUUGUAUGAGGAACCUGAGCCUAGUGAUCUAAACUCCAAGAAACAUUUUUCUUUGUAAGUAAAAUCAGUUACUAUUUUUGGUUAGCUUAAAACCAAUCCUUUUUCAUUCAAACAUCCUUAUGUUUUCUUUUAAAGCUAACCUUGAAAUGAAAAGGCACCAAUUCAACUUUGAAUUAACAUCAUUUGUGAAGUGAAAACCCAUCCCAGUGAACGAUCCUAAAGCCACUAUGCUAUAGUAGCUUUGUCUUUGCUACCCUAGUAUAUGGUGUAAUAGGUUAUAAAUUUUGUUGAUUACUCCCUCAAUCAAGGAGCACCAGCUGGACAUGAAUCAGCUGAGACACCAAUUGGGCACGAAUCAAAUGGCGCCAUUGCCGGGGAUGGUGCCACUUUACAGUGAUAUCACCUUUUCAGAGUACUUGUGAUCUUCAUCACAAGUUUGGUGACUUUUCUUUUCCUUUUACUAACUCUUUUUAUUGUUCAUAUUUUAGUAUACCUUUUAUUUAGUUUUUAGUUUACCUUAAUUUUUUUUCUUUGAAUUGUUUUUCUUUUGUGUUCACUGUUUUAAAUUCACAAAUUGCUAGUUGUGCAUGCCAUAUUGAAUACCAUAGCAGAGAAAGCCAUGAACUUCAUGAGUUAUGUGGUUGAAGUCUCAAGAGGAUGGGAUGAACCAAAUGCUAGAGAUAUGGGAAGAAUGACGUCUCAACCUAAUGCUAAGGGUGAGAUGUAUAUUUUAAAUGACGGCAUAGACAUGAGGACAAAGUUUGCAGCUAUGGCAAGGAGAUUAGAAGAGCUAGAAAUGAAGAAGAUGCAUGAAGUGCAAGCCAUCUCUCAGACACCAUUGCAACCUAUGCCCUGUUCCAUUUGUCGAUCUUUUGAGCACUUGGGGGAAGAGUGUCCUACCAUUCCAGCCGUGAGGGAAAUAUUUGGUGAUUGCAACACCUACAAUUCCAAUUGGAGGGACCAUCCAAAUUUCUCUUGGAAACCACAGCCACCUCAGUAUCAGCAACCUGCUCAAGCACCACAGCAAGCCUCAAGCCUUGAACAAGCUAUGGUGAAUCUUAGCAAGGUCGUGGGAGACUUUGUUGGAGCUCAGAAAUCCAUCAAUGCUCAGUUCAGUCGAAGAAUUAACAGUGUAGAGAGUUCAUUGAUUAAAAGGAUGGAUGAAGUGCAAAAUGAUCUAUCUCAUAAGAUAGAUAAUCUCCAAGAUUCAAUCUCAAGGUUUGCCAACCUCAACAUAGUGCAAGAGAAAGAAAACUCUCCUUCUCAACCUUAUCAAAAUUCCAUGAGUAUCCAUGAAAUGGAGGCUAAGGAGGGAGAACCUUCACAAAAGAGGGAAGUUAAAGAAGUGAUCACUCUGAGGAGUGGUAAAGAGGUUGAUCUGCCCACAUGCAAGCUAGAGCAUAAGGUAGAGAGUGAAACAGAGAAAGAAAAGAGGGAGGAAAUCAAAGGAAAUAAAAAAGGGAAAAGCAUAGAGAAAGAUGACUAUAUAGAUGAAGAACCACAGAGGAUAGUCAUCAAGAAAGAAUUGAUGAAGAAACACAUGCCUCCACCUUUUCUCCAAGCUUUGUAUGAGAAAAUCAUACAAACCAAGUCUCAAGUGAGGGAUGCAAGCUUCAUAUGGGAUCCGGGCAAGUUAAAUCAGGAUCAAAUUUUUUUUAUGGACUUAGUCUUUCUAAAGACUAGCUAGUCCAUAUCUUUUUGUUUUACUUAUUACUUGUUUUAAUUUUGAUUUCAAUGCUUUAAUUCUAAUUUGUUUUUAUGUAAUAUAGGUUUUUGGAUGAUCAAAAUCAGGAGGAAUUGCAAAGAAAUUGAAGGAAAGUCGUUUGGAGUAAAAACGGAGAAAAAACAGGGCAAAAACAGGAGGAAAACAGGGGUCUGCGAGAUUUCGCAGCCUCAGGCCCCUCUCUGCGAAAAUUUUCGCAGCUGCGAAACCAAGUUUUGGCACACGAGUGCCAUUUCGCAGCACAGUGACUCCCAUUUCGCAGCUGCGAAACGGUUGCGAACCACCAAAGCAUGAAAGAUCCUAUUUUCGCAAGGAAAGCUCCAUUUCGCAGAGGAUUUCGCAGCUGCGAAACCACUUUUGGCACACGAGUGCCAUUUCGCAGCACAGUGACCCUCAUUUCGCAGUUGCGAAACGGCUGCAAAAUGCCAAAGCGUAAAAACUUCCAAUUUCGCAGCCAAAGCUCCAUUUCGCAGGGUGUUUCGCAACUGCGAAGCCACUUUUUGGCACACGAGUACCAUUUGGAAGCCCCGUACACUCAUUUCGUAGCUUUGAAAUGGCUGCAAAACCUCCACACCUUAAAAUCCUUCAGCGCGCACACCAUAAACAGACAUGUCACAACCGUACCCCCAUUUCGGCAACUGUUGGACACAAUUCGAUCACUUACUGAACCUCAAAUUAUACAUACCAUAUCUUGUUUCAAAUCUUGGGAAGUCAGGAGUCCAUAGCUUCAAACAGUGCUCGAUUUGGAUUUGAAACGGAAAAGUUAUGGCCGUUUGAAGAUGACUGUGCAAACCAUAAGCGGAAAUGUCGCACCUCCAUUUUGCUACUGUUGAACACAUUUUUGAAACACUUCCUGGAGCUCAAAUUAUGCAUACCAUAUCUCUUUUCAAAUCUUGGGAAUUCAGGAGUCCAUAGCUUCAAACGGUAUGCGAUUUGGAGAUGAAAUGAAGAAGUUAUGGCCAUUUGAAGACGAACAUGCAAAGCUGAGCGGGAAUUUUCUUCCCAUUUGGCUGCGAAAUGAUCUCCAAGCUUCAAAAUGGCUGCGAAAUCACUUUUGAGCAGCGAAAUGGCUAUGAAAUGAUCUCCAAGCUUCAAAAUGGCUGCGAAAUCACCUACAAGCUUCGAAAUGGCCUUCAAAUUGCGAAAUUGACUUGCAAAAUGGAGGGUGAUUUGCAAAAACACCUUGCAAAGCCAAGGAAAGUUGCUAAAAUGCCAACAGAGCCCCGCGACCAUGCAUAUGAAGAGGAGAGCCCCGCGCACCCUGAGAUCACACACACUAAGCCUCUCAUUCCAUUUCUGACUUCCUAAAACCAUCAGAGCCCAUAGCUCCAGCUCAGAGCUCAUAGCUCCAACUGAGAGCUCCAGUUGAAGAGACUAUGCCACCUAAGGAGACUACCAGAACAGAGGCCAAAGUCCUGAUCCAACCCAUUCAAGAGGCCACCACAGAUGCAUCAGCUCCACAGGACCCUACCAUUGCUUGAUCAUCUUUUUACUUUUUGUCUUUACAUAUUAUAUUAGUAUAGAUAAUUCCAUGUUUUGAUGUCUUAUAUUCUGAGAUUGGAUGUAUUACUGAUAAUACAUCAUAUAUAGACAUCAUUUUUGUUUAAACUUAGCAUUUUUCUAUUUUCACUAACUCUGUUGUUUUUUUGAAACAUGUGGUUUCUCCUAUACGACUCAGACUCCAUGUCACUCAGGAGGUACCAUUUCCUCCCUAUUUUUCAAUCGCUUUUGUCACAUUGAGGACAAUGUUCAGCUUGGUUGGGGGGAGAUUUGAGGAAGUAAGUAUUGUUAAUAAUGCUAAAUUAUUUUGGUAAUUUAGUUGCUUUUUGCUUAAUUUAAAAUUUUUUUUCUACUCUCCAUGGUUAUUAAGGAAAAAUUUUCAAAAUGAAAAGGGAGAAAUUGAAUUUUAGUCUUUUUACUUGACUUAGAUUUUGUAUUAUGCUUACUAAAGUUGAUGAAUUGUUGAAACUUCUAUUGAAUUCAACCUUAGUUCUUCCACUUUAAGCUAUUCACACACUGUGCACAAUAGGUUCCGAGUAUAAGAUGAAAAACUAUUUCCCUCUUGACUUAGGAAAAUUUUAGACUUGGUACCUUGACCUUAUUUAAUAGUGUUGGGACACCUUGUAAAAGGCCAAUGAGUCUUUGAAGAAAAAAAAGAAAGAAAGAAAAAAUGUUUGCUUGCCUUGAAACCCGAGCAAGGUCUGAGGGGUAUAUGGUGAAAAUCUUUAAAACCUGGUGCCCUAAGCCUUAAUUGGUUGGGAGUCACCGACCUCAAUGCUCGUUACAAGGGUGGAUAGGUGGAGUUUAACAUACUGUAGGUGCUUAGGUAUUAAAAUUCAUUCUCAAAAGUCCGGGGUAAAAUCCGAGGAGUUAGUGGUUGAAAGAUCCUUAAACCUUGAUGCCCUAAACCUUAAUUGGUUGGGAGUCAUCGAUGGACCCCCGUUACAUGGACAAUUUAAAAAAGAAUACCUUUAAGCCUUGUACUCCUACAAUGAAAAAAUUGUGAAAAAAGAGGUGCGUUCCUAACCUAUUAGAGGUUGAUCAGUUUGCUAAGCUUUGAAAAAGAACUAGGUUGGGGGGAGAGAUUAGUUUGACAUACUAUAUUCGGAAGCUAAUAAAUAACACUUAGAUUUUUGUGGAAGAGUAAGGUUUGACCCUUUGGGAGUGGAAACUCUUUUAAAGCUUAAAUUUGCAUAAUGCCUUCUCUUUAUGAAUUGUGAUUAGACAAGUUAUUUAAUAACUCUUGUUGAAGUUUGAUUUUUAUUUCUUUAAUGUUCCAUGUGAGAGUUAGAUCACAUCAUGCCACUUGAAAAUUGUUUUUUGAUCAGCAUGAUGUUGUAAAUUAUAGUAAUGAUUAUUUUUAUUUUUCUCUCCUUCAUUGCUAAGGGACUAGCAAUAUGUCGGUUGGGGGGAGUGAUUACUACUCAAAAAGUGCUAUUUCAUAGCUUGUAAUUAACUCUUUUAAACACUUUUGAGUAGUAGAUAUUGUCUUUUAACCCAAUUAACAUGUUAAGGACCCUUGCAAUCACUUCUAAUCAAUUUGUGUAAAGUUUUGGUGUUUUGAUAGCCUUUUUGAUCACCAAAGCAAUAUGAGAUUGAGGAGAGUUCUUUGGAAUCCUUGGCAAAGCAAUGGAAAGCUCAAAAACAUGAAGAACCAAAGCUUUGAAUUCCUUUGCCAUAAGCAAAUCCGGAAUGCAAGGAGGGGAAGCAAAGAGAAAUCUGCCAUGAAGCAUUCUUGAUGACAGUCAUGUCAGCCACUUUUGGAGCACUUUCUGGAGUCCAAUUUAUGUAUGCUAUAUUUCUUUUCGAAGCUCAGGAAGUCAACAAUCCAAUGCUUCAAACGGUGCAUGAUUCGGAGUUGAAAUGAAGGAGUUACAGCCAUUGGAAGCCAAUCACUCCAAGUUGAAGAAAGAAUUUUACACGGCUGCGAAAUCACCCUUUUGUUGCGAAAUGAUUUCGCAGCCAUUUUGCACAGUGCUCUGGAAUUUCUCCUGAAGUUUCCCGAUAUUUGUGAUCGACUCUUUUAGAUCUUUUCUUCAGAUAUUUUUGUAUAAAUUUCCAUUCUUCUCCUUGUAAUCCACCAACCAUAAGAUUUCUUAGUUAGGAAGGUUGGAAAAACGUCUCUAUAUAUAUUCCCUUGCAUCCACUGUAAAAGAUAUAGAUAUAUCAUAUAUAGAAUCAACGAACAGAGCACUUGCUCUGUUUUUCAUAUAUAUUCUUGUUUUCUCGUUAGUUUUCUUUCUAGCCAAUCAAACUCUGAGGAUUUUUCCUCAGAGGAUGAGAGGCUAGGCUCUUCGUCUUUUGGAGUGAAGAAAGCCGGGUAAGUUUCCAAAUGCAUAAAUUGGAAGUUUUGUUGUUUUAGUUUUUAAUAAAGAGAAAGUGUGACCCAUUAAUGGUUUUUAUCUUUUUAGUUAACUUAAAACGCCUUUAAAUCACCUGGGCCAACACUUGGUAAGGCAAGUGAUCUCCGUCCAUGGAGAUGCACUAGUUUAUCUCUUGCGAGCUUUUGGUAGGUGGUUUGAAGGUAGGAUUUUCUAGAAUAGCCAACACUUGGUAAGCUUUUGGACUCCAAGGAGACAUCCAUUAGUUAUCUCUUGCGAGCUUUUGACGGGUAAUCCAAGGUUAAAGAUCACCUUGAAUGGCAAAUGCUAGGUGAGAGGCACGAGCCAUUGCAAGAUGCAUCAGUGAGAGGGAUUUAGUGUUUGAACCCAUUAAUGGGAAACAUCUGUACAACACCGGUUAGAGAAUUAACUAUAUGUUAAUUCUCUAAUGCGAGGAAAAGAAACAAGUGACCUAAACUCUCAUUUUUGUAUGAGGAACCUGAGCCUAGUGAUCUAAACUCCAAGAAACAUUUUCCUUUGUAAGUAAAAUCAGUUACUAUUUUUGGUUAGCUUAAAACCAAUCCUUUUUCAUUCAAACAUCUUUAUGUUUUCUUUUAAAGCUAACCUUGAAAUGAAAAGGCACCAAUUCAACUUUGAAUUAACAUCAUUUGUGAAGUGAAAACCCAUCCCAGUGAACGAUCCUAGAGCCACUAUGCUAUAGUAGCUUUGUCUUUGCUACCCUAGUAUAUGGUGUAAUAGGUUAUAAAUUUUGUUGAUUACUCCCUCAAUCAAGGAGCACCAGCUGGACACGAAUCAGCUGAGACACCAAUUGGGCACGAAUCAAUAUGUUCCAAAUGGACAUGUGAAAGUGGUUUUCUCCUGGUCUUCAACAUCAAUUUCUAUUUGAAAAUACCCGGAGAAGCCAUCCAAGAAACAAUAGAAAGGAUGGCCUAAGACUCUCUCCAACACUUGAUCAAUAAAUGGCAAUGGAAAAUGAUCGUUCCUUGUCACAACAUUCAAUUUUCUAUAAUCAAUACACACCCUCCAACUUGAAGUGAGGCGUGUAGCAACUUCUUCUCCCUUAUCAUUUUGCACUACUGUGAUCUCUGAUUUCUUUUGCACUACUUGAGUAGGACUCACCCAUGGGCUAUCUGAUAUGGGGUAGAUAAUACCGGCCUGAAGUAGCUUAAGAACUUCAGUUUGCACCACCUCUUGCAUAUGAGGAUUCAAUCUUCUUUAAGGUUGACGAAUUGGCUUAUUUUCUUCUUCUAUGUACAUAUGAUGCGUACAGACUAAAGGGCUGAUACCUUUCAAGUCAGAUAUUUGCCAUCCUAUUGCUUUCUUACAUCUCUUGACAACUUCAAGUAAACACUCCUCCUGAGGAGUGGUAAGAGAUGAAGAUAUAACAACAAGGCACUUCUUAUUCUCUUCUAGGUAUGCAUACUUCAACUCCGUGGGUAAUGGCUUCAAACUAAGCUUUGGGGCCUUCUCUUUAACAGCUUCUUGUAUCUCCUCCUCAUUGAACAAAGGUAGAAUUUCUUUUAUCCUCCUCUAACCUGGUAGAGUAGCAAGCAAAUUUGAGGGUUCAGGCAACCCUUCAUCAAGAUCCCUAAGACUUUCAUUCAACUUCUCUUGUAUUUUCUAAUUACAAUGCUCCUCCACUAAAGUGUCAAUGAUGCACACCUCUUUUGGACCUUCUUAUUCUUUCAGCUUGAUUGGCUUCUUGGACAUAUAGAAGAUAUUGAGUUCCAAUGUCAUGUUCCCAAACAUGAGUUGCAUGAGUCCAUUCCUACAAUUGAUGAUUGCAUUUGAUGUAGCUAGGAAUGGUCUUCCAAGUAUGAUAGGAACAUAAUUCGUUUCCUUGACAAUUGGGUCCGUAUCAAGAACAAAAAAAUCCACUGGAUAGUAGAAAUUGUCAACUUGAACUAAGACAUCUUCAAUCAUCCCUCUUGGAAUCUUCACUGAUCUAUCUGCUAGAGAUAGAGUGAUUGAUGUUGGCUUCAAUUCACCAAGUCUCAAUUGCUUGUAGACAGAGUAUGGUAGCAAAUUCACACUUGCCCCCAAGUCCAACAAAGCUUUCUCCACUAAAGUCCCUCCAAUCAUCACUGAGAUGGUAGAGCAGCCUGAAUCUUUGUACUUCACUGGAGACUUGCACUGUAUGAUGGCACUUACUUGCUCAAUCAAGAAGGUUUUCUUAUUCACAUUCAACCCUCUUUUGAUAGUGCACAAGUCCUUCAGGAAUUUUUCAUAAGUCGGCACUUGUUUGAUCAUGUCUAGCAAUGGGAUGUUGACCUUCACUUGCCUCAAUACUUCAAGAAUUUCUGAUGCAUUGCUGAUUCCCUUUUUCCCAUGCAAAGAUUGAGGAAAAGGUGGAGGCAUGUGUUUCUUCAUCACAUCUCCAUUGAUAACUAUCUUCUCUGGAUCUUCAUUCACUAUUGAAUCAUGGUCCUCUUUCCUUCCAUUGCUUCAUUUCUUCUUUCCUUUGAUUUCCUCCAUUUUCUCUGUCUCUUUUUCACUCUUUGUUUCAUCAUGUGGCUUGGGUGUUGGUAGCUCAACCUCUUUACCACUCCUCAGAGUGAUCACGGCUUUGAUGUCCCUCACAUGUGAAGAUUCUCCCUUAUGAGCUUCCACUUCAUGGAUACCCUUGGGGUUUUGGUGAGGUUGAGAAGGAAACCUUCCCUUCUCUUGCACUGUGUUAAGGUUGGUGAGCCUUGAGAUUGAGUAUUGGAGAUUAUCUAUCUUUUGAGAUAAAUCGUUUUGCAUUCCAUCCAUCAUUUUAUUCAAUGUAUUCUCUACACUGUCAAUUCUUUGAUUGAGUUGAGCAUUGAUAGAUUUCUGGCCUCCAACAAAAUCUCCCACGAUUUUGCUUAGAUUCACUAUUGCUUGCUCAAGAUUUGAAGCUUGUUGAGAUGCUUGGCCUGGUUACGUGUACUGAAGUGCUCUUGGUUUCCAGGAGAAAUUUGGAUGGUUCCUCCAAUUUGAAUUGCAGGUAUUUCCAUAUGAAGCAUUGUUAUUGGUCUUGAAUUGUCCAAUGAUAUUCGCUUGAUCCCCAAACAUUUCUCUAACACCUGGAAUUGUAGGACACUCCUCCACCAAGUGCUCAUAAGAUUGACAAAUGGAACAAGGCAUAACUUGCAUUGGUGUUUCAGAAACGGCUUGCAUUUCACGUAUCUUUUUUAGUUUUAGCUCCUCCAAUCUUCUUGUCAUAGCUCCAACUUUUGCUUUCAUGUCAAUAUUUUCGUUCAAGGUAUACAUCCCAACCUUAACUUUAGGAUCAUUUGGUUGAGACUUCAUUUUUCCCACUUCUCCCUUGUUCGGUUCAUCCCGUCCUCUUGAAACUUCAUCAACAUAAUUCAAGAAAUCCAUGGCUUCCUCCGGAUUCUUACUCAUGAAAUCUCCUCCACACAUAGUCUCUAGGAGUUGCUUCAUUGAGGACGACAUACCGUCAUAAAAGUAGCUUACCAAUAGCCAUGUAUCAAAGCCAUGGUGAGGACAAGCAUUGAUAGCUUCCAUGUAUCUCUCCCAACACUCAGAAUUUCUCAUUCUCUUUAGCUGAGAAGUUUGAAAUUUGCCUUUUCAAGCCAUUGGUCCUAUGAGUAGGAAAAAAUUUCUUGAGAAAUUUAGCUUGCAAAUUAGUCCAAGUUCGGAUAUUCCUUGGCCUUAAAGAAUUAAGCCAAAUCUUGGCCUUAUCCUUUAGAGUGAAAGAAAAUAGUUUUAGCCUCAUCAAGUCAAUUGAAGCUUCGGCCUCUUGGAAUGUAUUACAAACAUCUUCAAAGUCUUUGAUGUGCGCGUAGGGAUUCUCACUUUCCAUCCCAUGGAAAGUAGGUAGAAGUGGCACAAUAUGCAGUCUGAUUACUAGCUGCUCUGUAAGAGGCACUAUGCAUGAUGGUGCACUCAUACGAGGUGUAUGCAUGCGGUCCCUCAUUGAUCUGAAUGCAUUGGGAUUGUCCUGUUGACCAUGGUGACUAUGUUGAUCUUCAGGUGUAGCUUCCAUGAUGUUCAAGCACAAUUCCAACUCUGUUUAGUGAGGUGUUUCAAUUUUUACAAGUCUUCCUCCACUGCCUCGUAUCCAAUAUGGCAUACACAACUAGUAACAACUGUAACAAAAACAAAGAAAACAAUACUACAAAAAAAAAAAAAAACUAAGAUUAACUAAAAACUAAAUUAAAAGAUAGGCUAAAAUAUGAACAAGUAAAAGAAACAAUUAAAAAUAGUUAGUAAAAGAAAAGAAAAAUCACCAAACUUGUGAUGAAGAUCACCAAACUUGUGAUGAAGAUCACAAGUGUUUUGGAAAAGGUUAUAUCACUAUAAAGUUGGCACCAUCCCCGGCAAUGACGCCAUUUAAUUCGUGCCCAGCUAGUGUAUGCCUUGUUGAUUAGUGUUUAAUCAACUGGUGUACUAUGAUUUCGGUCCUCAGACAGGAGUAAUCAACAAAAUUUAUAAACCUAUUUCCUCAUAUACUAGGGUAGCAUUAGCUAGCAUAGCAUAGUGGCUCUAAGAUCGUCCACAGGGAUGGGUUUUCAAAUUACAACUGAUAUUAAUUCAAAAACUGAAUUGGUGCUUUUUUUUUUCAAGGUUAGCUUUAAAAGAAAACAUAAAUAUGUUUGAAAAGAUUGGUUUUAAGUGAAACAAAAAAUAAAGUAACUGAAAUUACUUAUAAAGAAAAUUGCUUCUUGGAGUUUUAGAUCACCAGGCUCAAGUUCGUCAUACAAAAAAGGAUAUUCUGGUCACUUGGAUCUUUUCCUCGCAUUGGGGAUUUAACAUAUAGUUAUUUCCCGAACCGGUGUGGUACAGAUGCUUCCCCUUAAUGGUUUCAAACACUAAAUCCCUAUCACUGAAUCAUCUUGCAAUGGUUCAUACCUCUCACCUAGUAUUGGCCAUUCAGGGUGAUCCUUAACCUUGGAUUACCCGUCAAAAGCUCACAAGAGAUAACUAAUGGAUGUCUCUUGGGAGUCCAAAAGCUUACCAAGUGUUGGCUAUUCUAGAUAAUCCUACCUUUAAACCACCUCCUAAAAGCUCGCAAGAGAUAAACUAGUGUAUCUCAAUGGACGGAGACCACUUGCCUUACCAAGUGUUGGCCUAGGUGAUUUUAAGGGAUUUUAAGUUAACUAAAAAGAUAAAAACCAUUAACGAGUCACACUUUCUCUUCAUUAAAAACUAAAAUAACAAAACUUCCACUUUUGCAUUUGGAACCUUACCUAGCUUCCUUCACUCCAAGAAAUAAAAAGCCUAGCCACUCAUCCUUUGGGAAAACAUCCUCAGAGUUCAAUUUUCUAGAAAUAAAAAUAACGAGAAAACAAAAUGAGAAGGUAAGGCAGAGCAAAGCUCUAUGUAUUACUUUCUGAAAAACUAUACAAAGUGUUGUCUCCGAGAAAAACUCCUGAGAGAUCCUUUUAAAAGAAAAAUUACAAUAGAUAUUAUAUAGAGAGGCUAUUCACCCCUCCUACUAACUUCCCAACCAAGAAAACUUGUCAUUGGUGGGUUACAAGGAGAAAAUAAGGAUUUACACACAAAUAUCUGAAGAUAAAUAUCAAAUGGAGUCGGUGAGCAAAUAUCUCAAAUUACAGGUGGAUUUCACAAGUUCAAAUGCAACUUGCGAAAAUUUCGCAAGUUGAAAUAAUCCAUUUCGCAAGUUGCGUAAUUGUCCUAUAACUUAUUAGCUCUAUGUCGUGCAGUGAUUCCUUUCUCUUCCUAUUUCGGAAGUUGCGAAAAUUUCGCAAGUUGGAUUCCAUAACUUGCGAAAUUGCUGGAUGGUUGAUUUCUUCUGUGUUUUUCUUCCUUGCAUCCUCAUUUGAUUUUGGCAAAGGGUUAUGAAGCUCCAAAGCUUAGUUUUUGCAGGAAUUUGAGCUUCAACUUGCUUUGCCAUGAACUAUACAAAGAUUUCCCUCAUUCUUAGAUUGAUUUGGUGAUAAAAAAGCUAUCAAAAACACCAAAACUUAACAUAAUUUGAUUAAAAACGAUUGCAAGGGUCCUUAACAUGCCAAUUGAGUUAAAAGGUAAUAACUACUACUCAAAAAUGUUUAAAAGAGUUAAUUACAAGCUAUAAAAUAACACUUUUUGAGUAGUAAUCACUCAAGCAAGGAGCAGUGAUCAACCCACCAAAGUGGGCUUGAGAGGUAAUGAAUUUUCAGCCAAGAUUCUUUCACAUAAAUUUGAUUUGGAAGUCUUUUAAAACCAAACCUCUUUGAGAUUUACUCCUAUGUAUACCUCCUUAUAAUCCCUUAAGGGUUAGAGAUCGAAAAGAGAUCAUAGAGAGUUUAAAGAGAUUUCAAAAUGGAGUCUCCUAGAGUGAAAGCCUAAAGGGCCACAACAUUCAUAAUCUCUCAUUCAAGGAUUUGAUAUUUGAAUCUUGGUUUGAAGACCUUCAUCCCUUCAACAAGGCUGAAGUGUAUUCAUUGGAGCAAUCAAAGGUUGCUACAUCGUAGAUGUGGUUCAAGUUGUAGGUACUGAAGAGCAAGUCUUUAGGGUAAAGGAGCCAGGUAAAUCUGUGUAACUUGAUUUCAUAUAAUGGAUUUAGAUUAGUGGGUCUUAGACGUCAUGGUUUUUUAUCUCCAUAGUUAAUGUGGGGGGUUUUCCAUGUAAAAAUUCGAUGCCCAUUGCAUAUCUGUUAAUGUCAUUACUAUAUCUUUGAAUACUUGAUUAUCAUUGUUAUCCCUAACAACUUGUAGGUUAUCCCUAAUAGAUUAAAACUAUAUUUUAAUUCUUAAAGAUUUCAAGUAUAAUUCAUUUGGUUAUACAAGGUAUCCUUGGGAUCUCUUAGGAUAAAAUUUGAGGAUAAUAUAUAUAAAUAUUUAUUUUAAAUUUUAAAAACACCCAUUCAUCCCCCCUUUGGGUGUUCCCUAUUGGACUUUUGAUUUUUUAUGGGUGAUCCUAAAUUAAGGAAUUACUAAGAGGUUGUGAUUUUGGUAGUAUUUAAUGGAAUAAAUUCUUAUGAAGUUUUCAUGAGAGUAUUUAUUAAAUUGGAAAGGUGCAAGGACAAGGAGAGUAAAUUUGUGAGGAAUUUUAAAUAUGAGAGAAAAAUUUCCUUUAGUAGAUAAGGUGCUCUCAAGAUUUUCAAAAUCUCAUAAAUUGUUAAUUUCCUUAUUUCACUAGAGUUUCCAAUUUGGAAAUUUUCAUUAGAGAUAAUUUAUCAUUAAAAGAUUAUUACCAAAAGGCUUAGUAAUUUGAUGGAAAUAAAUUUUUUUUGAAACAUUUCCAAGAUAAAAUAUUUAUUAAUUGGAUUUGUGUAAGAGAAAGAGAAUUCAUUCUCUUAUUACACUAGGUUUCCAAUUAUGAAAUAAAUAUUUUUGGAAAUUCUCAAAAAUAGAUAAUUUAUUCAUCAAAGUAAUUACUAAGGAUUUAAAAUGUUCUUAUCUAUCUUAAAAUAUUAAGUGGGAGAGGGUUCUAAGCAAGCCCACGACCUCCAUUGUCAAGCCCAUUUUGAUUUGGGUUCAUCACCACCCUUUCAAGAUGUAUUGGAAAAAAGAACUAGAUUGUGUAAUGAUGCACUAAAAAAGAAUACAUGCCUAAAAUAUAUGAUCCUUUCUUGAGUAGACCAUAUCAUGGAACAAUAAAAAAAAUGUUUUCACCUUCAAUCAUAAAUGACACUUCUAGAGAAAAUUAUAUUAGACAUGUUUGCAGUGGGAGUGACCACCGCUUCAAUGAGGUUCUUUACUUGGUGACAUUAAUAGUUCAAGAACAAUGGUUAUACACUUGACAUUGCAUAUGAAGUAGUAGAAUCACCCCCAUGUGGUCCUGUUUGCAUUGUCCAUAGGCCAAAUUUAGAAAGUAUGUUGAUCUUAGCUUUAUAUACCUUCAUGUUUAAGACAGGAAGAUCAAUUUGAGAGAGUCUCUAACUAGUAAUAAGGUCAUGAUAUGCCCCACGUAAGCUUGAUUCUUAUGAUACUAGGAUACUUUGCAAAAGGACAUGUAGUUUGAGAGCACUAGAUUUUUGCUAAAUUAAUUACCAAUUGCCUUGAAUGCACAAUUAUGUCAUAUGCAUGGUUAUUUUCUUUGUUACAUAUAUCAUAUUGGUUAUUUAUUAUCACUUUGGACAAAACCCAACUAAUCAUUUGGACUUAGUAUUAUUCCAGAUAUAAUAACUAUGUACUUGCAUAGAAGCUAGUUUAAGUAGAGCUAGCUAAUCCUUAUGAAUAACCUAGCAAAAAAAAAUAGUGGCGUAUUAGAGGUGGUAUUAGAAGAGUUAGAAGACCAAGUGUUUAAUACUUUAUCUUUAGAUAAUGUGUUGCAAUAACAACAUGUGUCUAUUAGUAGGGACUUUGAUAUUCUAUUUUUAGUCUACAAGGAUUAUUUGGUUAUAAGGGCAGGUUAACUUAAAGAAGCUACCCUUAGGACUAUUAUGAACAUCGGAUUUUAUAUGGUCUUGAGGACCUUGCCAGUUUCUUCAGGAUGGUUAAAGGGAUUCUUAAAGAACAUAGGGUUAUAUAAAUACUUUCUUACCAAAUCAAGAUGACCCUUUUGGGCUAGAUUAAGUGACCCAAGCCUUGAUAGGCUCAAGUCACUUAAGCCCAGUGGACAAUGCUAUAAAUACCCCCUUAUUCAAUUAGUCGUCUUCCACUUUUAGAAAGAAAAAGAGAGCUAAAGCUUUUUUCUUUCCAUUACCCAUAGUUUGGAAUGCCAAGAUCGUGGUUCAAGUCUUCGGAUGAAAGAUCUUGGGUGUAUGAGACCUUUAAACUUUUUCUUUUCCACGUGGAAUUGAUCUAGGAACAUCCAGAUCCAAGUAUGAGUACUACAUAUCUAGAUCUAUAAUUAAUGAUGAUUUUUAUUGCCAUUUUACUCACUAUGAUAGAUUUAAAGAUGCCUAGGGAUAGAUGCAUGCACCCCACAAGAUCUAGGGACAAGGAAUAGAGAUAUUUAGGUUUCCCAACACUAUCACCAAUAACACACUAAGAGCUAUAAAUUAUGCACUCAGUGAAAUAUGAUGAGAAUAGCACCCUCUAAGGGUGAUAAACAAUAUUUUACACUUAGAGAGCACUUCAAUAGCGCAACUUUAAGUGAUAGUGUAGAUUGCAUGUUUAGGAAGCCACCAUAUUACACACUUAAAGAACUCUUCUCAAAUUGCGCUUGGUUAAAUAGUGCACAUUUCUUAGGCAUCCAACAAUGGCACACCCAACAUAGGAGAACCCUUUGUAGGUUGUGCACUCUAAAGGCAUCAAUCCACAUUGUACACUUGGAGAAGUGCACUUAAAGUGUACACCAUUGAGUAAAGGUUUAGAUUGCUCACCUAAGAGUUAGGCUACAUAGUGUACCUCCUAUUAUGCACUAGCAGAACCUCUAUCAAGCUAUGCACCAUUCAAGCGCACCUUAUCCCAACAUGUAUAGUGCUCACAAAACUAGUAACCAUUAGUGCAUUAUUCAUUCAACAAUAAAUCAAAUGCAUAUCAAUAUUCAUUAAUGCGCAAUUUUGUCACCAAUAACUUAGUACACUUCCCCUUAAUAAAGCGUCUUCUCUCACUUCAAGAAGUGCACCCCAUAACUCAUCUCACUACAUUAUCCUAAUAACUUCACCAGGCAUGAGCUCCAAAAAUUAAUCUUUCAUCAAGUUGCAUACCAAAUAGUGCCCCUAAGGCUCCUAAAUGUUCAAUCAUCACAUCAUUAUGUUGCCACACUAACAAAACAAGAAGUGCAACCACCAUUCAUACUACACUGACAUGUUUUGACUAAAACGACCACAUCGAUACAUUACUUAUUAGGAUAGAGCCUUUAAAAGGAUGAUGUGAUGUAAUAAACUUUUGGAUUUUAUUGUUUAUUAAAAAAAUUUCUAGUUCACUUUUAUAUAUCUUAAUUUCGCACAUUAUACUUUGUAAGAAAUCUAAUCUGUAUCUUUUGCAUUGUAUAUGACUUGGGUACAUUGGCAAUUGCAUGGAAGAUUCAAGUCACGAGUUCCUUGCAAGUAGAUGACUAAUUCACAACCAAUUUGUGGGCUUCCCAUUAGAAGUUCUAGUGCACUACCUCCUAAUUCAAGAGAUGGUUGGUCUUGGUCAUUAGGAUGGGUUUCUCAUGGUGAGUAUACUAGUACAUAUAGCUACACAUUGGAUAAGACAUACGACGAGUCAUGAUUUAAGGCAAUGAAGUAGUCGUGACGCUACCAAGAUUCUUUAUUAUAUUGUUUCUCACCCUUGAGAGAAUAUUAAGAUUGUGUUAAAGUUAGCAGUAGCUUUGACCAAUAGGUGAGAGAUCAUAAGUUGAUCAUAUAUUUCUUAUCGAUUAGGUCGCUAUUAGUGGAAGUUGGUAGCAAUAUGUAUCUUGAUAGAGGCACCAUGAUAUCUCAUGGAAUUGAAAUAGAGUGUCUCUUUGGUGAUCUUAAGGAGAUGCGUUCAUGUAAAUUAUGACUAUAAUAAUUCCUUAAGUGGAACUUGGCAUAUGAUCUUAGAGAACUAAGAUAUGUUAGUUGAAUACACAAUAGGAAGAUCUAUAACUCAAAGAUAUUAGAGCUAGUAUUGAGAUGUUGAUAACUUUCACCUUAUUAGAUUAUGGACACCAAUUUGUAGGGAGAUUGAAUGCAAUAGAUGGUAGAUCACGAACCCGAGCACUUAAUGUCUCAUUAUUAUUAACAUAAGGUAUUGGAGUGCAAUUGAAUCUCUAUAAUAGGAUGUUGAAUCAACUUUAGAAUUGGAUCCUAUAGGACCAUUCCAAUGGUCCUUGCUUGAGCUCUUAUACCUUAAUGACACAAUCUAUGAGGUUUGGAUUAACUUCAGGUCCACUUUUGUGCAUAAGGGCAUUUUGGUAAUUACAUAAGGUUACAUAACUGUUAGUGAAUAAAGUCUUUACAUUGAAUUAUUUAGGACCUACUUUUUACUAGAUUAAGUAGCGUAAGCCCUUGGUGGGCACAAGUCACUUAAGCUCAAGUAGGGAACCUUAUAAAUACCCCUUAGGGGUUAGGGUUUCCAUCACUUUUUGAAGUGAACCAUCUUCCACCAUCUUCCACCAUCUUGAGAGAAAGAAAAAACAAGAGCCAUAGCCUCCACCCUCCCUUCCUCCCCACUUGUUGUGUGUUAAGAUAAAAAAGAGCCAUCAAGUGGAAGAUAUUAUGUAUUUGAGACUCUAACAACUUUGAUUUUCAACUUCACUACAUGGACUAGAUUUAGGAACAUCAAAAUCUUAGAUAAUGUUUUCUAAUGCAUAUUUUGAAUCUUAUUAUUGUUUUAAAAAAUGUAAUUUGGUCUUUGUGCAUUGGAUUUAGCUUUGGAAGAUUUGCAUGUACUUAACUUGAUCCUAGAAUAGGAAAUGAAGAGAUUUGAGUUUCCCCACAUCACCUACAUGGGCAAGAGGUGUAGCUUAGAGGAAUAAAUUUGAAGUAAUAAAAAGGAGAGAGAUUUUUCACCUAUAAAUAUGGGAACUGUAGAUAGCAGUCUCUUUUACAGGGAGACUUUCUUAGAGGUGGCACCUUAUCUCUUAGAGAGGAGAUACAUUCUUUUCUUCUGGAGUAAAGGUGUUAAGAAAAUAAGUUAGUUUUUUUUUCUCUCUUUUCCUAUUCUUGUAAUUUAUUUUUUAUUUUAGUAAAGUUUUUUGUUUUUAAUUUCAAUAAAGAUUUUGGUCUUAAAUUUUAAUAAAGUUUUUUGUUUCAACUUGAUGUUUCUAUAUUCAUUUUUGUGUGUUUUCUUUUCUAUCCUUGUGUUUUUGUUUCUUAGUUUGUGAAGGGGACUAAGGUCUCGUAUCUUUGUUUGAUUCACCGUGAUUUAGCUAUCUAUGGUUGAAAAAGGCUCUACUAAGGUCUAUGGUCAUGAGAACCAAAAUGAGUCUCCACAUGCCAGAGUUAAUGGUUAUGAGGACCAAAAAGAGUAACCAUGGUCAUGAAUCUAUUAGAUAAGAACAAACUUUUUGACAUAAGAAUAAACCCAUCUAAAUCAUUUGAUUGAGAUGACCAAAAGGAGAAAUUAGAUCUAGUUGAGCCUUUGUUGAGGUGGUUGAUUCUCUUAUUAAAUAGAACCAUGUUUUUGGUGCAAAACCCUUUGCUCGAUCUAAAAGCCACAAGCACUAGGCUAGGACCAAGUGAGUGAGUUAAGCUUGAGAGAAGGAAUUUCAAUGACUUUCCUAUCUAGAAGCCUGUGUUCUUUUUCUUUUCAAUUUAUAGAUUUCCUACCUCUUCCCACCCAAAAAAAGGAAGAAAAAAAACACUAAAAAUAUGUUUCAUCCUACACACUCACACCCUAGGUUCCCACCUCUGAUAUUGUCAAUCCUAAGUUAUUUAUGGAGACGACCUAAUCUCUAUACAACUAUUAGUUCCUCUUUGUUUCUUUAGUUUAAGAACUAAAAGUUUCAAUUACUAAACUAGUUUAAAUUUUGCUUGAAUAAAAUUUUAUUAUCAAAUCAUUUUCACAUUAAUUUUAUUAUUUUAUUUUUAAACCUGCAAAUACAAACCCGAACCAAAUAACACUCUUGUUGUCACAAUACAUAGGAGUAGGACGAGAAAGAGAAACACCGAUAUCAACAAGUAACCAACAUUACAAAACUAUCUUUCUAGUGGUAGAUGGAAUAUUAUGAAACAAUAGUUUGUUUCUUGGUCUUUUUAAAACAAAAAGGCAAAUCCCCCAAUAAAAUAUACAAAAUCUAGUAAUAGACUUGAGAUCCUCAAGAUCACAAACCCAUAAUCAGUAUCAAAAUAUGCAUGCAACUCCAAAGAGGAAGUGGAUAGAAGUAGAAGGCUCCAAAAUAAAGUGCCCUUAAUAUACCAUAGAAUAUGAAGAACAACUACCCAAUGAACUAUAGUAAGGGAAGCAACAAAUUGAUUAACAAUGUGAAAAACAUAAAUAAUGUACCAUCAGAAAAAGAAUAAUGAACAUUAACUUCAAGAGGAGUAUCAAUAGUCUUAAUAUCAAUAAGGUGAGUACAAUUGAGAAUAUCAACUAUGUAUUUAAACUACGAGAGACGAAACUUUUUAGAGAAUAAGCUAUCUCAAUACCCAAAAAGCAUGGUAGAAAGCUCAAAUCCUUCAUAAGAAACUAAGUUUGAUUUCAACAUUACAAUUCCAUCAACAUCAUCACGUAUGAUAAUCAUGUCAUCAACAUGUAGAGAAAGUAGAAUACCCAUUGUAAAUUAGGUGGAAUUAAAAUGAAUGAAUGGUUUUUUCUAUUCUCUUUUUAUUUAGCAAAUCCUUUUGAUGCCCAUUGUAUGCUUCUUGUGUAGCUGGGGUAUAUAGUUUUCUUUAAAUUUUAUAAUAUGCUCUUCUAGCUUAUUAGAAAAUCAUAAAGAGGACCCCUUUGGCUUUUUUUUAUAUUAUUUUUCUAUACUUAAAUGACAAAAAUGAUGAUUGAGGUUUGGCUUUCUUGCUUAUAUAUACUCUUUUGGUAAAUGCUUCAAAGCAUAUUCAUGAUACUAUCCUCUUAAUCUUGAGGAUGAGGUAGCAAAACUUCACGAAGGUAUUUGCAAAGUAGAAUGUACAACUUCUAGAUUAAAUUUGUUUGGAACUGUUUAUAAAGUUUGGAUUUGAAAUUAUUAUGAACUAUUUUUAAUAAAGUAUGAUUUUUAGAAACCUUAUCAUGUAAUCUAUUUAUACAAAUAAUAAUAAUAAUAAUUUCGAUGUCUUCUACAAUAUGUUUUCACUUCUAUAUUGUCUAAAUAACAUUUUCUAAUAUGUUGUCAUAUGUAUGUUUUCUAAUAUUAAUUUCUUCCAAUAUUUUACUUGGGAAUGAAAAUGAAAUACUAUAAUAACAACAUUUAGUUUGAACUAAGUUAAUUUAAUUUUGUUUUUUUCCCUACACACACAUAUAUAGAGCCCAUCUAAAAAAGGAUUGAUUGGGGUUCAAUUCUUUGAACAAAUUUCAUCAUAAAUGAAAAUAUCCUAUUAAAAUUGUAACAAUGAAUCAAUUUAAUUAGUAUAAACAUAUUCUACUAAUUUAAUCAUGUAUAGUUUACUAUAAAAUAUUUCUAAUUCUUUCUUAUUUCAAACUAAAAAGUUAAUUUUUUAAUCAAAACUUUUUGUUUUUAAAAAUAAGUGAUACAAAAGGUUGACAAUUUUUUUUUAAAAAAAAAAAACAUAGAAGAAGAAUAAAUUUAUGAUAUAUGAAAUAUGUAUAUAUCUCAACUUAGAAUUAUUGUAUUCUAUGUAAAGAGGAUAUAUAAAGAGACUGGGUCAAUAAAUUAUCUUAUUGAAUAUUUGAUUGAACAUGAUAUAUGGUAAUUAAUGGAUGAGAUCAUUUACCCUAUCCUAAAGCUAACCAAUCCUAGGAUAAGAUAUGUUAUCUCAUCUCUUAUCUCAUCCAAUAUUAUGUAUAUCAAGUCAAGUAAUACAAUUGAGUUGCAUGGGAUGUGGACUACUAUUACUUUAAGAAGAAAUAUAGAAGUGAUAUAAACUAUUAAUAAGUACCAUAUGGGUAACUCUGAGUGAUUCAAUUUAACAUCCACCUAUCUAAAUAUAUUUAUAAUAGAUCAUCUUGGCUUAUGAAAAUUACAAAGUUGAAACAAAAUUUGGAGCACAACUAGUAAUAUGAAAACAAAUCAAAAUUGGUAUCAUCGCUACAUGCUAGUUACCUAAUUAUAUUUCUAGAGCAUUCAAUUGCCAAAGUGAAAUCCCAUGAAAAGGGCCAAGAAAUGGUGAUUGAGUAAGAAGCUUUGAUGAGAUGUGUUGCAUUGUUGGACGAGAUCUCGGAUUAGAAUGUAUGCAUUUGAGUGCCAACCAAACCACAAGAACUACAUCUCUAGCAACUUGUUGAUCUUGAGGAGAUGGGAGACGUGAAUCUAACAUAUCAGUGAGCAUUAUGUUUUGAGUUGAUGAGGAAGACAAUAAGGUGAAAAGUUCUCCUGGAUGCUUUCCCAUCAUUGUCUCAAGCGCCACCACUCCAAAGCUGUAAACAUCACAUUUUUCUGUCACGACCAUAGUGUAGGCAAGCU
Molecule: long non-coding RNA, 98525 nt
Filed under: Vitis vinifera (wine grape)
Lineage: Eukaryota; Viridiplantae; Streptophyta; Magnoliopsida; Vitales; Vitaceae
Description: long non-coding RNA (VVIN_LNC003286)
Rfam family: MIR845_2 microRNA precursor family (bases 30459-30589)
Source: RNAcentral